ACGUACAAGGUGAAGCUGGUGACGCCCGAGGGCGAGGUGGAGCUGGAGGUCCCCGACGACGUCUACAUCCUCGACCAGGCCGAGGAGGAGGGGAUCGACCUGCCCUACUCCUGCCGCGCCGGCUCCUGCUCCUCCUGCGCCGGCAAGUUGGUGUCCGGCGAGAUCGACCAGUCCGACCAGAGCUUCCUCGACGACGACCAGAUGGAGGCCGGGUGGGUGCUCACCUGCCACGCCUACCCCAAGUCCGACAUCGUCAUCGAGACCCACAAGGAGGAGGAGCUCACCGCAUAAGCUGCUAUACCUAUCUCUCUUUGCAACGAGAUCGAGCUGAUAUCAUAUUAUCUCCUUAUCAUGCAUGCAUUGACAUGGCCAGAUACUCCGAUUUGUUUGUGCUCGAAUGAAUUGCUCGAUGCGUGAUUUGGUCAAGUAAUAAUGUCUCCGAAUUACCUUUUUGUACCGUAAGAUAUACUACUGUCGUAAUACUAGCGUGUACGUAAUUCAACGUACUGAAAUGAAUCCUGAUGGCUGAGGAGUCUCUCUGAUUAAUAAUAUCUUCUUUUUAAUUAAGAGACUGUUGAAUGUUGGUUUCCAGGAAUUUGAUGAACAUCUUACCUGCGGCUUUCUUCUAUGCAGAUAAUAGGUGCAUGUUACGACUUGUUUCAAUAUGAGUUUUGAGUUGCACGAUUUCCUCAUUAUUUUGUUUAGCUUGCAAAAUGAUUCAGGCUAGCAGGAUGUUUGUUAUGUUAGGAUUUAAACUAAUUCUAUUAAUUAGGGAUAAUCCUUCCUUGUAUUUAGCGUACGGUUUGCCUCCAGGCAACCGUCGCGUCGUACGUGCUAGGGCCUCUCGAGGCAACCGUCGCGUCGUACGUGCUAGGGCCUCUCGAGGCAAUCGUCGCGUCCGCUUCUCCCAUCUCCAUGAACAGACACGUCUUCUCUUGGCGUCCGUUCCCUUUGUAUAAAUGUGUUGAUCAUCAAUAGAAUAGAACAUAGUUCGAUCAAUUCGUACUUUCACAAGUUAUCAGCACUUCGACUAUGUCGAAAGAGCAAAUCACGCCGGUGUCAGUCGCCGGAAAAAGCAAACUAGAGGGAAAGAAAUGAGAAGAAAACUAUGAGAAACAAGAAGCAAUCAAAUGGAGGAGGAAAUUUUUUAGUGGAUAGUGGUGCCUCUAACACAAUUCUACGGGAGGUUAAAUACUUCCGAAGUCUAAAAAAGAGUAAGGGAAGUGUUAUGACAAUUGGUGGUCGUGACACGGUAAUUGUUGGUUCUGGUCAAGCCACAUUUACACUCCUGAAUGGUACAAAACUUGAAAUCUAGGAGGCAUUAUUGUAUCCAGAUUCAACUCGUACCCUGUUGAGUUUUAAGGAUAUCCGCAUGAAUGGCUACCACAUUGAAACUCAUGAAGACAAUGCGGUUGAAAGCCUGCUCAUAACUCAGCAUAAGGGAUCCGACAAGGAAACCCUUGAGAGACUGCCUGCUCUAUCUUCUGGACUGUAUUACACAUACGUCAAGCCAUAGCAACAUUUGGCAUACCAAAUAAUUUUUCAAAAUCUUGACAAGUUCAAGAUAUGGCAUGAUCGCCUGGGUCAUCCUGGUGUGGGGAUGAUGAGAAAAAUUAUUGAUGGUUCAACUGGACACAACAUAACGGUCGCUAAUUUCCCCAAAUCCUUGGAUUUCGUAUGCACUGCAUGUGCAACUGAAAAAUUAAUCACAAGACCUUCAUAUCUGAAGAUCAAGAAUGAACCACUUAAUUUUCUUGAACGCAUUCAAGGAGAUAUAUGUGGUCUAAUUCAACCAUUAUCGGGACCAUUUAGAUAUUUUAUGGUGCUCAUCGAUGCAUCAACAAGAUGGUCCAAUGUGUAUCUAUUAUCAACAAGGAACCAUGCUUUUGCAAAGUUGGUCGCUCAAAUCAUUAAAAUGAGGGCAAAUCAUCCUGAACACAGGAUAAAAUCCAUCAAAAUGGAUAAUGCUGCUGAAUUUAGUUCACGAGCAUUCAAUGAUUACUGCCUAGCUUUGGGCAUAACUGUGGAGCAUUCUGUACCAUAUGUACACACAUAAAAUGGUCUUGCAGAAUCACUUAUCAAGAGGAUCAAGUUGAUAGCAAGACCACUCCUAAAGAACUGUAAUCUCCCAACAUCUUGUUGGGGACAUGCGGUAUUGCAUGCCGCAGAGUUGAUAAAAAUCCGACCAACUGCAUAUCAUACAGCCUCCCCGUUGUAGUUAGUACGUGGAAUCAACCAAGUAUUUCCCAUCUUCGAAGAUUCGGUUGCGUUGUGUACGUACCAAUAUCACCACCUCAGCAUACAUCGAUGGGUCCACAUAGAAAAAUGGGGAUCUAUGUGGGGUACAAUUCUCUGUCGAUUAUAAAGUACCUGGAACCUCUAACAGGGGAUCUAUUUACAGCCCGGUACGCUGAUUGUAUCUUCGAUGAGGACAAUUUUCCGGCAUUAGGGGGAGAAAAGAACCACAAAGAAUGCCGGGAAAUAGAUUGGAAUGUCAAAGGCAUUCAGUCUUAGAUCCACGUACGAAUGAAUCUGAAUUGAAAGUUCAGAAGAUUAUUAAUUUGCCAAAUGUUGCAAAUAAUUUGCCAGAUGCAUUUACUGAUUAUAAAGGUGUCAGUAAAUCCCACGUUCCUGCUAUGAAUGUUCCAGAGAGAGUUGAGAUAUCUCAUAAGANNNNNNNNNNNNNNNNNNNNNNNNNNNNNNNNNNNNNNNNNNNNNNNNNNNNNNNNNNNNNNNNNNNNNNNNNNNNNNNNNNNNNNNNNNNNNNNNNNNNNNNNNNNNNNNNNNNNNNNNNNNNNNNNNNNNNNNNNNNNNNNNNNNNNNNNNNNNNNNNNNNNNNNNNNNNNNNNNNNNNNNNNNNNNNNNNNNNNNNNNNNNNNNNNNNNNNNNNNNNNNNNNNNNNNNNNNNNNNNNNNNNNNNNNNNNNNNNNNNNNNNNNNNNNNNNNNNNNNNNNNNNNNNNNNNNNNNNNNNNNNNNNAGGGGAAUGAGGAAUCCUCAAACAGUAAAUGCAGGUCAACUUCAUGUUGACAUUCAACCUAGGGUUGAAGGACACCUGAAGAAUGUUUGACACAUCCAGGACCCAACACGAGUGCGCACGAAAAUUUGGUGCUGGGACAUCGGAAGACCUUGACUCAAUUGUUGUGGGAAAUCACAAAGAGUCAAAAGGUAAUGAUGAAAUCUCCACUAUGUAUAUGGAUACGGGAGAAUCAUAUAAUAAAGACUACAAUAUGUCAACAUUUAUUUCUCCUCGAGAAUUUCAAAAGACCUUGGAUUGGAUCAAGAACUUGAGUCCAUGCAUGGCUAAGUGUCUUAGACGCUUUAGUUGAUCCAAAGGAAGGAAACAAUUAAGGAGGCGCUCACUCUCAUGAAGAGGGGUAUUGACCUGACCAGUAAUACCCACUCCUAUGAAUGUGUUUCCGGGGGAGCACAGUUGGUUUUUGUUUCUGAGAGGAAUGAAAACCAAGAGGUGGUGAUACCUGAAGCGAGGCAUGUAGCACAUGGGUUCACGCGGAGACCCUUCACCCCUUUAAGAUGAAACAUGUUCUCCUAUUGUGAGUGGAAUAACUUUUUGAUAUUUUAUAUCACUGGCAGUGAAUAAUGAAUUUGUAUAUUCAAGUGAUGGAUGUUGUGACUGCAUUGUUGUAUGAGUCACUUGAUUCAGAUAUGUAUAUGAUAGUUCCUGAGGGAAUGAAGAUUUCGAAUUGAAUAGCGACAUGUAUUGGGUAAAGGUUCUCAGAAGUCAUUUUAUGGUUUGAAGUAGUUGGGAUGGAUGUGGUAGAACCGACUGAAUGAGUUCCUUUAUUAGAAGGAUUACUCCAACACUGAUGAUUGCUCAUGCAUGUUCAUCAAGAAAAUUAAAGACGGAUUUUGUAUAAUUUCCGUGUAUGUUGAUGACUUGAACAUCAUUGGGACUACACGAGAAAUACAUGAGGCAAGUAAUCAUUUGAAGACGGAAUUCGAGAUGAAAGAUUUGGGUAAAACCAAAUUUUGUCUUGGUUUGCAACUAGAACAUUUUUCUUCAGAAAUACUUGUUCAUCAGUCUGCUUACGUUCAAAAGAUAUUGGAAAAGUUCAAUAUGGAUAAAGCAUACCCGUAAAAAACACCUAUGGUCGUCAGGUCUCUUGAUAGAGAUAAAGACCCAUUUAGACCUAAGGGUGAUGAUGAAGAGCUAUUAGGACCUAAGUUUCCUUACCUCAGUGCUAUUGGAGCACUGAUGUAUCUAGCGGACUGCACCAGGUCUGACAUAGCUUUUGUAGUUAAUUUACUGGCUAGAUACAACGCAUCACCAACGAAAAGGCAUUGGGUUGGUGUGAAGAAUAUUUUCAGAUAUCUUUAGGGCACCAAAGAUCUUGGUUUAUUCUAUUAGAAAAAUCAAGAGAGAACCAUGGUGGGGUAUUACGAUGCUGGAUAUUUAUCAUAUCCCCAUGAGGCCAGAUCGCAGACUGGUUUUGUCUUCUUACACGGAGGUACGACCUUCUCUUGGAAGUCAACAAAGCAAACCUUAGUUGCAAUGUCCACCAAUAAUUCUGAGAUAACUGCUUUGUUCGAAGCAUCACGUGAAUGUGUAUGGCUUUGCAGAAUGAUGAACUUUGUUCAAAGUUCAAGUGGGAUUGGUUCAUUGAAAUCACCCACCAUUAUCUAUGAAGAUAAUGCUGCUUGGAUUGCACAAAUGCAAACGGGUUAUAUUAAGAGCAAUAUUACAAAGCAUAUUUUUCCUAAAUUAUUUUAUCCCCAUGAUCAGCAAGAGAAGGGGGAGAUAAAUAUUUUGCAAACGAAGUCAUGCGACAAUCUUGCCGAUCCGUUUACAAAGUCCUUACGGAAAUAUGCCCUAGAGGCAAUAAUAAAGUUGUUAUUUUGUAUUUCCUUAUAUCAUGAUAAAUGUUUAUUAUUCAUGCUAGAAUUGUAUUAACCGGAAACUUGAUACACGUGUGGAUACAUAGACAAAACACCGUGUCCCUAGUAAGCCUCUACUAGACUAGCUCGUUAAUCAAAGAUGGUUAUGUUUCCUAACCAUAGAAAUGUGUUGUCAUUUGAUGAAAGGGAUCACAUCAUUAGGAGAAUGAUGUGAUGGACAAGACCCAUCCGUUAGCUUAGCAUUUGAUUGUUCAGUUUUAUUGCUAUUGCUUUCUUCAUGCCAUAUACAUAUUCCUUUGACUAUGAGAUUAUGCAACUCCCGGACAAUGGAGGAAUACCUUGUGUGCUAUCAAACGUCACAACUUAACUGGGUGAUUAUAAAGAUAAUCUACAGGUAUCUCCGAAGUGAAGGAAAUAUGCCCUAGAGGCAAUAAUAAAGUUGUUAUUUAUAUUUCCUUAUAUCAUGAUAAAUGUUUUUUAUUCAUGCUAGAAUUGUAUUAACCGGAAAUUUAGUACAUGUGUGAAUACAUAGACAAACAGAGUGUCACUGGUAUGCCUCUACUUGACUAGCUCGUUAAUCAAAGAUGGUUAAGUUUACUAACCAUAGACAAGAGUUGUCAUUUGAUUAACGGGAUCACAUCAUUAGAGAAUGAUGUGAUUGACAUGACCCAUCCGUUAGCUUAGCAUGUUGAUAGUUUAGUUUGUUGCUAUUGCUUUCUUCAUGACUUAUACAUGUUCCUCUGACUAAGAGAUUAUGCAACUCCCGAAUACCGGAGGAACACUUAGUGUGCUAUCAAACGUCACAACCUAACUGGGUGAUUAUAAAGAUGCUCUACAGGUGUCUCCGAUGGUGUUUGUUGAGUUGGCAUAGAUCGAGAUUAGGAUUUGUCACUCCGAUUGUCGGAGAGGUAUCUCUGGGCCCUCUCGGUAAUGCACAUCACUAUAAGCCUUGCAAGCAAUGUGACUAAUGAGUUAGUUGCGGGAUGAUGCACUACGAAACGAGUAAAGAGACUUGCCGGUAACGAGAUUGAACUAGGUAUUGAUAUACGGACGAUCGAAUCUCGCGCAAGUAACAUACCGAUAACAAAGGGAACAAUGUAUGUUGUUGUGCGGUUUGACCGAUAAAGAUCUUCGUAGAAUAUGUGGGAGCCAAUAUGAGCAUCCAGGUUCCGCUAUUGGUUAUUGACCGGAGAUGAGUCUCGGUCAUGUCUACAUAGUUCUCGAACCCGUAGGGUCCGCACGCUUAACGUUCGAUGACGAUCGGUAUUAUGAGUUUAUGUGUUUUAAUGUACCGACGGUAGUUCGGAGUCCUAGAUGUGAUCACGGACAUGACGAGGAGUCUCGAAAUGGUCGAGACAUAAAGAUUGAUAUAUUGGAAGGCUAUGUUUGGACACCGAAAAGGUUUCGGAUGACUUCGGGCAUUUUCCGGAGUACCGAGGGGUUACCGGAACCCCCAGGGGAGUUAAUGGGCCUUAAUGGGCCAUGGUGGGAGAGAGGAGGAGGCGGCCAAGUGGGAGGCAUGCGCCCCCCAAGCCCAAUACGAAUUGGGGGGGGGGGGCUUUCCUUCUCUCCUUCUCCCUCUCCUUCUCCUACUCCAACUAGGGAAGGGGGAAACCUACUCCUACUAGGAGUAGGAAUCCCCCUUGGGCGCGCCAUAGAGAGGGCCGGCCCUCCCCUCCUCCACUCCUUUAUAUACGGGGGAGGGGGGUGUUGGGGAACGUAGUAAUUUCAAAAAAAUUCCUACGCACACGCAAGAUCAUGGUGAUGCAUCGCAACGAGAGGGGAGAGUGUUGUCUACGUGGUGUCUCAGCACGAAGAACUUUCGCAACGAUGCAUACUCAGGAAGAACACUUAUAUCUUGAAAUUUAGUGAGAGAUCAUCUUAUAAUGCUACCGUCAAACAAAGCAAGAUAAGAUGCAUAAAUAUAAACAUCACAUGCAAUCAAUAUAAGUGAUAUGAUAUGGCCAUCAUCAUCUUGUGCUUGUGAUCUCCAUCUUCGAAGCACCGUCAUGAUCACCAUCAUCACCGGCGCGACACCUUGAUCUCCAUCGUAGCAUCGUUUUCGUCUUGCCAACUUAUGCUUCUACGACUAUCACUACCGCUUAGUGAUAAAGUAAAGUAUUACAGGGCGAUUGCAUUGCAUACAAUAAAGCGACAACCAUAUGGCUCCUGCCAGUUGCCGAUAACUCGGUUACAAAACAUGAUCAUCUCAUACAAUAAAAUAUAGCAUCAUGUCUUGACCAUAUCACAUCACAACAUGCCCUGCAAAAACAAGUUAGACGUCCUCUACUUUGUUGUUGCAAGUUUUACGUGGCUGCUACGGGCUGAGCAAGAACCGUUCUUACCUACGCAUCAAAACCACAACGAUAGUUCGUCAAGUUAGUGCUGUUUUAACCUUCUCAAGGACCGGGCGUAGCCACACUCGGUUCAACUAAGUUGGAGAAACUGACACCCGCCAGCCACCUGUGUGCAAAGCACGUCGGUAGAACCAGUCUCGCGUAAGCGUACGCGUAAUGUCGGUCCGGGCCGCUUCAUCCAACAAUACCGCCGAACCAAAGUAUGACAUGCAGGUAAGCAGUAUGACUUGUAUCGCCCACAAUUCACUUAUGUUCUACUCAUGCAUAUAACAUCUACGCAUAAAACCAGGCUCGGAUGCCACUGUUGGGGAACGUAGUAAUUUCAGAAAAAUUCCUACGCACACGCAAGAUCAUGGUGACGCAUAGCAACGAGAGGGGAGAGUGUUGUCUACGUACCCUCGUAGACCGUAAGCGGAAGCGUUUAUCAACGCGGUUGAUGUAGUCGUACACCUUCACGAUCCGUCCCGAUCAAGUACCGAACGUACGGCACCUCUGCGUUCAGCACACGUUCAGCUCGAGGACGUCCUCGCCUUCUCGAUCCAGCAAGAGGGGCGAAGUAGUAGAUGAGUUCCGGCAGCACGACGGCGUGGUGACGGUGUUGGUGAAGAACAAUCUCCGCAGGGCUUCGCCUAAGCACUACGAAAACUAUGACGGAGGAUAAACUAGAGGGGACAGGGUUGCCGGCACACGGCUUGGUGUUUCUUGAUGUGUCUUGGGUGCUAGCCCUACCCCUCUAUUUAUAUGUUGAGCCUUGGGGUCGAAACUUGGAGUAAAAGCCUCCACAAAGUCGGUUUCACCCGAAAGGCAAGAGUCCUUCUAGGACUCCAGGACCAGACGCCAGGGUUCCCGGUGUCUGGCCCCAGACGCCAGGGACCCUGGCAUCUGGCCCCUGGACUCCGCAAAACUUCCUUUUGCGCUUUCCAAAAACCUUGUGGGCUUUCCCCUUUGGCCCAAAUAAAGUGUUCUCAUACCCAAACAUUUUGGGAAACAUCCGGAACCCCUUCCGGUGAAUUCCGGAACCCUUCUGGAUUCCAAACACUAUUAUCCCAUAUAUCAAUCUUUAUCUCCGGACCAUUCCGGAGUUCCUCGUCAUGUCCGUGAUCUUAUCCGGAACUCCGAACAACAUUCUGUUACCAACAUACAUAACUCAUAAAUACUAUAUCGUCAACGAACGUUAAGCGUGCGGACCCUACGGGUUCGAGAACUAUGUAGACAUGACUGAGACACUUCUCUGGUCAAUAACCAAUAGCGGAACCUGGAUGCCCAUAUUGGCUCCUACAUAUUCUACGAAGAUCUUUAUCGGUCGAACCGCAUAACAACAUACGUUAUUCCGUUUGUCAUCGGUAUGUUACUUGCCCGAGAUUCGAUCGUCGGUAUCUCAAUACGUAGUUCAAUCUCGUUACCGGCAAGUCUCUUUACUCGUUCCGUAAUGCAUCAUCCCGCAACUAACUCAUUAGUCACAUUGCUUGCAAGGCUUAUAGUUAUGUGCAUUACCGAGUGGGCCCAGAGAUACCUAUCCGACAAUCGGAGUGACAAAUCCUAAUCUCGAUCUAUGCCAACUCAACAAGUACCUUCGGAGACACCUGUAGAUCACCUUUAUAAUCACCCAGUUACGUUGUGACGUUUGGUAGCACAUAAAGUGUUCCUCUGGUAAACGGGAGUUGCAUAAUCUCAUAGUCAUAGGAACAUGUAUAAGUCAUGAAGAAACCAAUAGCAACAUACUAAACGAUCAAGUGGUAAGCUAACGGAAUGGGUCAAUUCAAUCACAUCAUUCUCCUAAUGACGUGAUCCCGUUAAUCAAAUGACAACUCAUGUCUAUGGCUAGGAAACUCAACCAUCUUUGAUCAACGAGCUAGUCAAGUAGAGGCAUACUAGUGACACUAUGUUUGUCUAUGUAUUCACACAUGUAUUAUGUUUCCGGUUAAUACAAUUCUAGCAUGAAUAAUAAACAUUUAUCAUGAAAUAAGGAAAUAAAUAAUAACUUUAUUAUUGCCUCUAGGGCAUAUUUCCUUCAGUCUCCCACUUGCACUAGAGUCAAUAAUCUAGUUCACAUCGCCAUGUGAUUUAACAUCAAUGGUUCACAUCUUUAUGUGGUUAACACCCAUAGUUCACAUCGACAUAUGACCAACACCCAAAGGGUUUACUAGAGUCAGUAAUCUAGUUCACAUCGCUAUGUGAUUAACACCCAAAGAGUACUAAGGUGUGAUUAUGUUUUGCUUGUGAGAUAAUUUUAGUCAACGGGUCUGUCACAGUCAGAUCCGUAAGUAUUUUGCAAAUUUCUAUGUUUACAAUGCUCUGCACGGAGCUACUCUAGCUAAUAGCUCCCACUUUCAAUAUGUAUCUAGAUCGAGACUUAGAGUCAUCCAGAUCGGUGUCAAAGCUUGCAUCGACGUAACCAUUUACGACGAACCUUUUGUCACCUCCAUAAUCGAGAAACAUAUCCUUAUUCCACUAAGGAUAAUUUUGACCGUUGUCCAGUGAUCUACUCCUAGAUCACUAUUGUACUCCCUUGCCAAACUCAGUGUAGGGUAUACAAUAGAUCUGGUACACAGCAUGACAUACUUUAUAGAACCUAUGGCUGAGGCACAGCGAAUGACUUUCAUUCUAUUUCUAUUUUCUGCCGUGGUCGGGCUUUGAGUUUUACUCAACUUCACACCUUGCAACACAGGCAAGAACUCUUUCUUUGACUGUUCCAUUUUGAACUACUUCAAAAACUUGUCAAGGUAUGUACUCAUUGAAAAAACUUAUCAAGCGUCUUGAUCUAUCUCUAUAGAUCUUGAUGCUCAAUAUGUAAGCAGCUUCACCGAGGUCUUUCUUUGGAAAAACUCCUUUCAAAUACUCCUUUAUGCUUUUCAGAAAAUUCUACAUCAUUUCUGAUCUACAAUAUGUCAUUUACAUAUACUUAUCAGAAAAGUUGUAGUGCUCCCACUCACUUUCUUGUAAAUACAUGCUUCACCAAAAGUCUGUAUAAAACCAUAUGCUUUGGUCACACUAUCAAAGCGUAUAUUCCAAAUCUGAGAGGCUUGCACCAGUCCAUAAAUGGAUCGCUGGAGCUUGCACACUUUGUUAGCACCUUUAGGAUCGACAAAACCUUCUGGUUGCAUCAUAUACAACUCUUCUUUAAGAAAUCCAUUAAGAAAUGCAGUUUUGACAUCCAUUUGCCAGAUUUCAUAAAAUGUGGCAAUUGCUAACAUGAUUCAGACAGACUUAAGCAUCGCUACGAGUGAGAAAAUCUCAUUGUAGUCAACACCUUGAACUUGUCGAAAACCUUUUGUGACAAUUCAAGCUUUGUAGAUAGUAACACUACUAUCAGCGUCCGUCUUCCUCUUGAAGAUCCAUUUAUUCUCAAUGGCUUGCCGAUCAUCGGGCAAGUCAACCAAAGUCCAUACUUUGUUCUCAUACAUGGAUCCCAUCUCAGAUUUCAUGGCCUCAAGCCAUUUUGCGGAAUCUGGGCUCAUCAUCGCUUCCUCAUAGUUCGUAGGUUUGUCAUGGUCAAGUAACAUGACCUCCAGAACAGGAUUACCAUACCACUCUGGUGCGUAUCUCACUCUGGUUUACCUACGAGGUUCGGUAGUAACUUGAUCUGAAGUUACAUGAUCAUCAUCAUUAGCUUCCUCACUAAUUGGUGUAGGAGUCACAGGAACAAAUUUCUGUGAUGAACUACUUUCCAAUAAGGGAGCAGGUACAGUUACCUCAUCAAGUUCUACUUUCCUCCCACUCACUUCUUUCGAGAGAAACUCCCUCUCUAGAAAGGAUCCAUUAUCAGCAACGAAUAUCUUGCCUUCGGAUCUGUGAUAGAAGGUGUACCCAACUGUCUCCUUUGGGUAUCCUAUGAAGACACAUUUUUCCGAUUUGGGUUUGAGUUUAUCAGGAUGAAACUUUUUCACAUAAGCAUCGCAACCCCAAACUUUAAGAAACAAUAACUUUGGUUUCUUGCCAAACCACAGUUCAUAUCAUCUCAACGGAUUUAGAUGGUGCCCUACUUAACGUGAAUGCAGCUGUCUUUAAUGUAUAAUCCCAAAACGAUAGUGGUAAAUCGGUAAGAGACAUCAUAGAUUGCACAGUAUCUAAUAAAGUACGGUUACGAUGUUCGGACACACCAUUACUGUGGUGUUCCAGGUGGCAUGAAUUUGUAAAACUAUUCCACAUUGUUUUAGUUGAAGACCAAACUCGUAACUCAAUAUUCAUCUCCGCGAUCAGAUCGUAGAAACUUUAUUUUCUUGUUACGAUGAUUUUACACUUCACUCUGAAAUUCUUUGAACUUUUCAAAUGUUUCAGACUUAUGUUUCAUCAAGUAGAUAUACCCAUAUCUGCUCAAAUCAUCUGUGAAGGUCAGGAAAUAACGAUACCCGCCGCAAGCCUCAACACUCAUCGGACUGCAUACAUCAGUAUGUAUUAUUUCCAACAAGUCUGUUGCUCGCUGCAUUGUUCCGGAGAACGGAGUCUUAGUCAUCUUGCCCAUGAGGCAUGGUUCGCAAGCAUCAACUGAUUCAUAAUCAAGUGAUUCCAAAAGCUCAUCAACAUGGAUUUUCUUCAUGCGCUUUACACCAAUAUGACCUAAACGGCAGUGCCACAAAUAAGUUGCACUAUCAUUAUAAACUUUGCAUCUUUUGGCUUCAAUAUUAUGAAUAUGCGUAUCACUACUAUCGAGAUCCAACAAACUAUUUUCAUUGUGUGUAUGAUCAUCGAAGGUUUUAUUCAUGUAAACAGAACAACAAUUAUUCUCUGACUUUAAAUGAAUAACCGCAUUGCAAUAAACAUGAUAAAAUCAUAUUCAUGCUCAACGCAAACGCCAAAUAACACUUAUUUAGGUUCCACACUAAUCCCGAAAGUAUAGGGAGUGUUCGAUGAUGAUCAUAUCAAUCUUGGAACCACUUCCAACUCACAUCGUCACUUCACCCUUAACUAGUCUCUGUUCAUUCUGCAACUCCCGUUUCGAGUUACUAAUCUUAGCAACUGAACUAGUAUCAAAUACCGAGGGGUUGCUAUAAACACUAGUAAAGUAUACAUCAAUAACAUGUAUAUCAAAUAUACCUUUGUUCACUUUGCCAUCCUUCUUAUCCGCCAAUUACUUGGGGUAGUUUUGCUUCCAGUGACCAGUUCCUUUGCAGUAGAAGUACUUAGUCUCAGGCUUAGGUCCAGACUUGGGCUUCUUCACUUGAGCAGCAACUUGCCUGCCGUUCUUCUUGAAGUUUCCCUUCUUCCCUUUGCCCUUUUUCUUGAAACUAGUGGUCUUGUCAACCAUCAACACUUGAUGUUUUUCUUGAUUUCUACCUUCGCCGAUUUUAGCAUCGCGAAGAGCUUGGGAAUUGUUUUCGUCAUCCCUUGCAUAUUAUAGUUCAUCACGAAGUUCUCGUAACUUGGUGAUAGUGACUAGAGAACUUUGUCAAUUACUAUAUUAUCUGGAAGAUUAACUCCCACUUAAUUCAAGCAAUUGUAGUACCCAGACAAUCUGAGCACAUGCUCACUGGUUGAGCUAUUCUCCUCCAUCUUGUAGGCAAAGUACUAUCAGAGGUCUUAUACCUCUCGACAUGGGCAUGAGUAUGAAAUACCAAUUUCAACUCUUGGAACAUCUCAUAUGUUCCGUGGCGUUUCAAAAACGUCUUUGAAGCCCCGAUUCUAAGCCGUAAAGCAUGGUGCACUAAAAAAUCAAGUAGUCAUCAUACCGAGCUUUGCCAAACGUUCAUAACGUCUGCAUUUGCUCCUGCAAUAGGUCCGUCACCUAGCGGUGCAUCAAGGACAUAAUUCUUCUGUGCAGCAAUGAGGAUAAUCCUCAGAUCACGGAUCCAAUCCGCAUCAUUGCUACUAACAUCUUUCAACUUAGUUUUCUCUAGGAACAUAUCAAAAAUAAAACAGGGAGCUAAACGCGAGCUAUUGAUCUACAACAUAGAUAUGCUAAUACUACCAGGACUAAGUUCAUGAUAAAUUAAAGUUCAAUUAAUCAUAUUACUUAAGAACUCCCACUUAGAUAGACAUCCCUCGAAUCAUCUAAGUGAUCACGUGAUCCAACUCAACUAAACCAUGUCCGAUCAUCACGUGAGAUGGAGUAGUUUUCAAUGGUGAACAUCACUAUGUUGAUCAUAUCUACUAUAUGAUUCACGCUCAACCUUUCGGUCUCCAGUGUUUCGAGGCCAUAUCUGCAUAUGCUAGGCUCGUCAAGUUUAACCUGAGCAUUCCGCGUGUGCAACUGUUUUGCACCCGUUGUAUUUGAACGUAGAGCCUAUCACACCCGAUCAUCACGUGGUGUCUCAGCACGAAGAACUUUCGCAACGGUGCAUACUCAGGGAGAACACUUUUAACUUGAAAUUUAGUGAGAGAUCAUCUUAUAAUGCUACCGUCAAACAAAGCAAGAUAAGAUGCAUAAAAGAUAAACAUCACAUGCAAUCAAUAUAAGUGAUAUGAUAUGGCCAUCAUCAUCUUGUGCUUGUGAUCUCCAUCUCCGAAGCACCGUCAUGAUCACCAUCGUCACCGGCGCGACACCUUGAUCUCCAUCGUAGCAUCGUUGUCGUCUUGCCAACUUAUGCUUCUACGACUAUCGCUACCGCUUAGUGAUAAAGUAAAGUAUUACAGGGCGAUUGCAUUGCAUACAAUAAAGCGACAACUAUAUGGCUCCUGCCAGUUGCCGAUAACUCGGUUACAAAACAUGAUCAUCUCAUACAAUAAAAUAUAGCAUCAUGUCUUGACCAUAUCACAUCACAACAUACCCUGCAGAAACAAGUUAGACGUCCUCUACUUUGUUGUUGCAAGUUUUACGUGGCUGCUACAGGCUGAGCAAGAACCGUUCUUACCUACGCAUCAAAACCACAACGAUAGUUCGUCAAGUUAGUGCUGUUUUAACCUUCUCAAGGACCGGGCGUAGCCACACUCGGUUCAACUAAAGUUGGAGAAACUGACACCCGCCAGCCACCUGUGUGUAAAGCACGUCGGUAGAACCAGUCUCGCAUAAGCGUACGCGUAAUGUCGGUCCGGGCCGCUUCAUCCAACAAUACCGCCGAAUCAAAGUAUGACAUGCUGGUAAGCAUUAUGACUUGUAUCGCCCAAAACUCACUUGUGUUCUACUCGUGCAUAUAACAUCUACGCAUAAAACCAGGCUCGGAUGCCACUGUUGGGGAACGUAGUAAUUUCAAAAAAAAAUCCUACGCACACGCAAGAUCAUGGUGAUGCAUAGCAACGAGAGGGGAGAGUGUUGUCUACGUACCCUCAAAGACCAUAAGCGAAAGCGUUUAUCAACGCGGUUGAUGUAGUCGUACACCUUCACGAUCCGUCCCGAUCAAGUACCGAACGUACGGCACCUUCGCGUUCAGCACACGUUCAGCUCGAUGACGUCCUCGCCUUCUCGAUCCAGCAAGAGGGGCGAAGUAGUAGAUGAGUUUCGGCAGCAUGACGGUGUUGGUGAAGAACAAUCUCCGCAGGGCUUCGCCUAAGCACUACGAAAACUAUGACGGAGGAUAAACUAGAGGGGACGGGGUUGCCGGCACACGGCUUGGUGUUUCUUGAUGUUUCUUGGGUGCUAUCCCUACCCCUCUAUUUAUAUGUUGAGCCUUGGGGUCGAAACUUGGAGUAAAAGCCUCCACAAAGUUGGUUUCACCCGAAAGGCAAGAGUCCUUCUCGGACUCCAGGACCAGACGCCAGGGUUCCCGGCGUCUGGCCCCAGACGCCAGGGACCCUGGCGUCUGGCCCCUGGACUCCGCAAAACUUCCUUUUGCGCUUUCCAAAAACCUUGUGGGCUUUCCCCUUUGGCCCAAAUAAAGUGUUCUCGUACCCAAACAUUUCGGGAAACAUCCGGAACCCCUUCCGGUGAAUUCUGGAACCCUUCCGGAGUCCAAACACUAUUAUCCCAUAUAUCAAUCUUUAUCUUCGGACCAUUUUGGAGUUCCUCGUCAUGUCCGUGAUCUUAUCCGGAACUCCGAACAACAUUCGGUUACCAACAUACAUAACUCAUAAAUACUAUAUCGUCAACGAACGUUAAGCGUGCGGACCCUACGGGUUCGAGAACUAUGUAGACAUGACUGAGACACUUCUCUGGUCAAUAACCAAUAGCGGAACCUGGAUGCCCAUAUUGGCUCCUACAUAUUUUACGAAGAUCUUUAUCGGUCGAACCGCAUAACAACAUACGUUGUUCCCUUUGUCAUCGGUAUGUUACUUGCCCGAGAUUCGAUCGUCGGUAUCUCAAUACCUAGUUCAAUCUCGUUAUCGGCAAGUCUCUUUACUCGUUCCGUAAUGCAUCAUCCCGCAACUAAAUCAUUAGUCACAUUCCUUGCAAGGCUUAUAGUGAUGUGCAUUACCGAGUGGGCCCAGAGAUACCUCUCCGACAAUCGGAGUGACAAAUCCUAAUCUCGAAAUACGCCAACCCAACAAGUACCUUUGGAGACACCUGUAGAGCACCUUUAUAAUCACCCAGUUACGUUGUGACGUUUGGUAGCACACAAAGUGUUCCUCCGGUAAACGGGAGUUACAUAAUCUCAUAGUCGUAGGAACAUGUAUAAGUCAUGAAGAAAGCAAUAGCAACAUACUAAACGAUCAAGUGAUAAGCUAACGGAAUGGGUCAAGUCAAUCACAUCAUUCUCCUAAUGAUGUGAUCCCGUUAAUCAAAUGACAACUCAUGUCUAUGGCUAGAAACAUAACCAUCUUUGAUCAACGAGCUAGUCAAGUAGAGGCAUACUAGUGACACUCUAUUUGUCUAUGUAUUCACACAUGUAUCAUGUUUCCGGUUAAUACAAUUCUAGCAUGAAUAAUAAAAAUUUAUCAUGAUAUACGGAAAUAAAUAAUAACUUUAUUAUUGCCUCUAGGGCAUAUUUCCUUCAGGGGGCACCCCAUAGACACACAAGUUAGCAAUUGUUUUAGCUGUGUGCGGUGCCCCCUCCACAGAUUUCCACCUCGGUCAUAUCAUUGCAGUGCUUAGGCGAAGCCCUGCGUCGGUAACAUCAUCAUCACCGUCACCACGCCGUCAUGCUAACGAAACUCUCCCUCGGCCUCAGCUGGAUCGAGAGUACGAGGGACGUCACCGAGCUGAACGUGUGUAGAUGGCGGAGGUGCCGUGCGUUCGGUACUUGAUCGAUUGGAUCGCGAAGACGUUCGACUACAUCAACCGCGUUACUUAACGCUUCCGCUUUUGGUCUACGAGGGUACGUGGACACACUCUCCCCACUCGUUGCUAUGCAUCUCCUAGAUAGAUCUUGCGUGAUCAUAGGAAUUUUUUUGAAAUACUAUGUUCCCCAACAGUGGCAUCCGAGCCAGGUCUAUGCGUAGAUGUUAUAUGCACGAGUAGAACACAAAGAGUUGUGGGAGAUAAUAGUCAUACUUCUUACCAACAUGUCAUACUUUGAAUCGGCAGUAUUGUUGGAUGAAGCGGCUCAGACCGACAUUACGCUUACGCUUACGCGAGACUGGUUCUACCGACGUGCUUCGCACACAGGUGGCUAGUGGGUGUCUGUUUCUCCAACUUUAGUUGAAUCGAGUGUGACUACGCCCGGUCCUUGUUGAAGGUUAAUUAAAACAACACACUUGACGAAAAUCAUUGUGGUUUUUGAUGCGUAGGUAAGAACGGUUCUUGCUAAACCCGUAGCAGCCACGUAAAAUUUGCAACAACUAGUAGAGGACGUCUAACUUGUUUUUGCAGGGUAUGUUGUGAUGUGAUAUUGUCAAGAUGUGAUGAUUGUUGUAUGAGAUGAUCAUGUUUUGUAACAGUUAUCGGCAACUGACAGGAGCCAUAUGGUUGUCGCUUUAUUGUAUGAAAUGCAAUCGCCAUGUAAUUGCUUUACUUUAUCACUAAACGGUAGCGAUAGUCGUGAUAGCAAUAGUUGGCGAGACGACAACGAUGCUUCGAUGGAGAUCAAGGUGUCAAGCCGGUGACCAUGGUAAUCAUAACGGUGCUUUGGAGAUGGAGAUCAAAGGCACAAGAUGAUGAUGACCAUAUCAUAUCACUUAUAUUGAUUGCAUGUGAUGUUUAUCCUUUAUGCAUAUUAUUUUGCUUAGUACGGCGUUAGCAUUAUAAGAUGAUCUCUCACUAAAUUUCAAGGUAUAAGUGUUCUACCUGAGUAUGCACCGUUGCGACAGUUCAUCGUGCCGAGACACCACGUGAUGAUCGGGUGUGAUAAGCUCUACGUUCACAUACAACGGGUGCAAGCCAGUUUUGCACACGCAGAAUACUCGGGUUAAACUUGAAGAGCCUAGCAUAUGCAGAUAUGGCCUCGGAAUACUGAGACCGAAAGGUCGAGCGUGAAUCAUAUAGUAGAUAUGAUCAACAUAGUGAUGUUCACCAUUGAAAGCUACUCCAUCUCACGUGAUGAUCGGACAUGGUUUAGUUGAUAUGGAUCACGUGAUCACUUAGAUGAUUAGAGGGAGGUCUAUCUAAGUGGGAGUUCUUAAGUAAUAUGAUUAAUUGAACUUUAAUUUAUCAUGAACUUAGUCCUGAUAGUAUUUGCAUAUCUAUGUUGUAGAUGAAUAGCUCGCGAUAUAGCUCCCCGUUUAUUUUUGAUAUGUUCCUAGAGAAAAUCUAUGUUGAAAGAUGAUAGUAGCAAUGAUGCGGACUAGGUCCGUGAUCUAAGGAUUAUCCUCAUUACUGCACAGAAGAAUUAUGUCCUUGAUGCACCGCUAGGUGAUGGACCUAUUGCAGGAGCAAAUGCAGACGUUAUGAACGUUUGGCAAUCUCGGUGUGAUAACUACUUGAUAGUUUAGUGCACCAUGCUUUACGGCUUAGAACCGGGACUUCAAAAACAUUUUGAACGCCACGGAGCAUAUAAGAUGUUCCAAGAGCUGAAAUUGGUAUUUCGGACUCAUGCCCGAGUCAAGAGGUAUGAGACCUCUGACAAGUACUUUGCCUACAAGAUGGAGGAGAAUAGCUCAGCCAGUGAGCAUGUGCUCAGAUUGUCUGAGUACUACAAUCGCUUGAAUCAAGUGGGAGUUAAUCUUCCAGAUAAAAUAGUGAUUGACAGAGUUCUCUAGUCACUAUCACCAAGUUACUAGAACUUCGUGAUGAACUAUAAUAUGCAAGCGAUGACGAAAACGGUUCCCGAGCUCUUCGUGAUGCUGAAAUCGACUAAGGUAGAAAUCAAGAAAAGCAUCAAAUGUUGAUGGUUGACAAGACCACUAGUUUCAAGUAAAAGGGCAAGGGAAAGAAAGGGAACUUCAAGAAGAAUGGCAAGCAAGUUGUCACUCCCAUGAAAAAGCUCAAAGCUAGACCCAAGUCUGAAACUGAGUGCUUCUACUGCAAAGGAAAUGGUCACUGGAAGUAGUACUGCCCUAGAUACUUGGCGGAUAAGAAGGAUGGCAAAGUAAACAAAGGUAUAUUUGAUAUACAUGUUAUUGAUGUGUACUUUACUAGUGUUCAUAGUAGCCCCUGGGUAUUUGAUACUGGUUCAGUUGCUAUGAUUAGUAACUCGAAACAGGAGUUACAAAAUGAACAAAGACUACUUGAGGGCAAGGUGACGAUGUGUGUUGGAAGUGAUUCCAAGGUUGAUAAGAUCACCAUCGCACACUCCCUUUACCUUCGGGAUUAGUGUUGAACCUAAAAUAAAUGUUAUUUGGUGUUUGCGUUGAGCAUAAUAUGAUUGGAUCAUGCUUAUUGCAAUACAGUUAUUCAUUUAAGUCAAAGAAUAAUUGUUAUUCUAUGAAUAAAACCUUAUGUGGUCAUACACCCAAGGUGAAUGGUUUAUUGAAUCUCGAUCGUAGUGAUACACAUAUUCAUACUAUUGAUGCCAAAAGAUGCGAUAAUGAUAGUGCAACAUAUUUGUGGCACUGCCGUUUAGUUCAUAAUGGUGUAAAGCGCAUGAAGAAACUCCAUGCUGAUGGGCUUUUGGAAUCACUUGAUUAUGAAUCACUUGAUGCUUGUGAACCAUGCCUCAUGGCCAAGAUGACUAAAACUCCAUUCUCCGGAACAAUGGAGCGAACAACUGACUUAUUGGAAAUAAUACAUACUGAUGUAUGCGAUCCGAUGAGUGUUGAGGCUCGCGGCGGGUAUCGUUAUUUUCUGACCUUCACAGAUGAUUUGAGCAGAUAUGGGUAUAUCUACUUGAUGGAACAUAAGUCUGAAACAUUUGAAAAGUUCAAAGAAUUUCAGAGUGAAGUGGAAAAUCAUCGUAACAAGAAAAUAAAGUUUCUACGAUCUGAUCGCAGAGACGAAUAUUUGAGUUACGAGUUUGGUCUUCAUUUGAAACAAUGUGGAAUAGUUUCGCAACUCACGCCACCUGGAACACCACAGCGUAAUGGUGUGUCCGAACGUCAUAACCGCACUUUAUUAAAUAUGGUGCGACCUAUGAUGUCUCUUACCGAUUUACCACUAUCAUUUUGGGGUUCUGCAUUAGAGACAGCUCCAUUCACGUUAAAAAGGGCACCAUCUAAAUCCGUUCAGACGACACCAUAUGGACUGUGGUUUAGCAAGAAACCUAAGUUGUCGUUUGUUAAAGUUUGGGGCUGCGAUGCUUAUGUGAGAAAGCUUCAACCUGAUAAGCUCGAACCCAAAUCGGAGAAAUGUGUCUUCAUAGGAUACCCAAAGGAAACUAUUGGGUACACCUUCUAUCACAGAUCCGAAGGUAAGAUAUUCAUUGCUAAGUGAAAGUGUGUUAUAUCGACUAGAGGGGGGGUGAAUAGGCGAUUUUUAUGAAUUCUUCACUGAGGAAUUUGCGGGUGAGGAAAUUCCUUAGCGAAGAACUACUUGCAGCGGAAUAAGUACUCAAGAGUAAUCAUAGCAGAACAUAGGCAUGGUCAUCAUGAUGAAAUGAAGACAAACACAGAGUACAGAAAGCGUAAACACAGGAUAGCACAGGAUGAAGACAAACAGACUGAAGAAAUUGAACUGAGGAAAUUGAGAAAGUCUUCAGUCAAAGUCUUCAAACACAGAUAUGAACAAGUGCACAACACAGUUAUGAGGAAAUGAAAGAGUUGAGGAAAUAGAACCAGCAAGCUCGGUGAAGACAACAAUUUGGUAGACCAGUUCCAACUGCUGUCUCAGUUGUACAUCUGGUUGGAGCGGCUAUGUAUUUAAACCUGAGGACACACAGUCCCGGACACCCAGUCCUGAACACACAGUCCAGGACACCUAGUCCUCACCUUAUUCUCCUUGAGCUAAGGUCACACAGACCUCGCCCAAUCACUUGUGGUAAGUCUUCAGGUGACUUUCAAACCUUCACAGACUCGGUCACUCGGCGAUCCACAAUUUCCUCUUGGAUGCUCUAGACCAUGACGCCUAACCGUCUGGAAGAAGCACAGUCUUCAAAGGUAACAAGCGUCGGAUCCACGCAGGAUCAAUCUCUUCAGUGAUGCUCAAUCACUUUAGGUUUGUGGGUGUUUGGGUUUGGGUUUUCCCCACUUGAUGAUUUUUGCUCAAAGUCCUCAGAGGAUGGGAUGCUCUCAAAUGACAAGUGUCAGUUUCGCUCAGAGCAGCCAACCAGCUAGUGGUUGUAGGGGGCGGCUAUUUAUAGCCUAGGGAGCAGCCCGGCAUGAUAAGACAUAAAUGCCCUUAAAUGAUAUGACCAUUAGGUGGGUAGAUAUUUUGGGACAGCUGGCGUAUAGCACAGCAACGGUCGAAAAUUUGAGUAUCAAAUUCCUCAGGGCUAUCAUGUUCCUCACUGUGUAGGCAAUCCGCACUGGCGAAUUCCUAACUCCUCAGUGAGAACAAAUUCCUCAGAGACCAGAAGAACUUUGUCUCUGUCACUGAAGAAUAUGACUGAACUAUAUGAUAUUUCCAAUGGCUUCACUCGAAGGGAUUGGUAGGUGUAGGAUUUUGAGUUGAGCAUCACAUGGAAAUUUUUCCUUAGUAUUUCCUCGACCCCCUUUAACAGUACGGUGUUUCCUAUGACUCAAGAAAGAGAAAAUGAAACUACGUAAACAAAAGUCUUCACGCUUCAUGUUCCUUAAAUGAAUACCAAGUCUUCAAGGUCACACCAAUUUCUUCACUUUCAAAGUCUUCAGAAAGUCUUCAGAAAUCCAAAGUCUUCAGUUGAAGAACUUUAUUUUUAGGGGUCGACUUUCUCUGUAAAUAUCAAACUCCUCAUAGACUUAUAGACAUGUGUACACUCAUAAACACAUUAGUCCCUUAACCUAUAAUUCUUCAAUACACCAAAAUCACUAAGGGGCACUAGAUGCACUUACAAUCUCCCCCUUUUUGGUGAUUGAUGACAAUAUAGGUUAAGUUUUCAACGGGGAUAAACAUAUGAAGUGUAAAUACUGAUAUUGAGGAAUUUGAUUGCAAGAUAUAGAAGAACUCCCCCUGAAGAUGUGCAUAGUGAGGAAUUUGCUUUUGAAGCAAUGCACACUUGAAGAGUUGAAUCAUGGAGAUCUCCCCCUAUAUCUUGUAAUUCAUACACGCAUUUGACAUAAUAUAUGAAGAAUUUGAAAUGCAUGAUGAAAUAUGGUGACUGAUGUAAUUCAGCAUGCGUGCAAUGACAUUAACGAGGAAUAAGCAUGCAGAAGAAACAACAAAAGUAUCAGGCCACCAUAGAGUUUAAGUUUACAACUCGAUCCAACAAAGUCAUCAGAAGAACGAGAGUUGUAACUUAGGAAAAAAACGCCCAUAUAAUAGACCCGCUUGAAGACUAACUCAAAUUUCUCCCCCUUUGUCAUCGAAUGACCAAAAGGUUCGAAAAUGAGGACUAACGCCCCUGAAGAAUAUCAAGUUGAUGAAGGAGCGUCAGCGUUGUCGGGGUCGUUUGUUGUAGUAGGGUCUGCCGCAGUGUCGUCCAAGUCCUCAUGUUCAUCAGUGUCACGUGAUGAAGAAUAGGAGAUGGCCACCAAGGAAGGAACUUUGGCCUUCUUGUACUUCUUCGGAGGAGGUGCAACCCAGUCAAGAUCUUCCUUGAGACCCAUUUUCUUUAGAUCUUCUUCACCAUAUAUGUGCGACAGAACAGCCCAGGUGCGGUUGAGGGUUUCAUGAAGGUAGUAGUGGUUUUUCUUCACUACAUUGUGGGUAGCAGUCAUGUUGUGAAGAAUUGAACCAAACUGACGUUUGACCCAUUUAUGAUUGCGAUCAACCUUCUGGUGAAGACUGAGGAGAAGCUCACGGUGAGUCAUCACCCUGGGUGCUGUGCCUUGAGGAUUUUGCUUGGGUACGUUGGCGGCAGAGUCAUGGGUGGCAGAGUCAUCAUUGGUGGAGUAGGAUGCAGCCUUGCGAAAUUGACCAUCCAAUGGACGAAUGCCUUCAUCAAUUACAGCCGUAGCCUUGCCCUUUUCAUCAGCUAAGGAAAAUGCCCGUUUGAGGACUUCAAUCGGGGGCAAGUAGCUGCAAUGGUUCAGUGUAUCAGCUUUGUAGUUGAGUGAAGACCUUGUUCUGAUGAAUCUCAUAAUCCACGGUGCAUAAGGCUUCAACUCAAAUGGUGACAUUGCGACAUUUGCCAGAGUCCUCAUGAAGAAAUCAUGGAAGUUGACAGGAACGCCAUGAAUGAUAUUGAAAAGCAGAUUCUUCAUGAUGCCAACGACUUCUUCUUCAUUCGAGUCGUGGCCCUUGAUAGGACUCAAUGUCUUCGUCAGAAUGCGAUAGACAGUCCGAGGCACAUACAACAAUUCCUUCACAAGGAAUUUUGUUCUUGGGGCCUGACCUGGCUUCAAAGGCUUCAUCAUCACUUGCAUAUAGUGAUCGGUAAGCUCAGGUUCAUUGUAGACGCAACAAGCACCUUCAAGGGGUGGACUGAGAGGCAAAGCACGAAGCAAUUCAGUAGCUGGUGCUUUGUAGUGAGUGUUUUCAGACAUCCAGUCCAGCACCCAUGAAUUCACGUCUUCAGGGUUGCCGGUGAUGUGCAGAGUUGCAUAAAAUUGAAGAAUUAGCUCUUCAUUCCAAUCACAUAUGUCAGUGCAGAAAUUUAACAGUCCAGCGUCGUAGAGAACACUGAGGAGUGGCGCGAAGCAUGGCAGAGAUUCCAUAUCCACGUGAGGAAUGUGCUCAUCAUCGAAGACUUUGUCUUUGUUGAACAACACUGAGGAAUAGAAAUUUGCCUGGCUGGCAGUCCAGAAACGCCUCUUCCUUAUGCGAGCAGAGUCAUAAGGGUUGUAAUCAGUGAAUAAUAUGUGCUCGCCGAAGAAAUCAUCAACCUUGAAUUUUGGCUUCCUUGAGAAUGGAUCCUUUGGCUUGGGCAGAGGAGUGUCAGUCAGUUGCAUGAUGACCUCAGGAAUCGCAAUCUUAGGUUCUUCAGGCUGAGGAAUUUCUGGUUCCACUUCAGUGGCAGCCUGGUUCUUCAAAUCUUCAUUUUCAUUUUCUUCAGCACUAGCGGCUGGAAUGUCUUCAUGAGCUUCAUCAGAUCCCAUUUGAACUGUAGUGGCUGGGGACUGAGGAAUUUGCUGCAGUGGAGUGAAGAGUGGAGAAUUGGGGUGCUGACUUUCCCAAAAGUCAUCAUUCAUCACUGGUGUGGUACAGCCAAUGUCCACAUCUUCUUCUUCAAUUUCUUCAACGCCAGCCUCUUCAGUAGUAAACUGAGGCAUAGGCGAGGAAACUGUGGGGGUUGUAGGGAUUUUAUCCACUUCAAUUUCUUCAUCCAUCUGCUCUGACGAAGCAGCAUAAGGAUUUUCUUCAUCAGAUCCGCUAGGGAUCACAUAUUCUUCAUCAAAAGAGAUGAUUUCCUUUGAUGGCAUGGAGGAAACUGGAACAGCAUCAAUUGGAUUAGCAAAUGAGCUUGUCAAUUUCUUCAUCUUCUUCGGUGCUGAAGAAUCUGAAGGAGCUGAUGCUUUCCUUUUCUUCACUGCUGCACGCUCUGCAGCCUUGGUCUUCUUCACAUCUGAUGCAGAUGGAAGGAUUGGAGUUGGUGUAGGCACAGGAGGAGCAGAGGAAUGUGGUUGAUUUUCUUCAGGCACAACUGAUGCAGUUGCCCUGACCUCUUCAUUUUCUUCAGGCGCACCACUAGUGGGUGCCCUGGCAGUUUCAUCAGCGGCUGGAAUGCAGUCAUCAGCCCUGGAACUCACAUUUUCUUCAGCAGCCUGAUUGUCAUCAGCGGUGCUGGCAUGUUCUUCAGUUGGCUAAGCAGCUGCUUCAGCCUGAGGAAUUUCUUGUUGCGAUGGGGCUGCAACAUUUGAGGUGAACAUCUUUGUCAGUUUGACAAACCUGACCUUGGCUCCUUUCCAAUCAGCAUAGUAAGCAUUGAAAUCAUCAUUGAGGACUUUGAUUUCAGACUGGAUCUUCACAAGUUCAUCAGGUGUCAUAGAGACAACGUUGUUCUUCAGGAAUUUCUCCUUCCUGUACUGUGCUUUCUUGAGCUGCCUGGCCUUCUCAAACUUCCAUUUCUCUUCUUGGAUGAAGGCAGUCAGCAUAUGACUUGACCAGGAGUCAGCUUGAAGUCAGGCAUAGGAGUGUUUGGGUCCUUGUGCCAGAGAUCAAUGUAAUCGAGGAUCAACUUUGGAUCCAAAAGCAGAGGCACAUUUGUGCCCUUGCCUGUCUCUGAUGAUUUCACCAAGUUCUUCAUCAUCAGCUUCGUCUUCUUCAGACGGCACUUGGAAGGCGACCUGCUUCUUGUGAGGACUUGGGCUAGAGCCUCGUCCAGCAGUGGUCUUAGUCUUCAGCAGAGAGGGUCCUGUUGAAGAAUUUGGUGCAGCUGAGGAACUAGCUGAAGCUCCUGAGGCAAUAGAGAUGCCUGUAGUCCUUUGGCACCUGGCAAGAUGCACAGGUGCUGAGGAUUUUGUCGGAGCAGCUGAGGACUUUGGAGGAGUAGGAGCAGCGUGAGGAAUUGGCCGUGAGGGCUUAGCUGAGGAAAUUGGCCGUGAGGGCAUUGAAGAAGAGGCACUUGGCUUGUGCGCAGGCUUCUUUGCCAUGGAUUUCUUCUGCCUUACAGAGGCUCAGCAGCAGCAGCAGUGGAAUCUUCGUUGAAUUUCUUCACUACAUCUUUUGCCUGUUUGGCCAACUUGGCCUGUCGCUUGGCCCAUUCUUCAGGAAACUCCUCACCGCGUUUGAUGCUAGUGGGAUCUGCUUCUUGGCCAGGUGCCAAUGGUGGUCUUGAGCAUGGAGGAGUAACAGCGAAUUUCUUCAUGUACUUUGGAGUCACAUAUCCGUACUCCCUCCACUCUCUUGCCCAUCUCCUCUCAAUCUUUUGAAUGCGCACUUUGCGCUGAUUUUUAUCCUCCUCAGGGGGUGUGCAGUACCCAGCAUAGAUGUCCUCAGGGAUUUCAAAAGCAAUGUUGACCUCAUGCCUCUUUCCUCCUUUCUGUGGCUUCUUACCGUCAGCCAUUUUCUUCAGAUGAGGAAUUUGAACAAUGGAAUUCUUUGAAGAAGUAUGCAACUUUUCUUCGAGGAAUGCAUAUACGAAGAACACGACGAACUGUGAGGUGGAGAAGUGAAGUUCGUUUGUGCAGAUCUUCCACGCCCUAACUCGGCGGAGGAAGACGGCUACGGCGGCGGCGGAGUGAAGAUUUCCACGGCCGGCGCGAGUACGACGGCGACGAGGUCGAGGCAGUGAAGCUCUUCCUCACCGGCGACGAUGAAGUAGCGGCGGUGCUAGGGUUUGAGAAGCUUGAGCUGGAGAGAGGUCGGGCGAAGUAAAGGAAGUGAGGAAGGGGAGAGGGGGUAUUUAUAGCCACGGUGAAAAACGGUUCUCCCGAAGAAAUUGGACGAACGUGCCCCUGACCCUUCUCAUUCGCUUGACAUGUGUCACCCACGUACUGAGAAGUGGAGAUCGUGUUAGAUCGUGGCUGAAUAGAUAAGUAUUUCGUGGGAUGCGAAACGGUUUGAGCGGCAAAGCCGAAAAUUUGGAUAAGAUAAGUUAAAAGUUCCAUUCGCAAAUUUUUCAGCUGACAAGGGCACAGUGAAGUUUUUGAACGAGUUUCAAAUAGAACGCACAUGAAGAAUGUAGCGACCCGACCCGAAUGGCUCAAGUCUCUGUGCUUAAGUGUCAUCCCUGGAUCGGUAUGCCGACACACACAGUACUCGAGGAUUUAUAACAGAGGUAAAUCACAUGUAUAAAGUAACGUAAAAACUAUUACCUCAAUCCAAAUAGCGGAAGUAACAACAAGGUUGUGGAUUCCCAUCAACACCAACGGCAAAGUUGAGUGUAGAAAUCGUAACCCUAAUGUAUCACUUACUUGUCGUAAGAAUCCUGCAACAUGAAACGUUGCAGCCUGAAAACGGGUCAGUACAUUGAAUGUACUGGCAAGAUAACACAAGAGAGUAAUGAACAGAAUAAAAGCCAACACUACAUGCAUAUAUGGCUGGUGGAAGCUCUAUGGUAUAAUGUUUUUGCAGAAAGCCAAUUUUUCCCUACUGCAAAGGAAUAAAUUUUAUUUAACUAUCAUGGUGGUUGUUAAACAUUGAGAAGGUACCUCCAACUCAAUCCCAAUUAAGAAUGUGAUUAAACCCAAUCAAAUUUAACUUAAGUAACAUGAUGAGAUACACAUGAUAAUCCAGGUACUAGAUACUCAAGUUGUCCAUAACCGGGGACACGGCUAAUCAUGAUUAGUUUGUACACUCUGCAGAGGUUUGUGCACUUUUCCCACAAGACUCGAUCUCCUCCGCUGGAUUUCUCGCACUGCAUGGUGUUUGAGAAACGGAUGACCGAGACACAGUCUUUCAGAAGCAUUAACUCUAACCCUGGGUAGACAGUACCAACCUACACCCCCUACAUCUGCUAGCCUACCACUGGAAGAGGUCAUGCAACAUACUCAACUAUGCUAGAGCCCAUAAUAGCUUGUGGUUGCACACGGAAGUUUCUAGCAUGAAUAAUCUUAUGAUCCCUUUGAGUCUGGGUGGCGGUCCAUAGGAUGAUCACACGGGUACUCCGGGAUAUCCAAAAAUACAGGCAACACUGGGUUCUCCAGGUGCCUCAAUCCACCCAGAUGUUUAUUUAAGUAGCCACCUUAAGUUGAACCAUUAAUUAACAACCUCACAUCUGUCAUGGAAAUUCACUCAAACCCAAUCCACGUCUACGAGCAUAGCAUAGCAAUAUAAGCAAACGUAGAAGUAACUCCCAAGGGUUUGAUAAUAAACAGGGCAAUAGGUUCCUACCUCAUCAACUACUUCCCAAUACCCACAUGUUAUCAAUCCUACUCAUGCAAUGUUUGAGGGUUGAAUCUAAUGCAUAAAAACUGGGUAUGAAAGGGGUAUGAUCAAAGUGUGAACUUGCCUGCAAUGUUGAUGAAGAUGAUUCGCACUCAAAACUCUUGAUAGUUCUACUCGUCACACUCCGGUCAAUCUAUCGUAAGCAAGCAAUAGUAACCACACAUAAGCAAUCACUCAAAAGAUCGGAAAGAACGAAGAAAACAAUUUGGAAAACUUCAAAACCAAGCUAAUAACUCUUGCAACAUAAAACAAUUUCUAACAGUACCAAAAUUAUGUGAACUUGGCCUUAUCAGAAGGUUUAGGUCAAGAGCUUCGGUUUGCAAAAAGAAUCAACUCAAACGGAGCUACAAAACUCAAGUUACGAUCAAAUGAAGUUCAAUUCUAAUCUGUUUGAAAUCAAAUUUUAAACUUUCAAAAACAAGGUUGAGUUGGAUUACUGGAAAGAGGGGAUCGUAACGAAGAAGUGGGCGUUGGUUUCAUUGGAUUUGGAUAAACGAGCAAAAAGUUGUGAUCGUUUGAAAAUCAGGGGCUAGACUGUAAAAUAAAUCAUCACAGAUAGGUCCCUGGCGAAAAACUAAAAUAAAAGAAAAAGACUAAAUGGCGAACGUUCACUACAGAAACUUACACGGCGAAAACCGUUCACUAUAGAGGCUAAACCAGCGAACGUUCAUUAAAUAAAACAAAAUGUUUUAAAAAAAGAAAAGGAAAAAAAACACCUCGAUCUGGACCGUUGGAUCCAGAUCGGACGGACGAGGGCAGGCGGCGGUUACCGCGGUGGCUGGAGUCGCCGGCGACGUGGGACGGCGGCGAUGGCGUCGGCUGCGAGCGGGGAGGCGGCUCCGGCGGUCGGCUGCUUCGGGUCGAAGCACGGGGAGGCGCGGCGCGGCGAGGUGAGGAGGAUGGCGGCGUCGGCGGCGGUCCUCGGCGACGGGACGAAGCGAGGCGGCAGUGGCAGAUCUCGUCGGGGCGGGACUCCGGCGAGGGCGGCGGUUGCGGCGGAGGAGGAGGAGAGAGAGGGCCCCGGGGCGGCACCCUUUAUAGGAGGGGAGGGGCAAGGUGGCGUGGAGGAGGGGGCAGGGCAAGGCGGCGGCGGUGUCCGGCUGGGGCACGGACGCCGAGGCAGUGCGGUGGCGUGCGGCGGCGUGCGGAGGGAGGAAUCCCGCUCGGGGCUCGGGGACGAGCGGCGUGGGCCGGCUGGGCCGUGGCCUGGCGAACUGGGCCGGCCCGGUCGGUCCGAGGAAGAGUUAAAAAAAAAGAAAACACAACAAAAUAAAAAAUGAAAUAAAAUGAAAUUGAUCCUACGCAUAUUUUAUAUCAAAAUUUUCAGAAAAAGAUUUCCUCCAAGAUGAACAUUUUUCUAGCGUCAAAUAAAAUCCACACAAAUUUAAAUAAAUCAAACAGUGCUACUGCCUUAAUAAAAUCCAAUAAAAUAAUUUUAAAAAUACCAAAAUGAUUUCAAAUUUAUUUCUCUCCAAUUUACUGAUGUAGGGAAUCAUGUUACCCUAUUUUACAUAAAUUUUUAUUUUGGAGAAAAAUAAUUUGAAUAAAACUCAAAUAACUCCAAUAUUGAAAAUAAUUUCAAAAUGGAUUUUAAAUUUGAGUUUCUUUGAAACUCCCAACUCAUAUUUCAUAUAUUUUGAAGAAGUCAUUUUAUCUUCUCUCAUGAAAAUCAUUGAGUUGCAUAAAGUUUCAGAAUUGGAAAUAUUUUCAAAUGAAAUUCAAAUAUUUUCAACACCCCUUGUCAUUUAAAUAAAUGGAAGAAGUCAUGUCAUCUUCUCUCCAGAGUUUUGUGGUGAAAAGAAUUUGAAUUCACGGAGAUCAUAAAGCAAAAAUGAAUGUUUGGGAAAGUCCUUUUAUUCCCUCUCAUUUAACUCUCAAAAAUUUCGAAUUUCACUCAAUCAAUCAAACAAUCAAUCAAAUCUAUCUAUUUAUUAUAACAUUCCAAAAUUUAGAAUUUUGGGAUGUUACAAACCUACCACCCUUAAAAUGAAUCUCCUCCUCGAGAUUCGGGGAGGCUAGAAAGAAAUAGGUUAGGUUUGGGGUCUUCUCAAAAUCCAUCGAUCAUCACCGGGGUCUGGGGUGCUACCACCCUUAGAAGCAUGGUUACGGUUCCAUCAAAACUCAGAUACUCCAUCCUUAUCUUUGACAGUGUCAGUCUUCUCAGAUUCUCGGAAAAAUUCCUUCUCUGGCUCUUUGGGUAGCGGCAUAACCUUUUCCUCAAUUCUUCUGUCUUUCAUCUUGGUAAGGUUAUUUCGAGACUGGGUCUUCUUAGCUGACGGGUCAGGCGCCAAUACUAAACAACUAUCGACAUCUCCUAGUGGUCAACAAUUUACGGUUUCUCCUGCAGGAAAUGGGUCUGGGUUGAACCUCACCGUAUAACCUACGGUUGGCAACAACUGCCGUGUACAAGGGACAAUACCUAUACCAUUCUAAGGUUUAAACAAGGUUUAAAUCGUCGUCACUCUACUAUAGGUAAGUCACUCAGAUUUACCAUCCCAUAUAGCAAGGCGAAUAAUAAGAGUAAGUCGGUAUGGUGAUCAAUCCAUCCCGCACCCAAAUCAUUACCUUGUACAUGGUUUAGCGAAUCUCGCAUUCUAACACUCGGUCAUUCUCGCAAGCAUUGCAGAAUUUCUCUUGUCAACGAACCAAGUUCGGAUAAAUCCAUGGAUUCUGCAAGCCAAACAAACAUCUAUCAUUCCUUCCCAACCCUCAGGUUUUGCGUAACUCCUAAUAGAUCGUCUGUCGAUAAAAUCAUAACUUCUUCCAGGGUCUUCCCUUCAACAAGAGUGUGCUUGCUUCUUGGCAGGUCCUGGGGCCUGUGGGUUAUGGCCCAUCUCAUCACUUGCAAACCUUGAAUUCAUCAUCAGGGCAACUGAUCCUUAUUCCAACAUCCAGCUUCCUAGCAUUCUUAAAUCCAUCCAAUUUUAUUGUCCUUCUUCCUUCUAUUAGCACCAAACUAAGACAUGAUUACUCAGACUCAUUAUGGAAUUUCCAUUGAUCCAUAUUUCCAACAUCAUACCUCCUUUUAUAUCCAAUAGUAAUUUAUCUCUUCAUCCUCGUGGGAUAUCCCACAUACCGAGAUAAAAAAACUUAUACUUAUGAAGUCCAUACUCCACUUCGUGGAACAUCAUUAUCCUUUCUAGGGUCAAGCGUCCUUACAGGGGAAUGUUGGCCAUCUCUGCAUGGCACUUCUUCAACUAGGAAACGUGAAACACAUCAUGAACUCCUGACAGUCCUUUGGGUGACUCCAGCUUGUUGGCCACUUCUCCCAUACGCUCCAAAACUCGGUAUGGUCCUACAAAUCUCGGGGCUAACUUUCCCUUAACUCCAAAUAGUUUAACUCCUCGCAGAGGGAACACACGAAGACAUGCUCCAUCUCCAAUUUCAUAGACUACCUCCUUUACAUCCAAUAAUACUCCAUACCCUCAUAUUCUUGGGGUAUCCAACAUAUCAAGAUAAAACUCAUACUUAUUUUGUUUGAAAUCCACUUCGUGGAAUAUCAUUACCUUUCUCCAAGGGUCAAGUUUCCUCACAGGGUACUACCACCUUUAAAAUGCACAAUCUUCCAUAGACCAUAUUUCUCAUAUCCUCGAAAAUGGUCAAAAUCUUUCUUCAUAGAGUAACGACUCAUAAAAUCCAAAUCAAUACCAAUGAUGCUAACUUUAUUGAUUCUCAAAUUAUUACAAUCUCCUGCAUUCCAUUACAUGCCUCAAUCCGACACCUCACUAAUAAAAGAAAUGACCACACUUCUACUACUAUAUUUCUUGUUGCACUCAACUAUUUGUCACAAGUCUCUGUCUCCUUGGGGCAUUUUCUGGCAAGCUUCAGCAGUAGACAGUGAUACGCAGUUCUGUUUCUUCGAGGACCAACAGACCAAAGAUCGUCCGAGGAAAUGACAUGUACCAGAUGUUGACUUGCGGUCCACACGAUCACCAUCCUAGUCAGAGUCAGAAUAUCCAAUGAGAUCAAAAGCCGAGCCCUUGGGGUACCAUAAUCCAAGUGUUGGUGUGUGAGCUAGAUAUUGAAGAAUAUGUUUCACAGCCUUAUGGUGUGAUUCCUUCGGUGUAGCUUGAAAUUGGGCACACAUGCAAACACUAAGCAUAAUAUCUGGCCUAGAUGCACAUAAAUACAAUAAAGAACCAAUCAUGGAGCGGUAUACCUUUUGAUCGAAGUCAAUACCAUUUUCAUCAGUGCACAGAUGGCCAUUUGUGGGCAUCGGAAUUUUGACGCCUUUGCAAUCUUGCAUGCCAAAUUUCCUCAGUACAUCCUGAGAUAUGAAUAUGCCAUUGCGCUGUUGACGAAUUUGAAGACCUAAGAAGAAUUUCAACUCUCCCAUCAUAGACAUUUGAUAUUCUUCACUCAUUAUAUAGGCAAAUUCAUCACUAUAACGUUGGUCAGUACAGCCAAAGAUGAUAUCAUCAACAUAUAUUUGGCACACAAACAAUUCAUCAUCAUAUGAUUUAGUGAAAAGUGUAGGGUCGAGUGAACCGGGUUUGAAGCCUUUCCUCAUGAGGAAUUCCUUCAAAGUAUCAUACCACGCCCGAGGGGCCUGCUUGAGGCCAUAGAGGGCCUUAUUUAGUCUGAAGACUUUGUCAGGAUGCUUAGGAUCUUCAAAACCUGGGGGUUGAGCAACAUAUACUUCUUCCUCAAGCUUACCAUUGAGGAAUGCACUUUUCACAUCCAUUUGAUAUAAAGUGAUAUCAUGAUGGUUAGCAUAAGCGAGUAAUAUGCGAAUAGCUUCAAGUCUAGCAACAGGUGCAAAAGUUUCAUCAAAAUCAAUUCCUUCAACCUGUGUGUAGCCUUGAGCUACUAGCCAUGCCUUAUUCCUCACCACAAGGCCAUUUUCAUCUUGCUUGUUGCGGUAUAUCCACUUUGUGCCAAUGAUAUUGUGUUUGCGAGGAUCUGGACGAUUGACCAGUUCCCAAACGUUGUUGAGCUCGAACUGAUGUAAUUCUUCUUGCAUGGCCUGAAUCCACUCAGGCUCCAGAAAUGCUUCAUCUACCUUAGUGGGCCCUGUGAUAGAGAAAAAAGCAUAGUGCCCACAAAAGUUAGAUAAAUGUGAAGCUUUUGAGCAUGUGAGAGGACCUGGUGCUUUAAUGUCAUCGAUGAUCUUUUCAACUUGCACUUCUUUUGCAACGCGAGGAUGAGUUGGUUGUCAUCGAGGAAUUUGAUCAGCAUUUUCUUCAGCACCAUUUUCUUCAGCAUUUUCUUCAGGUGCAUUAGCUCGACGUUCUUCAUGUUCUGGAAUGAAUUCUUUAGCAGAUUCUUCGGUAGGAAUGACAUCCUCAGUAGCCUUGAACUUGAUAGAUUCCCCAGGUGCUGGUUCAUCUAUCACAGAAGGUAGGUGCUCCCUUUGCGAGCCAUUAGUUUCAUCGAACCGCACAUCUACAGUUUCAACAACCUUGUGAAGAAUGUUGUUGAAGACUCUGUAGGUGUGCUAGUCCUUUCCGUAACCAAGCAUAAAACCUCCAUGUGCUUUCAGUGCAAAUUUAGCAUUGUGAUGAGGAUCUCUAAUCCAACAUUUAGCACCAAAGACUUUGAAAUAACUCACAUUGGGUUUCUUGUCAAUGAGGAGUUCAUAGGCAGUCUUCUUGAAGAAUUUGUGAAGAUAUACCCUGUUGAUGAUGUGGCAUGCAGUAUAAAUUGCCUCAAUCCAGAAGUGACGAGCCGUCUUGUACUCAUCAAGCAUAGUGCGAGCCAUCUCAACAAGAGUUCUGUUCUUGCGCUCCACGACGCCAUUUUGCUGAGGAGUGUAAGGAGCAGAUAACUCAUGAGUAAUACCAAGUUCAUCAAGAUAGUCAUCAAUACCAGAAUUCUUGAACUCAGUUCCAUUGUCACUUCUGAUGUGCUUGAUCUUCACACCAAAGUUGGUUGAAGACCUCGAGGAAAAUCGUUUGAAGACUUCCUGCACUUCAUGUUUGUAAGUGACAAUAUGUACCCAUGUGUAACGAGAGUAAUCAUCAACAAUAACAAAGCCAUAGAGAGAUGCAUCAUUUGUGAUUGCUGAGUAAUGGUUAGGACCGAAGAGAUCCAUAUGAAGCAAUUCAAAUGGUCGAGUAGUGGUCAUGAUAGUCUUCGAUGGAUGCUUAGCCUUGGUCAUCUUUCCAGCUUCACAAGCUCCACACAAGUGAUCCUUGAGGAAUUUGACAUUCUCAAUGCCAAUGACAUGCUUCUUCUUCGCAAGCGUGUGCAAAUUCCUGAUGCCUGCAUGACCAAGUCGUCGAUGCCAUAGCCAGCCUUCUGAAGCUUCUGCAAGUAGGCACACGGCUGGUUGUGGUCCUGUAGAGAAAUCAACAAUAUACAAGUCUCCUCUCCUAAAGCCUUCGAAGACUUUGGAAUUGUCAGCUUCCAUAACCACAACACAACGAUACUCGCCAAAGACAACAACCAUAUCAAGAUCACAAAGCAUUGAGACAAACAUGAGGUUGUAUCCUAAGGACUCGACGAGCAUACUUUGUCCAUUUGUUGAUCCUUUGUGAUCGCAACCUUACCUAGACCAAAUACCUGACUUUUGCCUUUGUCAACGAAGAUGAUAUGCUUCAGAUGCGAUGGUGAUAAGGGAGCAUCCAUCAAUAGAUUCUUGUCACCAGUCAUAUGAUUUGUACAUCCACUAUCGAGGACCCACUCAGUGGCUUUGGGUUGAACAUCCUGCAGAUGAAUUAGUGCAGCUUACGAACUUCAUAUACUUCAUCAAUGAAGAAUAUGACAUCACAAUUCAUCAGACCAAUUUCAUCAAGCAAUGCAAUAGUUAAAGCAGUAUGAGGACGUGAGAAAUGAAAGUUCAUUUCUUCAUGAUUAGCCUGCGUCUUUUCAGGCACUUUUCAGGUCUCCAGCAAAUUCUUCAGACGUUAAAGUACGUCUGGAGACCUGACCCUGCAUAAAAGAUUAGUUCUUUUUCUUCACCACCCACAUCUGAAGGGGUGGCAAAGAGUUCAUCACUCUGCGAGCUCCAUACGAGAAAGGUGGCAUAGAAGCCAAUCCAUUUCAUUUCACAUAAGAGGAGUUAGGGUAAGCAUAUGAAUAAGCAGAGAAAUUCUUCGAGGACUUAUGAACAUAAUGAUUAGAAGAAUAAUGCUCAUAUUCAUAGCCCUUAGCUCUUCCCUGCGAAACAGAGUUGUUAGCACGAUGAUGUCCAUAUGAGGACUUUGAUCCUUUUGAGGAAUAUGAUCCACGUGAGGAAUUCGAUCCGUAUGAGGACUUGGAUCCAUAUGAAGAAUUUGGUCCAUAUGAAGAAUUUGAUCUGGGGUUCCUAUUAUUCACAGGUGGUGUCAUGAGGACAUUCACCUGAAGACUUUCAAGGCACCUUUUGGGAACCCAGAUUUUCUUCAUAGGAGAACCGUUCCUGCAGUUAGUGCCAACAUAUCUAGCAAAUACUUCACCAUUCUGAUUUUUAAACAGUUUAUAGUUGGAGUCAAAUGACUUAUCGGAAGAAUGAGAAGAUUCACAUGUAAAGCCAAAUAAAUUAGAUGGAUCAACUGGAGGUCCCUUGGCAGCAACCCAUGAGGUUUUGGGGUACUGCUCAGGCUUCCAAUAUGUACCAUCAACAUUGAGUUUCCUCUCAAAGCAAUACCCUCUUUCCUAGGGUUCCUGUUGAGGAUCUGCUUUUUAAGCACAUCAUAAAGAGUCUGAUGCCCUUUGAGGCUUUUGUACAUGCCUGUCAUGUACAAUUCCUUCAGCCCUGCAUCGACAGUGAUACUAGCAAUGUUCUCAGAUGAGGAAUUAGUGAUAGCAGAGACAGUUGAAGAAUUUGUAGCAUUAGAAGCAUUUGAACAUUCAGGUGAAGAAUUAGCAGAUUCACGUUCAAUGCAUUUCAAACAUGGAGGAACAAAUUCUUCCUGAGAAGCGCUGAUUUGUUGAGCAAGUAAUGAAUCGUGCUCCUUCUGAAGAUCUUCAUAACUCACUCUUGGCUUCUCAAGAUCUUGCUUUCUUUGAAGAAAUUCAUAAGAAAGCUUCUCAUGAUCAGAUAAGAGAGUGUUAUGAUGACUUUGAAGGUUGUCAAACUUAUACUGAAGUCUCUGAAGAUUUUCAGUCAAGGUUUUAGUGCGGUCCAUUUCUUCACCCAACAUAUCAUCACUUUUAUCUAGCAUGUUUUGAACCUUUUCCAAGGCCUUUUGUUGUUUAGUGGCAAUACAAACAAGCUUGGUAUAGCUAGGUCCAAAAUCAUCAUCAGAUUCAUCAUCACUAGACUCGGAUGAGGAACAUUCGGUUACCUUGGCACCUUUUGCCAUUAGGCAUGGUGCAGAAGAUGAUGGUUCAGGUUCGAAAGUCAUCGUUUUGAGUGAUUCCUUGAAAUCCUCAAACCAGGGAUCGUGACAAGUUCGAUGACCUUCAUAGACGUCAGAGAUUCGGUCCCAGAUAAGCUUCGCAUUGCAAAGAUGCAUAAUGCGCCUGAAUUCAUCUCUGGAUAGGCAGGAACAGAUGAUAUCCUUCGUCAUGAUGUCAAGUCGAGUGUACUUGCGAAUAUCAUCAGUGUCUGCCAUCUUGCAUAGAUCGGUAAGACCAAACUCAGUGACGGUCCACAGCUCGCUGUUCAUUGCCAUGAGGCGUUUCCUCAUCAUGGCCUUCCACUUGGGAUAAUCAUGACCGUCAAAGAUGGGGCAUGUCACUUUCUUCAUACCAGUAGUCGACAUAACUAAAACUCCAGGCGGUUAAACCAAAAUCACACAGAACAAGGGAGUACCUUGCUCUGAUACCAAUUGAAAGUGUGUUAUAUCGACUAGAGGGGGGUGAAUAGGCGAUUUUUAUGAAUUCUUCACUGAGGAAUUUGCGGGUGAGGAAAUUCCUUAGCGAAGAACUACUUGCAGCGGAAUAAGUACUCAAGAGUAAGCAAAACAGAACAUAGGCAUGGUCAUCAUGAUGAAAUGAAGACAAACACAGAGUACAGAAAGCGUAAACACAGGAUGAAGACAAACAGACUGAAGAAAUUGAACUGAGGAAUUGAGAAAGUCUUCAGUCAAAGUCUUCAAACACAGAUAUGAACAAGUGCACAACACAGUUAUGAGGAAAUGAAAGAGUUGAGGAAAUAGAACCAGUAAGCUCGGUGAAGACAACGAUUUGGUAGACCAGUUUCAACUGCUGUCUCAAUUGUACAUCUGGUUGGAGCGGCUAGGUAUUUAAACCUGAGGACACACGGUCCCGGACACCCAGUCCUGAACACACAGUCCAGGACACCUAGUCCUCACCGUAUUCUCCUUGAGCUAAGGUCACACAGACCUCGCCCAAUCACUCGUGGUAAGUCUUCAGGUGACUUCCAAACCUUCACAGACUCGGUCACUCGGCGAUCCACAAUUUCCUCUUGGAUGCUCUAGACCAUGACGCCUAACCAUCUGGAAGAAGCACAAUCUUCAAAGGUAACAAGCGUCGGAUCCACGCAGGAUCAAUCUAUUCAGUGAUGCUCAAUCACUUUAGGUUUGUGGGUGUUGGGGUUUGGGUUUUCCUCACUUGAUGAUUUUCGCUCAAAGUCCUCAGAGGAUGGGAUGCUCUCAAAUGACAAGUGUCAGUUUCUCUUGGGGCAGCCAACCAGCUAGUGGUUGUAGGGGGCGGCUAUUUAUAGCCUAGGGAGCAGCCCAUCAUGAUAAGACAUAAAUGCCCUUAAAUGAUAUGACCUUUAGGUGGGUAGAUAUUUUGGGACAGCUGGCGUAUAGCACAGCAACGGUCGGAAAUUUGAGUAUCAAAUUCCUCAGGGCUAUCAUGUUCCUCACUGUGAUCCAUAUAUGUGCAAGCUCCAGCGAUCCAUUUAUGGACUGGUGCAAGCCUCUCGGAGUUGGAAUAUACGCUUUGAUAGUGUGACCAAAGCAUAUGGUUUUAUACAGACUUUUGGUGAAGCAUGUAUUUACAAGAAAGUGAGUGGGAGCACUACAACUUUUCUGAUAAGUAUAUGUGAAUGACAUAUUGUUGAUCAGAAAUGAUGUAGAAUUUUCUGAAAAGCAUAAAGGAGUGUUUGAAAGGAGUUUUUUCAAAGAAAGAGCUCGGUGAAGCUGCUUACGUAUUGAGCAUCAAGAUCUAUAGAUAUAUACCAAGACGCUUGAUAAGUUUUUUCAAUGAGUACAUACCUUGUCAAGUUUUCGAAGUAGUUCAAAAUGGAACAGUCAAAGAAGGAGUUCUUGCAUGUGUUGCAAGGUGUGAAGUUGAGUAAAGACUCAAAACCCGACCACGGUAGAAAAUAGAAAGAGAAUGAAAAGUCAUUCCCUAUGCCUCAGUCAUAGGUUCUAUAAAGUAUGCUAUUCUGUGUACCAGACCUAUUGUAUACCUUAGCAUGAUUUUGGCAAGGGAGUACAAUAGUGAUCUAGGAGUAGAUCGCUGGACAACAGUCAAAACUAUCCUUAGAGGACUCAGGAAAUAUUUCUCGGUUAUGGAGGUGACAAAGAGUUCGUCGUAAAGAGUUACGUCGAUGCAAGAUUUUACACCGAUCUAGACGACUCUGCGUCUCAAUCUGGAUACAUAUUGAAAGUGGUAGCAAUUAGCUAGAGUAGCUCCGUGCAGAGCAUUGUAGACAUAGAAAUUUGCAAAAUACUUACGGAUCUGAAUGUGGCAGACCCGUAGACUAAAACUUCUCUCACAACCAAAACAUGAUCACACCUUAUUACUCUUGGGUGUUAAUCACAUAAGCGAUGUGAACUAGAUUAUUGACUCUAGUAAACCCUUUGAGUGUUGGUCACAUGGUGAUGUGAACUAUAAAGUGUUAAAUCACAUGACGAUGUGAACUAUUGGUGAUAAAUCACAUGGCGAUGUGAACUAGAUUAUUGACUCUAGUGCAAGUGGGAGACUGAAGGAAAUAUACCCUAGAGGCAAUAAUAAAGUUGUUAUUAAUAUUUCCUUAUAUCAUGAUAAAUGUUUAUUAUUCAUGCUAGAAUUAUAUUAACCGGAAAUUUAGUACGUGUGUGAAUACAUAGACAAACAGAGUGUCACUAGUAUGCCUCUACUUGACUAGCUCGUUAAUCAAAGAUGGUUAAGUUUCCUAACCAUAGACAUGAGUUGUCAUUUGAUUAACGGGAUCACAUCAUUAGAGAAUGAUGUGAUUGACAUGACCCAUCCGUUAGUUUAGCAUGAUGAUCGUUUAGUUUGUUGCUAUUGGUUUCUUCAUGACUUAUACAUGUUCCUCUGACUAUGAGAUUAUGCAACUCCCGAAUACCGGAGGAACACUUAGUGUGCUAUCAAACAUCACAACAUAACUGGGUGAUUAUAAAGAUGCUCUACAGGUGUCUCCGAUGGUGUUUGUUGAGUUGGCAUAGAUCAAGAUUAGGAUUUGUCCCUCCGAUUGUCGAAGAGGUAUCUCUGGGCCCUGUCGGUAAUGCACAUCACUAUAAGCCUUGCAAGCAAUGUGAAUAAUGAGUUAGUUGCGGGAUGAUGCACUACGGAACGAGUAAAGAGACUUGCCGGUAACGAUAUUGAACUAGGUAUUGAGAUACCGACGAUCGAAUCUCGGGCAAGUAACAUACCGAUAACAAAGGGAACAAUGUAUGUUGUUGUGCGGUUUGACCGAUAAAGAUCUUCGUAGAAUAUGUGGGAGCCAAUAUGAGCAUCCAGGUUCCGCUAUUGGUUGUUGAUCGGAGAUGAGUCUCAGUCAUGUCUACAUAGUUCUCGAACCCGUAGGGUCCGCACGCUUAACAUUCGAUGACGAUCUGUAUUAUGAGUUUAUGUGUUUUGAUGUACGAAGGUAGUUCGGAGUCCCAGACGUGAUCACGGACAUGACGAGGAGUCUCGAAAUGGUCGAGACAUAAAGAUUGAUAUAUUGGAAGGCUAUGUUUGGACACCGAAAAGGUUUCGGAUGAGUUCGGGCAUUUUCCGGAGUACCGGGGGGGUUACCGGAACCCCCCGGGGAGUUAAUGGGCCUUAAUGGGCCAUGGUGGGAGAGAGGAGGAGGCGGCCAAGUGGGAGGCGCGUGCCCCCCAAGCCCAAUCCGAAUUGGGGGGGGGGCUUUUCUUCUCUCCUUCUCCCUCUUUCUUCUUCUCCUACUCCAACUAGGGAAGGGGGAACCUACUCCUACUAGGAGUAGGAAUCCCCCUUGGGGCGCGCCAUAGAGAGGGCCGGCCCUCCCCUCCUCCAAUCCUUUAUAUACGGGGGAGGGGGCACCCCAUAGACACACAAGUUAACAGUUGUUUUAGCCGUGUGCGGUGCCCCCCUCCACAGAUUUCCACCUCGGUCAUAUCGUUGCAGUGCUUAGGCAAAGCCCUGCGUCGGUAACAUCAUCAUCACCGUCACCACGCCGUCGUGCUGACGAAACUCUCCCUCGGCCUCAGCUAGAUCAAGAGUACGAGGGACGUCACCGAGCUGAACGUGUGCAGAUCCCGGAGGUGUCGUGCGUUCGGUACUUGAUCGGUUGGAUCGCGAAGACGUUUGACUACAUCAACCGUGUUACUUAACGCUCCCGCUUUCAGUCUACGAGGGUACGUGGACACAUUCUCCUCACUCGUUUCUAUGCAUCUCCUAGAUAGAUCUUGCGUGAUCGUAGGAAAGUUUUUGAAAUACUGUGUUCCCCAACACGAAGGUGUUUGUUGGGUUGGCAUAGAUCGAGAUUGGGAUUUGUCACUCCGAGUAUCGGAGAAGUAUCUCUGGGCCCUCUCAGUAAUACACAUCAUAAGAAGCCUUGCAAGUAAAGUGACUAAUGAGUUAGUUGUGGGAUGACGUAUUACGGAAUGAGUAAAGAGAGUUUCCGAUAAUGAGAUUGAAUUAGGUACGAAGAUACCGACGAUUGAAUCUCGGGCAAGUAACAUACCGAUGACAAAGGGAAUAACGUAUGUUGUCAUUACAGUUCGACCGAUAAAGAUCUUCAUAGAAUAUGUAGGAACCAAUAUGAGCAUCUAGGUUCCACUGUUUCUUAUUGACUAGAGAGGUGUCUCGUUCAUGUCUACAUAGUUCUCGAACCCGUAGGGUCCGCACGCUUAACGUUCGAUGACAAUUUUGUAUUAUAUCAGUUAUGUGAUUUGGUGACCGAAUGUUGUUCGGAGUCCCGGAUGAGAUCACGUACAUGAUGAGGAAUCUCGAAAUGGUCGAGAGGUAAAGAUUGAUAUAAAGGAUGAUAGUAUUCGGACACCGGAAGUGUUCCGAAGUGUAUCGGGUAUUUAUCGAACUAUCGGGGGGGGGGGGGGUUACCGGAAACCCCAGAGGGAAUAAUGGGCCUUAUGGGCCAUAGGAGGGGAGCACACCAGUCCACAAGGGGUGGCGCCCGCCUAAGUAAGGAGGCCGAGUGGGAGAAGGAAGAGGGGGUUCGGCCCCCUUUCCUUCCUCCCUUCCCUCUUCCCUUUUCCCCCUUUCGGUAAUAAGGAAAGGGGGGAGGGCGAAUUGGACUAGGCCCCCAAGUAGGAUUCCUCCUACUUGGGGCGUCCCAUGGCAGCUCCCCUCCCCCUCCCACCUAUAUAUAUGUGGGGAGGGGGCGCCUAGAAGACACACCAACAAUAGUUAGCCGUGUGCGGCGCUGAUGUCGCUUGAAGCUACGUCGGUAUUUCCCCAAAGAGGAAGGGAUGAUGCAGCACAGUGGCGGUAGGUAUUUCCCUCAGAUAUGAAACCAAGGUUAUCAAACCAGUAGGAGAACCAAGCAACACAACGUAAACAGCCCCUGCACACAGAUAACAAAUCCUCGCAACCCGACGUGUUAAAGGGGUUGUCAAUCCCUUCCGGGGUACGGCGCCUCAAGAUAGGCAAAUGGACGUGAGGUAAAUUUGUAGUAGAUUGAAAGAUAGAUCGCAAAUAAAAUAAAUAGAAAUAAAACACAGCAAGGUAUUUUUUGUAUCUUUGGUUUAAUCGACCUGAAAAUAAAUGCAAGGAAAAAGUAGAUCGCAAAGGCAAAUAUAUUAGAAAGAAGACCCGGGGGCCGUAGGUUUCACUAGUGGCUUCUCUCGAGAAGAAUAGCAAAUGGUGGGUGAACAAAUUACUAUUGGGCAAUUGACAGAACAUCAAAUAAUCAUGACGAUAUCCAGGCAAUGAUCAUUAUAUAGGCAUCGCGUCCAAGAUUAGUAGACCGACUCCUGCCUGCAUCUACUACUAUUACUCCACACAUCAACCGCUAUCCAGCAUGCAUCUGGUGUAUUAAGUUCAUGGAAAAAUGGAGUAAUGCAAUAAGAACGAUGACAUGAUGUAGACAAGAUCUAUCUAUGUAGAGAUAGACCCCAUCAUUUUAUCCUUAGUAGCAACUAUACAUACAUGUUGUUUCCCUUUCUGUCACUAGGAUCAAGCACCGUAAGAUCGAACCCACUACAAAGCACCUUUUCCCAUUGCAAGAUAAAUAGAUAAAGUUGGCCAAAAAACCCAAAUAUUGGAGAAGAAAUACGAGGCUAUAAGCAAUCAUGCAUAAAAGAGAUCAAAGAAACUCAAAUACUUUCAUCGAUAUAAAAAGAUAGAUCUGAUCAUAAACUCCAAGUUCAUUGAUCCCAACAAACACACGGCAAAAGAGUUACAUCAUAUGGAUCUCCAAGAGACCAUUGUAUUGAGAAUUCAGCGAGAGAGAGGAAGCCAUCUAGCUACUAACUACGGACCCGAAGGUCUAUGCUACCUCUUGAGCACUGCGUUGGUUUUCCCUUGAAGUGGAAAGGGUGAUGCAGCAAAGUAGCGUAAGUAUUUCCCUCAGUUUUUGAGAACCAAGGUAUCAAUCUAGUAGGAGGCUACGCGCGAGUCCCUCGCACCUACACAAAACAAAUAAAUCCUCGCAACCAACGCGAUAAGGGGUUGUCAAUCCCUUCAUGGUCACUUACGAGAGUGAGAUCUGAUAGAUAUGAUAGGAUAAUAUUUUUGGUAUUUUUGUGAUAAAGAUGCAAAGUAAAAUAAAAGCAAAGUAAAAGCAAAGGAAAUAAAUAAGUAUUGGAAGAUUAAUAUGAUGAAGAUAGACCGGGGGCCAUAGGUUUCACUAGUGGCUUCUCUCGAGAGCAUAAGUAUUUUACGGUGGGUGAACAAAUUACUGUUGAGCAAUUGACAGAAUUGAGCAUGGUUAUGAGAAUAUCUAGGUAUGAUCAUGUAUAUAGGCAUCACGUCCGAGACAAGUAGACCGACUCCUGCCUGCAUCUACUACUAUUACUCCACUCAUCGACCGCUAUCCAGCAUGCAUCUAGAGUAUUAAGUUCAUAAAAACAGAGUAACGCCUUAAGCAAGAUGACAUGAUGUAGACGGAUAAAUUCAUGCAAUAUGAUAAAAAAACCAUCUUGUUAUCCUCGAUGGCAACAAUACAAUACGUGCCUUGCUGCCCCUACUGUCACUGGGAAAGGACACCGCAAGAUUGAACCAAAAGCUAAGCACUUCUCCCAUUGCAAGAAAGAUCAAUCUAGUAGGCCAAACCAAACUGAUAAUUCGAAGAGACUUGCAAAGAUAACCAAUCAUACAUAAAAGAAUUCAGAGAAGAUUCAAAUAUUGUUCGUAGAUAAUCUUGAUCAUAAACCCACAAUUCAUCGGUCUCAACAAACACACUGCAAAAGAAGAUUACAUCGAAUAGAUCUCCACAAGAGAGGGGGAGAACAUUGUAUUGAGAUCCAAAAAGAGAGAAGAAGCCAUCUAGCUACUAACUAUGGACCCGAAGGUCUGAGGUAAACUACUCACACUUCAUUGGAGGGGCUAUGGUGUUGAUGUAUAAGCCCUCCGUGAUCGAUGCCCCCUCCGGCGGAGCUCCGGAACAGGCCCCAAGAUGGGAUCUCGUGGGUACAGAAGGUUGCGGCGGCGGAAUUAGGUUUUUGGCUCCGUCUCUGAUCGUUUGGGGGUACGUCGGUAUAUAUAGGAGGAAGGAGUACGUCGGUGGAGCAACAGGGGGCCCACGAGGGUGGAGGGCACGCCCUGGGGGGGUAGGCCCGCCCCCUACCUCGUGGACUCUUUUGUUUCUUGACAUGGGGUCCAAGUCUCCUGGAUCAUAUUCUUCCUAAAAAUCACGUUCCCGAAGGUUUCAUUCCGUUUGGACUCCGUUUGAUAUUCCUUUUCUGCGAAACUCUGAAAUAGGAAAAAACAGCAAUUCUGGGCUGGGCCUCCAGUUAAUAGGUUAGUCCUAAAAAUAAUAUAGAAGUGAAUAAUAAAGCCCAAUAAUGUCCAAAAUAGUAGAUAAUAUAGCAUGGAGCAAUCAAAAAUUAUAGAUACGUUGGAGACGUAUCAAGCAUCCCCAAGCUUAAUUCCUGCUCGUCCUCGAGUAGGUAAAUGAUAAAAACAAAUUUUUUGAUGCGGAGUGCUACUUGGAAUAAUUCCAAUGUAAUUCUUCUUAAUUGUGGUAUGAAUAUUCAGAUCCGAAAGAUUCAAGACAAAAGUUUAAUAUUGACAUAAAAAUAAUAAUACUUCAAGCAUACUAACAAAGCAAUUAUGUCUUCUCAAAAUAACAUGGACAAAGAAAGCUAUCCCUACAAAAUCAUAUUGUCUGGCUAUGCUCUAUCUUCACCGCACAAAGUAUUUAAAUCAUGCACAAACCCAAUGACAAGCCAAGCAAUUGUUUCAUACUUUUGACAUUCUCAAACUUUUUCAAUCUUCACGCAAUACAUGAGCGUGAGCCAUGGACAUAGCACUAUAUGUGGAAUAGAAUGGUGGUCGUGGAGAAGACAAAAAAGGAGAAGAUAGUCUCACAUCAACUAGGCGUAUCAACGGGCUAUGGAGAUGCCCAUCAAUAGAUAUCAAUGUGAGUGAGUAUGGAUUGCCAUGCAACAGAUACACUAGAGCUAUAAGUAUAUGAAAGCUCAACAAAAGAAACUAAAUGGGUGUGCAUCCAACUCGCUUGCUCAUGAAGACCUAGGGCAUUUUGAGGAAGCCCAUCAUUGGAAUAUACAAGCCAAGUUCUAUAAUGAAAAAUUCCCACUAGUAUAUGAAAGUGACAAAAUGAGAGACUCUCUAUCAUGAAGAUCAUGGUGCUACUUUGAAGCACAAGUGUGGUAAAAGGAUAGUAACAUUGUCCCUUCUCUCUUUUUCUCUGAUAUUUUUUUUAUUUGGGCCUUUCUCUUUUUUAUGGCCUCUUUUAUUAUUAUUAUUUUUCGUCCGGAGUCUCAUCCUGACUUGUGGGGCAAUCAUAGUCUCCAUCAUCCUUUUCCUCACUUGGGAAAAUGCUCUAAAAAUGAAGAUCAUCACUGUUGAGGAUAUAGACCUUAGAGUCACCCGCCAGGAGGGGCCGGGUUACUCAUAUGGUCAUUGCCAGAAGCCCGGCGCCGAGCUUAAAGACGGUGGGCCAAAGACGGGCUUAGGACCCGGAUAUGGCUUAAGGCCCGUAGUUACAAUCAUUAUUAUGGUAGAACUUGUAGUGUAAGGCAAGAGUAGUCGAGAGUCCGAGCCGGACACUCUUAUGAGCCGGCCGGGGCUCUGAGAACUGCUGGGCGUCAGCCUCCCUAUAUAAAGGGACGACCCGGCAGCGGUUUGGGGGCGAGAACAAUCUCAUCGAGAGCCAAGCAUAGCAGUUUAGCUCCCUGGUGAUCGUAACCUUAAUCAAUACCACCUCAAACUGGACGUAGGCUUUUACCUUCACCGUAAGGGGCCGAACCAGUAUAAACCCUCGUGUUCCUUGUCCCGCAUUAACCCCUUCAAGCUUCCUAGCUGCGAUGGCUCCACGACUAAGUCCUAGCUCGAGGACAUCUGCCGUGACAAUUCUGUGACAGUUGGCGCCCACCGUGGGGCCAGCGCACGGUGGGUUUGAGUUCUUGAAGGGCGGCUUCGAAGGGCUCAAGGGAUACGCUGUGGGCCGGAUGACCAAGAGUCGUCGCGGCAAGCUCUACAUCGACGAUGCAAGCUGGGGCCCCGACGCCGGCUCAAUUGAGUACGGGUACCGGGUCCCCUUCGGCGGAAUUCAUGUUUUCAUUGGCAAGAUUGGUGAGCCGGGCCCUGAGCCGGGUCUCUGCGCCGAUCUCGUCGAGACGGCUCAGCGUGCAUGACCCGCCCGGGCCCGGCCUGCCUUAAGGCAUGCUUUUGUGGGAUGUAUCCAUGGAGGGGCCUCUGAUCGAUCUGGAUCUGGUGAUGAGGCGGCCGCCGGUGCUGACGGCGAGUCGUCCACCAACGAGUCAAACUCGUUGUAUCAACUUCAAGAUGGCAGGCUCAUGGGUUGUUCCGAUGGUGACAGUAUUCCGGACCCGUUUGAGCCGCCAAGUCAGGUUGGAGUCUUUAUGGCCGGUGCACAGUCUGUUCAGAACCCCGUUGCUGGAGCGGGAAACCCGGUGCCCUCGCCGGCUCAGGUACUAAUGGAUCUCACGGACAAGAUGACGGCUCUGUUAACCGCCACGGUUGACCUGGCAGAUCAAGCUCAGCAUGAUGCGGAGGUGGCGCAGUUAAAAUUGGAUCUAGUGAAAGCUAAGGAGGAUCUGGCAGCAGAAGGGAUCAGGAUGGCUGCGGAAAGGGCGGCUCUCGACGCCCAAACCCAGUUGAUUCAAGCGCAGUCCUUCCGGCUCACGAUGGAUCAAAACGCGUCCAAUGAGGUCCUGAGAAGGAGGCAUCAAAAGUCCCAAUCCCGACUCCCUCCGGUUUACGAUCCACGAAACCUCUUCAACACGCCAGGUGCAGGAUCUAGUAACCCGCCAGGGGUCAUAGUGCCCGGGUCUGGGACCCCUAUUCAGCCAGAAGUGAUGGGGCCUCCCCAGGUGCCCCCAGCCCCACCUCAGUACGUGCCAAUACCCCCGGGUCAUUAUAAUAACCCGCUGGAGAACAUGGUCGCCGCGGCGGCACGGCUGGCGGCUCUCCCGGUUGACGGCGACUCUCCGACGGCUAUUGAAACCCGCCGGGUCAGGGAACUCCUCCACCCAACAACCCCAGCCCAGGCCGGAGCCCGAGUUACAGCAGGCACAUGGUCUCAGCGACCGGCUCAAGUAACGUCCGACGCCAUGACCCGCCCCCUGGCCAUGGCCCGGCUCAUAACGGAGCCUUUCACGCGGCAGACCAAGACAGAGCACGGCGAGAGGCGGAGCAGGUGCCCCAGCUGACGGCUUACCAGACUCCCCAGCUUAUCCGACGGCUUCCGUCGACGUGGGUAUCCCUACCAGGACUGGGGGUGUCCCUUGUUUAGUGCCAGCUAUCCGCAACGAACGUUUACCCAAGGACUUCAAAGGCCCUAGGAAGGUGCCUAAUUACACAACAGACUUACAACCCGCAGCCUGGAUCGAGAGUUACGAGAUGGCUAUGGAACUGCUGGAGGUCAGUGAGGCGGCCAUGGCUAAGUACUUCACCAUGAUGUUAGAUGGGACUGCCCGCACUUGGUUGAAAGGGCUACCACCGAAUUCCAUUGGGUCUUGGGCUGAGCUGAAGGCCCGGUUCAUCCAAAACUUCAAGGAUACCUGUAGGCAGUCUAUGUCAAUCGUGGAUUUGACUAACUGCAAGCAGUAGGAGGGUGUCUACGACACAUUGGGUUCGCCGGGUUAAGGAGAUAAUACAUUCCUCGGAUAAAAUGGAUGCCGGCUCUGCAGUCUUAAUGUUGGAGCAGAAUUGUCGUUUUGUGCCCCUGAAGAUGAAACUCAGGCGGCUUAAGCGCGACUGCAAUGAUAUGGGUACAAUGAUGGCGGCUCUUGUCAAAUACGCCGAUUCUGAUGGUACCAAGGACCCCGCUUCAGAUGAUGAAAGGACAGGGAAGGGAAAGAAGAACGGUAAUGGCAAGGGUCCUCAGCAUAACCCGGGAAACCAAGGAGGAGGCAAGCGCAAGGCCGAUGGCAGCCUAGAGUUUGUAGCCAACGCCAGCUCGCAAGGUAGUAACCAGCGACGCAAGGGGAGGCCCCCUCCCCGAGGUGGCGGGUCCGGCCCGACGCUGGAACAACUGUUGAAUGAGCCUUGUCCAAGGCAUGGCUCUAGAGAGAAGCUAGCAACUCAUCUAUGGAAGGAUUGUGCAAUCAUGAAGGCCUUUAAGAAUUACAAUGGCCCGGGCGGCGGCUCAGGCGCCGGCGGCUUUCAUGGCCCGGGCGGCGGCUCAAAUUCUAACCCUCAGAACGGUCAAGGGGGCUUUAAUCAGCAGUCUGGCCAGGGUCAUCAACAGCAGCAGGGAGGUUAUCAGACCAAUCCAAAGCAGCUUAGCGGUGGGCAGUAUCAUGUGUUUACCACCAGUCUGUGCAAGCGAGAUCAGAAGCUUCAUAAGAGGGCUGUGAACGCUGUUGAGCCGGCGGUUCCACGCUACUUGCGGUGGUCAGAGCAACCUAUAGUGUGGAGUAGGGAGGAUCACCCUCCCCGGGUGGAUAAUCCGGGUCACUUGGCCCUGGUGGUGGCUCCUCAGGUGGGAGGAUAUAAGUUCACUAAGGUACUCAUGGAUGGGGGCAGCAGCAUCAACAUCCUCUAUUAUGAGACAUUUCGUCGUAUGGGGUUGAUUGAUAAGAAUCUCAGCCAAUCAAACACUAUUUUCCACGGUGUGGUACCUGGUAAGUCGGCUUACCCAGUCGGCAAGAUCGAGUUGGAAGUGGCCUUCGGAGAUGAGAACAACUAAGGGUGGAAAAUUUGACCUUUGAGGUGGUCAAGAUAAGAAGUCCGUACCAUGCCAUAUUUGGGCGGCCGGCUUACGCCAAGUUCAUGGCACGACCGUGUUACGUAUAUUUACAGCUCAAGAUGCCGGGUCAUAAUGGGACCAUUACGGUUCACGGCAGCCGGAAGGUGGCCUUGGAAUGUGAGGAAGGCGAUGCAGCUUAUGCAGAAUCUGUUUGUGCAGCAGAGGAGUUGAAGUUUUACAAAGACAACGUCGACCCAACAGAUAUGACCUCUCUGAAAAAGCCGACUACGGAGCAUGAGCCGGCAAUGAAAUUUAAGCCGGCUGAUGAGACUAAACUUGUUGACUUCGUUCCAGGAGAUUCAUCUCAGCAAUUCAGCAUCAGUGCCAAUCUGGAUCCAAAAUAGGAAAGCGCGCUCAUCGAGUUCAUCCGUGAGAAUAGGGACAUCUUCGCAUGGAAACCUUCUGACAUGCCAGGUGUACCUAGAUAACUCGCUGAGCACACUCUCAAUGUUGAUCCGAAAUUUAAGCCGGUUAGACAGUUCCUUCGGCGGUUUAAUGAAGAGAGGCGGAAAGCCAUUGGCGAAGAGGUGGCCCGGCUCUUGGCGGCCGGGUUUAUUGUUGAAGUCUUCCACCCCGAAUGGUUAGCUAACCCGGUGCUCGUACUCAAGAAGAACGGCACUUGGCGGAUGUGUGUGGACUACACGGACUUAAAUAAAGCAUGUCCGGCUGAUCCUUUUGCCCUUCCCCGUAUUGAUCAAAUUAUUGAUGCUACGGCCGGUUGUGCGCACUUAAGUUUCCUGGACGCUUAUUCAGGAUAUCAUCAGAUUAAAAUGGCAGUUAAGGACCAGGAGAAGACGGCGUUCAUCACUCCCUUUGGAUCCUUCUACUAUGUAUCCAUGCCCUUUGGACUCAAGUGUGCACAGGCGACUUAUCAGUGUUGCGUGCAGAACUGUCUUCAUAAACAGAUUGGGCGCAAUGUUCAUGCUUAUGUGGAUGAUAUUGUGGUUAAAUCCAUAAAGGAGGAAACCCUGAUAGAUGAUUUGAGAGAAACCUUUGAUAAUCUCCGGGUCUACAAGAUGAUGCUUAACCCGGCCAAGUGUGUCUUUGGUGUCCCUGCAGGCAAGCUCUUGGGUUUUUUGGUUUCUGACAGAGGCAUUGAGGCUAACCCGGAGAAGAUCAAGGCCAUCACCUCCCUGGCUAAGCCGGCGUGUAUAAAUGACGUUCAGCGUUUGGCGGGUCGCAUCGCUGCUUUAAGCCGGUUUAUAAGCCGUUUGGGUGAGAAGGCCAUGCCAUUAUAUCAGUUGAUGAAGAAAACUGAUAACUUUGUCUGGAAUGAUGCAGCUAAUACCGCUUUUGAGGAUUUGAAGAAGCAGCUGGCAGAGCCCCCAGUCCUUGCUGCUCCGGUUGAUAAGGAGCCCUUAUUACUGUACGUGGCGGCGAACACACGAGCCGUCAGUGUGGCUGUGGUGGUGGAACGCAAGGAAGAGGGUAAGGAGCAUCCGGUUCAGCGGCCGGUUUAUUAUGUCAGCGAAGUGCUUAUCGAGUCCAAACAGCGGUAUCCACAUUGGCAGAAGCUUGUUUAUGGUGUGUUCAUGGCAAGCCGGAAGCUUAAGCAUUAUUUCCAGGGUCAUCCCAUAACCGUGGUUAGUUCUGCCCCUCUUGGUGAUAUCAUUCAAAACAGAGAGGCCACAGGGAGAGUGGCUAAGUGGGCUAUCGAGCUCGGACCUCAUGGUCUCAAAUAUGUGCCACGCACUGCUGUUAAAUCUCAGGCCCUGGUGGAUUUCAUCAAUGAUUGGACAGAGUCACAAGUGCCCGAGCAAAAGCCGGAUAACACAUAUUGGACUAUUCACUUCGAUGGGUCCAGGCAGUUGGAGGGCUCGGGGGCUGGAGUUGUAUUGGCUUCCCCUAAAGGUGACAAGUUCCAUUAUGUGCUACAGUUGAUGUUUCCUUGCACUAACAAUGUGGCUGAGUACGAGGCCUUGCUCCACGGUCUUCGGAUUGCAAAGGAGAUGAGCUUGAGCCGGGUAAGGUGUUUCGGUGACUCAGACUUGGUGGCUCAACAAGUAUCAGGCAAGUGGGACUCUAAGGACCCUCUCAUGGCGGCUUAUCGCCGCGAAGUUGAUGCCAUUGCUGGGCACUUUCAGGGCUACCAAGUAGAGCACAUUGAUCGUAGGAAGAACGAGGCGGCUGAUGCUUUAAGCCGGCUAGGCUCGCAGCGAAAGCCGGUGCCGCCUAAUACUUUCCUGGAUGUCUUGUAUAAUCCUUCUGUUAAGUUGCCUACAGAGGAAAACUUGGCUGUCCCCGACCCGGAGGCACGACUGGUGGCGGCUCUCCAUAUAAUACCAGACUGGACAAUGCCCUAUCUGGCUUACAUGACCCGGGGCGAGUUGCCUGAGGAUGAAACUUUGGCCAGGCAAAUAACCCGGCGGGUUAAGUCAAUGAUUGUUAUCAAUGGUGAGUUGCACCACCGCAGUGUUACGGGAGCGUUUCAGCGUUGUGUUUCCCCUGAGGAAGGGCAAGAGAUCUUGCGUGAGAUCCAUGAAGGGGAUUGUGGCCAUCACGCCGGCUCAAAGUCUCUUGUGGCCAAGGCUUUUCGUCAUGGUUUUUAUUGAUUGACGGCUCAUGCUGAUGCAGAGGACUUGGUCAGUAAGUGUGAUGGUUGCCAAAGGUUCUCGCGACGGGCUCAUGUACCGGCUCAAGAGCUGAGGAUGAUCCCAAUUACUUGGCCCUUUGCGGUCUGGGGGCUGGAUAUGGUUGGGCCUUUCAAAAGAUCCAAGGAUAAGAAGACCCACCUUUUGGUGGCAGUUGACAAGUUUACCAAGUGGGUUGAAGCGGAGCCAGUUAGCAAGUGCGAUGCAGCCACGGCGGUUCAGUUUAUGAAAAAGGUGAUCUUUCGCUUUGGUUUUCCACACAGCAUUAUAACUGACAAUGGCACCAAUUUAUCCAAAGGCGCCAUGGAGGAGUUUUGUCAAUGAGAGCGUAUCCGACUUGAUGUUUCCUCGGUGGCUCAUCCUCAAUCCAAUGGUCAGGCGGAGAGAGCUAAUCAGGAGAUUCUGAAGGGCAUCAAGCCCCGGCUUUUGGUCCCUUUGCAACGGACGCCGGGUUGUUGGGUGGAGGAGUUGCCCUCCGUGUUAUGGAGCAUCAACACUACUCCUAACAGGUCUACAGGUUUUACGCCUUUCUUCAUGGUUUAUGGGGCAGAAGCAGUCCUCCCCAGUGACAUCCGUCAUGACUCACCUCGAGUGGCGGCUUACGUUGAGGCGGAUAAUGAACAGGCACGCCAGGAUGCUCUUGACUUGUUGGACGAACAGCGUGAUGUGGCAGCAGCCCGUUCAGCGAUUUACCAACAAGACCUGCGCCGUUAUCAUAGCCGCCGGGUUAAAUCCCGGGUCUUCCAGGAAGGUGAUCUCGUGCUCCGGCUCAUCCAGAUGCGCACAAGCUAUCCCCGCCUUGGGAAGGGCCCUUUGUGGUCAGCAAGAAUUUGCACAACGGGUCAAAUUACCUCAUUGACAUUCGGGAGCACAAAGAUUCACGUAAGUCGGAGGAAGAGAACCAACGGCCGUGGAACAUAGCUCAGCUUCGGCCUUACUACACUUGAGCCACCGGAUCUCAUGAUGUACAUACUUCUCUAAGCCAUGUAUAUAUUAUGAUAAGCAAUAAAGCAGGACCUCUGUCCUUUUUUCUCCUCCAAAUGUGCACGUGUUGUUUUCAUUGCCAGAUUACAUGAUAACUUGAAGGAGGAUCCGGCUUAUGAUCGUAUUCGAAUCUAGCCGUAGGCGAUAAUGUCACUUGGGGGCUUCCUGUUCAAACAUAGGUCGUAUUCGAACCAAAGAGAACACAGCUGUCGAUACCCAUUUGAUUGGCAAAGUGCCGAGCUCAUUGGGGAGUUUUCUUUGAUCAUAUUUGAAUCUUAGUUUAACCCCUUUUGAGAACCGACGUGGAUCGUAUUCGAAUCAGCGUCGUUAAACAAUUCUUAAAGUCAUUUGGGGGCUUCCUGUUCAAACAUGGGUCGUAUUCGAACCAAAGAGAACAUAGCUGUCGAUACCCUCUUGAUUGGCAUCACCACACCCACUGGGGGCUAUAUGAUCGUAUUCGAAUCCUAGCAUAACCCCUUUGGGCCGGGUCUCUGGUCGUAUCCGAACCGGAAGCCCCUAAGUUCCUCUGCUUUAUAGCAAGUUCCGUCUGUUUCUUUCCAAGUGUGUACGGCCGGGUCUCACUUUGCCGGCUUAACUUUGGUUUACAGUAUUAGCUGAACACAAUGGGUGUUAUUAAGACAGGUAAACCGGAAUUUCGGUACCAACCUUCCUACCCGGGUUAUCUAAGCCGGAAGUAUGCUUGCAGGCCGCUAAGUAUGUUAUUACGGCUGUAUUCAGGAUAUUAUUGAAGACCAGUCCUUUUUUGAUUUAUAUUCCGGGUUAUCUAAAACCUAUGAUUCUCAGGGCGGUCAGCCUCCUCGAGGCUUGUUAUUUGUCUUUCUCUGCAGGAUAGUUACAGGCAACUAUUUUGAGAGUGAGGAAAACAAAUGAUUAAUUAUGACCCGGAGAAACAUAAAGGAGACAAUUUCAACAGACUUCAGAAUUCAAGGCGUGCACGAUGGCACGGCAAAGAUGAAGUAUUGGUCCUACUCCAUUACAAGACUCAUUGAGUCCAAAAGGGUGAGGCAUUGUUUGCUAAGCCGCCAGCCAAGUUACGACGCUUGUUGAGUUGAAGUCUCCGGCUCGUUCCUAUCUUCUCCUCCGGCUGAUCCCAAGACCUGGAAAGUUGAUGACUUCCAGCCGAUGCCGCUGAGAGCUUCGAAUUGGGCUUCCUCGUCAAUUAACCCGGCCGGGUCAAUCUCCGGGGCGAAGGUGUGCUGACGAGCCGGCAGGAUCAAGUUAAGGGCUUCAUAGCGCCGAGUAGGGAUCCUCUGAUUUUCUGCAUCGUAGCCCGGCUGAUAUUUAGUCAGAUCUAUAUCGUUGCCAAUCAGAGUGGCCACCGGGCGUACGGCCUUCACGCAAGCUGCGAAGUCCUUCUGAUCGAAAGCGGAGCCGUCUUCCUUCAGGCUUGGAUAGCCAAGGGCGAUGUCCGCCGGGUCUAACUCCGGCAGGAACGCCUUGGCCCGGCUCAGCGCAGCGAUCGCUCCGGCUCUUGCAGAGGCCCGUCGCAGCUCUUGGAUCCGUUGAGGCAGAAUGGCGAGCCGGCGCAGGACUUCUGCCAGGUGAGUCGGCACCUCGUUGGAUAGGGCCACCACAGCCAAGGCACGCUGUGACCCGGUGUAGAGCUGCUCCACCAGGGUAUACACGGCCUUCAGCUUGGUUACCACGCUGUGGUUGAGAUUGGCACUUCUGGGACCUGUUUAACAGAAUCAGAUAAGCCGCCGACAAGGAUGAAUUAUGAGAUAUAAAAUUCUAAACUUGAUGAAAGCCGGUGAGGCGACUUACCGAAGAUUGCGGCCACCAUCUGGGACACCUGGCGCUUUAGGCCGGAGAGCUCGGCGGUCUUCUCGGAGAGAGCUUUCUCCGCCUGUUCAGCCCGGUUCACCAAUGCGGCCUUCUCUUCGGCCCACGCCUUCCGCUCAGCGUCAAACUCCGUCUUCAGCUUCUCUUGAGCGGUGAUGCUGGACACAAAUUUGGCAUUUGCCUUCCGGGUCUCCAUCUCUUGCAUCUUCAGCCGGUUCUUGAGAUCGGCCAUGUCAGCCUCAAGCUUCUUGCCAGCAGCCUGCAUAAAUUUCCGGGUUAUGACAGGAACGGUUACUAUACAAAUUUAAAAGUCCCAAGCGUUUUCCAAGCAAAGACACUUGGCACUUGGGGGCUAAUGCAUAUUGAACGUAUCUAUCUACAAACCGCCGGUUCAACUGAGUAAGCCGGAACCUAAGUCUACAACAUAUUCAAUCAUAAUUCGUCGACUUGGGGGCUAGCAUGGUAAAGGUAACUAUGCAGUAAGUAAGAGGACAGCAGAAUGAUACCUCAGAUUUCUACUGGAUCUGGUUCACCAUGGCAACCUCUGCGUCCCGGCUCUUGUGCACUUGGCUGAUGUAGCCAGAGACGAGCCCUCCAAUGCUCAGGUUGGCGUAGUCGGAGAGAUCCAGGUUCACCCGGUGGGGCUGCAGCAACUCCCCCUUAGCGGAGCACUUGGCCAGUGCGGUAGGUGUCCCCGGCUCAACAAAUUCCGUCCGGGUGAUUACCACGCCUGGAUCAUUUGUUGGUUGAGCCGAGCCGGAGGCCUCCGGGUUAGCAGAAGCUUCGGCAGCUGCCUUGUUGUUUGGAGCGGCGGCUUCGGGAGCGGAGGCAGCUGGCGGUUCUUGAUCUGCUGCCUCCGGCUCAGGCAACUCCGGCUCUUCGAUUGGCUUGGCCUUCUUCGCCCUCUUGGUGAGUUUGGCUUGGGCACUGAAAGGACAGAAACGUUAAGCACAAAAGGGUAAGUAAAGACAAGUAUAGCAUGAGAUGGUUAUCAUUACCCGGGCGCGGUCUUGAAAGCCGGCAGACUCGACUGCAUAGAGUCGCUCGAAGAGGGGGAGGUCUCCUGAUAAUUUGAGUCAGAAGAAUUGAGUGGCUGACGGAUAACACCCGCCAAGGGAUGAAAAGGGUACGAGUGGGAAAUAACCUCAGUUCGGCGCUUCCUCGAUGCGUCAGGUAAACCGGAGGAGAGGUCGAUGUCCUUGUUGGUCCGGGUGUGACGCUGGCUCUCAUGAACCUGUCGCUUCAAAAUAAAUUGAGGAUCUUGAUAAGCUAAAGGAUGUGAAAAUCUUACUUUCCGGGUUACCCUUCGGACUUUCAGCCUUGGCAAGGGCUCCGAGUCGGAGGAAAGUGACAUUACCUCUUCAACCACCGGGUUACAGGCUCCGGUGUCAUCCUGUUGAUGAACAAGUGUUGGUAAGGCGGACAGAAAUAAACAAUAAAACAUAACAAAGAGCUUACAGGUUCAGGGGUUACCUCUGACUCGGAGCUGUCGCUUAGUUGCAUCAGCUCCGAAGCAGUUGGCCUACUUCCCUUCUUACGGGGAGCGGGCUUUUUUGGCGGCUUUCUUCGCCUUUCUGGCCUUCUUGGCCGCCUCAUGGUCAUAUUUGACCCGCCAGAACUUGUCGUCAUCCUGAAAAAUACAAUGAUGAUUUCUUCAAACGAUUCAGAUGAAAGUUAUAUACAGAAGAAGAUAGGAUGUUCAGAUUGGCGGCUUACCGCUGGGGCUGGGUUGGUCUUGCAGAAGGAGGCUAACCCGGUCCUUCCGUAGUCUGCUAGGCUCUCGUUUAAAAGAGCCUUGGUCAUCUCCUCUGCAACAUCUUCAGGAAGAUCGUUGCGGCUGUGUCUCUGAGGGUCAUCCUUUCGGCCCGUGUACUCGCACAUUAAGCCGGGGCGGCGGCUCAAUGGGAUCACCCGCCAGGAGAUCCAGACCCGGACCAAAUCGAUUUCGUUGAGACCAUUGCCCAGGAGAGCCUUGAUCUUGUUUAUGGUGGGGAGCAGAGGCUGGCGCUCCGCUGGAGUCAGCUUGUCUGACAGUGGGUGUGUUGACUCCAGACGCGAUGGGCGAAAGCCGGGCAGCGGACUUUCAUCAGCCGGUGACGUGUCUUGGCAAUAGAACCAAGUCAUGUUCCAGUCCUUUGGGUGACUCGGCGGCUCGGCAUAAGGGAAAAGACAGUCUCUCCGUCUCUGAAUGGAGAUGCCGCCUAGCUCCAAACUUGGCCCGUUGGCGCACUCGUUCUGGCGAUUCAAGUAAAAAAUCUCUCUGAAGAGCAGCAGACUAGGUUCUUCUCCAAGGUAAACCUCGCAGAACACUUGGAAGUUGCAGAUAUUGGACACUGAGUUGGGUCCUAUGUCCUGAGGCCGCAGAUCGAAGAAAUUCAGAACGUCUCUGAAAAACUUUGAGCCGGGCGGUGUGAAGCCCCGGCUCAUGUGAUCCGCAAAAAUGAUCACCUCCCCGUCCUUUGGCUGUGGUCUCUCUUCUGACGGGUCAGGGGCGCGGUAGGACAUGACAUCCUUCUUUGGCAGGUGGCCGGACUUGACAAACUCUGCUAGCGUUUCGUUGGUGACAUUGGACCUCAUCCAAUUGCAAGUGAUAGAGGCUUUAGGAGCUUUGGGAGGCAUGGUGAAAGUCGGCAGCCUAUGAUAAAAGGAAACGUCCGGUUUAAGUAUAAGCCGGAGGAAAGUUGUAAUUCAGUAUUAAGUGGCGGCUUACGGAGGGGACUAAUGACAUAUAUCUAAGUACACUGGGCUAUUUAAGCCGCCUGAAGUAUUGAGAGUAAUUCGAUUGUCUACGGCCUUAUCACAGAUGAGCCGGAAAAUUCUAUGGUGCAUGGUCUCCUUUAAGUCGGAAGGUUCUACGGCGCGUGGUUUCUUUAAGCCGGAAAUGUAAACCGCCAUGGCUCAAUGGGGGCAGUUUUUUACUAAGUGUGGUGAAAACAGGUUUCACACUUUACGGUAAAUAUUUUGGAUCAAAAUGGUCGGGUAAAAAGAAAAUCUCUAGACCUAAAGGCAGAUGCAGGGGAGUUCUUGAGCUCGAAUGAGGCCUUUAUGCAGUGAACAUAAGUCUACCUGUGUUUGAAAUGGGUGCUAAAACAUCUACCGCAAUGGUUCCAUACGGGCUAAGAUCAAAAAGGAGCAGUAAAAAAGAAAACUACCGGAGCUUCUGGGCGAUGGUGACGAACACGAAGAACGCGGACGAACCCUACGGCAGAUCUAUUCUACAGGACAAGCAGGACUUACAGGGGCUGGAGAGUCGCGGAGGUCGUCGCGUUUCUCUGGUCAGAUCAGGGUGAUGCAGCGGCCUGAGCUGGUGACGACGAGAAGACCCGCGGCGGCGACGGCGGCGGAGCUCGAGCAGCACGGGACAGUGAGAGGAAGGAGACGACAGAGGAAGGAGAGUGAGAAAGGCCCGUCGGGCCGGCCUAUUUAUAAGGGCGAGCUCAUAAGUGGGCGCGAGAAUCAAGGAGACCACGGCGUGGUUAUCUCCCCACUAAACGCCUCGAUUUUCGGGAUGACAGUAAAGGUAAAGAUCCGUUGUGGAUCUGGCGGAGUAAAAAACGGGCUUAAUGGAAGAUGACGUCACGGCGGAUUAUCCGGAGUCCAGAGGAUGACGUCACGCCGGGUUAUGGCCUUCACACAAUUGUAAGCCGGAGGUUUUCUGUCGAAGGAAUGGAAGAUUGACAUGAGCCGGCUCAAAUCAAUCUGGGGCCUAAUGUUGAGGAUAUAGACCUUAGAGUCACCCGCCAGGAGGGGCCGGGUUACUCAUAUGGUCAUUGCUAGAAGCCCGGCGCCGAGCUUAAAGACGGUGGGCCAAAGACGGGCUUAGGACCCGGAUAUGGCUUAAGGCCCGUAGUUACAAUCAUUAUUAUGGUAGAACUUGUAGUGUAAGGCAAGAGUAGUCGAGAGUCCGAGCCGGACACUCUUAUGAGCCUGCCGGGGCUCUGAGAACUGCUGGGCGUCAGCCUCCCUAUAUAAAGGGACGACCCGGCAGCGGUUUGGGGGCGAGAACAAUCUCAUCGAGAGCCGGGCAUAGCAGUUUAGCUCCCUGGUGAUCGUAACCUUAAUCAAUACCACCUCAAACUGGACGUAGGCUUUUACCUUCACCGUAAGGGGCCGAACCAGUAUAAACCCUCGUGUUCCUUGUCCCGCAUUAACCCCUUCAAGCUUCCUAGCUGCGAUGGCUCCACGACUAAGUCCUAGCUCGAGGACAUCUGCCGUGACAAUUCUACGAUAAUCACACUUUUAUUUUCUUACAACUCAACAAUUACAACUUGAUACUUAGAACAAAAUAUGACUCUAUAUGAAUGCCUCCGGCGGUGUGCCGGGAUAUGCAAUGAAUCAAGAGUGACAUGUAUGAAAGAAUUAUGAACGGUGGCUUUGCCACAAAUACGAUGUCAACUACAUGAUCAUGCUAAGCAAUAUGACAAUGAUGGAGCGUGUCAUAAUAAACGGAACGGUGGAAAGUUGCAUGGCAACAUAUCUCGGAAUGGCUAUGGAAAUGCCAUGAUAGGUAGGUAUGGUGGCUGUUUCGAGGAAGGUUUAUGGUGGGUGUAUGAUACCGGCGAAAAGUGCUCGGUAUUAGAGAGGCUAGCAAUGGUGGAAGGAAGAAGAGUGCGUAUAAUCCAUGGACUCAACAUUAGUCAUAAAGAACUCAUAUACUUAUUGCAAAAAUCUACAAGUUAUCAAAGCAAAAUAUUAUGCGCAUGCUCCUAGGGGGAUAGAUUGGUAGGAAAAGACCAUCGCUCGUCCCCGACCGCCACACAUAAGGAAGACAAUCAAUAAAUAAAUUAUGCUCCGACUUCAUCACAUAACGGUUCACCAUACGUGCAUGCUACGGGAAUCACAUACUUUAACACAAGUAUCUCUCAAAUUCACAACUACUAAACUAGCAUGACUCUAAUAUCACCAUCUUUAUAUCUCAAAACAAUUAUCAAGCAUCAAACUUCUCAUAGUAUUCAACACACUCAUAAGAAAGUUUUUACUAAUCUUGAAUACCAAGCAUAUUAGGAUUAUUUAAUAAAAUUACCAUGAUAUUAAAGACUCUCAAAAUAAUCUAAGUGAAGCAUGAGAGAUAAAUAGUUUCUAUAAAACAAAUCCACCACCAUGCUCUUAAAGAUAUAAGUGAAGCACUAGAGCAAAACUAUAUAACUCAAAAGAUAUAAGCGAAGCACAUAGAGUAUUCUAACAAAUUCCAAAUCAUGUAUGGAUCUAUCAAAAGGUGUGUACAGCAAGGAUGAUUGUGGUAAACUAAAAAGCAAAGACUCAAAUCAUAUAAGACUCUCCAAGCAAAACACAUAUCAUGUGGUGAAUAAAAAUAUAGCUCGAAGUAAAGUUACCGAUGGAAGUAGACGAAAGAGGGGAUGCCUUCCGGGGCAUCCCCAAGCUUUGGCUUUAUGGUGUCCUUAGAUUAUCUUGGGGGUACCAUGGGCAUCCCCAAGCUUAGGCUCUUGCCACUCCUUGUUCCAUAAUCCAUCUAAAUCCUUCACCCAAAACUUGAAAACUUCACAACACAAAACUCAACAGAAAAUCUCGUGAGCUCCGUUAGCGAAAGAAAACAAAAGACCACUUCAAGGUACUGUAAUGAACUCAUUAUUUAUUUAUAUUGGUGUUAAACCUUCUGUAUUCCAACUUCUCUAUGGUUUAUAAACUCUUUUACUAGCCAUAGAUUCAUCAAAAUAAGCAAACAACACACGAAAAACAGAAUCUGCCAAAAACAGAACAGUCUGUAGUAAUCUGUAACUAACGCAAACUUCUGGAACUCCAAAAAUUCAGCCAAACUAGGAAGACCUAGAAUUUUUUUUAUUGAUCAGCAGAAAUUGGAAUAAAUAUUUUAUCACGUUCUGGCGAUUUUUAACAAUUAUUUUCGUGAACAGAAAGUUUCUGGAAUUUUCAGCAAGAUCAAAUAACUAUCAUCCAAGGAGAUCCUAUAGGUUAAACUUGGCACAAACACUAAUUAAAACAUAAAAAAAAUCUAACCAGAGGCUAGAUCAAAUAUUUAUUCCUAAACAGAAGCAAAAAGCAAAAAACUAAAAAUAAAAUUGGGUUGCCUCCCAACAAGCGCUAUCGUUUAACGCCCCUAGCUAGGCAUAGAUAAUUUUAAUGAUGCUCGCAUGAGAGACAAGAAUUGAAGCACAAAGAGAGCAUCAUGAAACACGUGACAAACAUAUCUAAGUCUAACAUACUUCCUAUGCAUAGGCAUCUUAUAGGCAAACAAAUUAUCAUAGCAAGCAAAAACUAGCAUAUGCAAGGAAGCGGAAAUAAACAAUAGCAAUCUCAACAUAACGAGAGGUAAUUUAUUAUCAUGAAAAUUUCUACGACCAUAUUUUCCUCUCUCAUAAUAAUUACAUGUGGGAUCAUAAGCAAAUUCAACAAAAUAGCUAUCACAUAAAAUAUUUUCAACACGAUCCACAUGCAUGCAAAGUUGACACUCUUCCGAAAUAGUGGGAUUAACAUUAACUAAAGUCAUGACCUCUCCAAACCCACUUUUAUCAAAAAUUUCAUAAGAUUGAAUAUUCUCCAAAUAUGUGGGAUCUAAAGUUGACACUCUUCCAAACCCACUUUCAAUAUUAUUGCAAACAAUAAUCUCAAUCUCAUAUUCAUCAUGGGGAUUAAAUAAAUUUUCAAGAUCAUAAGAAGAAUCACCCCAAUCAUGAUCAUUGCAACAAGUAGCAAAACUAGCAUCCCCAAGCUUAGGGUUUUGCAUAUUAUUAGCACAAUUGACAUCAAGAGAAUUUAUAGUAAAAUCAUUGAAAUCAUGCUUUUCAUCGAGGGAACUAUCAAGCAUGGGUGCAAUAGCAACAAUCUCAUUUUUAACAUAAGGAACUAUAGCAAAUUCGUCUUCAUAAAUAUUGGCAUCAUGGCCACAAGAAUAGCAAGCAUCAUGUUCAUCAAGGGAUAUUUCAACCAAAUCAUCGGAAUCAUCAUUAUCUAUAGAUUCAUGCAUAUCAUUAUUUUCUUCCAAAGCAACGGUCAUUCUUUCAAUAAAUUCUUGGACAUAGACAUUAUGAGCAAAGUUUUCAUUGCAAUAUUUAAGUAUGACGGAAUUUUCAGAUUUGUUGAGAGUAAAAUCAUACUUUACAAUCAAAGAAGCAACUUCAUGAGCACCCUUAAAAACGACAAAUUCUUCAAUUUGUUCGAUAUCAUAGUAGCUAUAAACACCCUUCGCAUAAGAAGAUAAGAUUUCAUUAUCAUUAAACUCACAUAGGUAGGGAAUGUGUUUUUUAGGGUUCUUAGAGCAACAAGUAAAAUCACAAAUUUCACAAACGAUUCCAAGCAUAGCAUAGCAAAAUAUUUAUAUGAUACCAUAAGAGCUUCCCUUUUUCAGACAAACGAUGACGCACAAAAUGAGCAUGCUCAUCUAAAGAUUUCCCAUCAACUAGGCUAGUUGGGGUUUCAGCACGAGCGCAUAAGGAUCGAAGAUGAUCCAAGUAGAACACUUUAAGUGGAUCCAUAUCAAUAGAUUUUCAGCAAGCGAAGAUGCAAGCAUAUAGAAGGCACAAGGAAACACAAAAAAAUAUACAUACGGGAAGAAGGCGAACGGAAAAGAGAGAGGGCGAAUAAAACGGCAAGGGUGAAGUGGGGGAGAGGAAAACGAGAGGCAAAUGGCAAAUAAUGUAAUGCGGGAGAUAAUGGUUUGUGAUGGGUACUUGGUAUGUUGACUUUUGCGUACACCUCCCCGGCAACGGCGCCAGAAAUCCUUCUUGCUACCUCUUGAGCACUGCGUUGGUUUUCCCUUGAAGAGGAAAGGGUGAUGCAGCAAAGUAGCGUAAGUAUUUCCCUCAGUUUUUGAGAACCAAGGUAUCAAUCCAGUAGGAGGCUACGCGCGAGUCCCUCGCACCUACACAAAACAAAUAAAUCCUCGCAACCAACGCGAUAAGGGGUUGUCAAUCCCUUCACGGUCACUUACGAGAGUGAGAUCUGAUAGAUAUGAUAGGAUAAUAUUUUUGGUAUUUUUGUGAUAAAGAUGCAAAGUAAAAUAAAAGCAAAGUAAAAAAGCAAAGGAAAUAACUAAGUACUGGAAGAUUAAUAUGAUGAAGAUAGACCCGGGGGCCAUAGGUUUCACUAGUGGCUUCUCUCGAGAGCAUAAGUAUUUUACGGUGGGUGAACAAAUUACUAUUGAGCAAUUGACAGAAUUGAGCAUAGUUAUGAGAAUAUCUAGGUAUGAUCAUGUAUAUAGGCAUCACGUCCGAGACAAGUAGACCGACUCCUGCCUGCAUCUACUACUAUUACUCCACUCAUCGACCGCUAUCCAGCAUGCAUCUAGAGUAUUAAGUUCAUAAAAACAGAGUAACGCCUUAAGCAAGAUGACAUGAUGUAGACGGAUAAAUUCAUGCAAUAUGAUAAAAAAACCAUCUUGUUAUCCUCGAUGGCAACAAUACAAUACGUGCCUUGCUGCCCCUACUGUCACUGGGAAAGGACACCGCAAGAUUGAACCCAAAGCUCAGCACUUCUCCCAUUGCAAGAAAGAUCAAUCUAGUAGGCCAAACCAAACUGAAAAUUCGAAGAGACUUGCAAAGAUAACCAAUCAUACAUAAAAGAAUUCAGAGAAGAUUCAAAUAUUGUUCAUAGAUAAUCUUGAUCAUAAACCCACAAUUCACCGGUCUCAACAAACACACCGCAAAAGAAGAUUACAUCGAAUAGAUCUCCACGAGAGAGGGGGAUAACAUUGUAUUGAGAUCCAAAAAGAGAGAAGAAGCCAUCUAGCUACUAACUAUGGACCGGAAGGGAGGUAAACUACUCACACUUCAUCGGAGGGGCUAUGGUGUUGAUGUAGAAGCCCUCCGUGAUCGAUGCCCCCUCCGGCGGAUCUCCGGAACAGGCCCCAAGAUGGGAUCUCGUGGGUACAGAAGGUUGCGGCGGUGGAAUUAGGUUUUUGGCUCCGUCUCUGAUCGUUUGGGGGUACGUAGCUAUAUAUAGGAGGAAGGAGUACGUCGGUGGAGCAACAGGGGGCCCACGAGGGUGGAGGGCACGCCCUGGGGGGGGGGGUAGGCGCGCCCCCUACCUCGUGGCCUCCUCUUUUGUUCUUGACGUGGUGUCCAAGUCUCCUGGAUCAUAUUCUUCCUAAAAAUCACGUUCGCAAAGGUUUCAUUCCGUUUGGACUCCGUUUGAUAUUCCUUUUCUGCGAAACUCUGAAAUAGGCAAAAAAGGCAAUUCUGGGCUGGGCCUCCGGUUAAUAGGUUAGUCCCAAAAAUAAUAUAAAAGUGAAUAAUAAAGCCCAAUAAUGUCCAAAACAGUAGAUAAUACAGCAUGGAGCAAUCAAAAAUUAUAGAUACGUUGGAGACGUAUCAGUCUACAAAGAACUACUCACGCAUCAUCGGAGAGGCACCAAUGAAGGUGGUGAACCCCAUCCGAGAUGGUGUCUAGAUUGGAUCUGGUGGUUCUGGACUCUGCGGCGGUUGGAUGAAUAUUUCGUCGAUGCCUUUAGGAUUUCUGGAACAUUGGGGUAUUUAUAGAGCAAAGAGGCGGUCCGGGGGCACCCGAGGUGGGCACAACCCACCAGGGCGCGCCUGGGCCUCCUGCCACGCCUUGGUGGGUUGUGCCCCCUCGGGGCACCCCCAGGCGCAGCCAGGUCCUGUUGUGUUCCUUCUGGCCCAUAAAAAUUCUCCAUGGAGUUUCGUGGCAUUUGGACUCCGUCUGAUAUUGAUUUUCUGCGAUGUAAAAAACAUGGAAAAAGCAGCAACUGGCACUUGGCACUAUGUCAAUAGGUUAGUACCAAAAAAUGAUAUAAAAUGAUUAUAAAAUAUCCAAGAUUGAUAAUAUAACAGCAUGGAACAAUAAAAAAUUAUAGAUAUGUUGGAGACGUAUCAGCAUCCCCAAGCUUAACUCCCUACUCGUCCUCGAGUAGGUAAGUGAUAAAAACAGAUUUUUUGAUGUGGAAUGCUGCCUAACAUGUCAUAUCAUACUCUUUACUUUAUAGCAUGGACAUUUGGACUUUUAUGUGAUUGAAAGCAAUAGUCUAGUUUUGACAUAAUAAUUUAGAUACUCAAGCAUAUCAACAAGCAACCAUGUCUUUCAAAAUAUCAAUGCUAAAAUAAGUUAUCCCUAGCCCAUCAUGCUCAACCAUUGAUCCAUUCGUGAAACACACUCGAAUAUUAGCUACACCCAAUACUUAAGUACGAUCAUAUUGCCUCCUAGUUGGUGCUUUUGUAAGAGAAAAUGGAGACUCAAAAUUCAAAAUAAAAAUUGCAUAAAGUAAAAGAAAGGCCCUUCGCAGAGGGAAAUAGGGAUUUGUAGAGGUGCCAGAGCUCAAAGCGAAAAAUAGGGAUAAAAAACAUUUUGGGAGGUGUAUCCAUCCCACCAACGAAAACGACUUAGAGUUCCCAACACUUUCCAUGCUAGAUAUGCCAUAGGCGGUUCCCAAACAUAAAAUAAAGUUUAUUCCUUUUUCCACCAUACUUUCACUUUCCAUGGCUAACCGUAUCUACGGGUGCCCUCCAUACCAACACUUUCCAAGGAAUUUAUUAUUUGACAACAUAAAGUAAAUUCAUUUUUGCAUUUCGGGACUGGGCAUCCCUAAAACCUUUGCCUUACUCUCGUGCAAUGACAAGUGAAUAAACGCUCAUCUUGAGAAUAACACAUCUAGCAUGGAAAAUAUUAGCCACCCCUCACCGCUCCGCGAGCGAAACAAACACACAAAAUAGAAGUUUAUUUUGAAAAUUAGAGAUGGCACACACAAAUUUUCUUAGAACGGCAAAAGAAUACUGCAUAUAGGUAGAUAUAGUGGACUCAUGUGGCAAAACUGGUUUAAAGGAUUUUGGAUGCACAAGUAGAGAUCAUACUUGAUGCAAAAUGAGGGCUAGCAAAAGAUUGAGAAGCGACCAACCAAGAGACGGAUAAUCUCAUAAGCAAGCAUCAAGCAUAAAUAACACCUAAUAAUGCACCAUAAGUAGGAUAUAAUUUCAUUGCAUGACUAUUGACUUUCGUACUUGCAUAGGGAAUCACAAACCUUAACACCAAUAUUCUUACUAAAGCAUAAUUACUCAUCAACAUAACUCACAUAUCACAUCAUCAUAUCUCAAAACUAUUACUAAGAAUCAAGUUUAUUUUGUCCAAUGAUCUUCAUGAAAGUUUUUAUUAUAUCCUUCUUGGAUAUCUAUCACUUUGGGACUAAUUUUCAUGUGUUGCUUUUCAUAAGCUCAAACAAAUAUAAGUGAAGAUCAUGAGCAUACUUCUUUCUUUCUCUCAAAAUAAUUUAAGUGAAGCAAGAGAGAAUUUCUUGAAAAUUUUAAUAACUCUCAAAUAAAUCUAAGUGAAGAAAGAGAGCAUUUAUUCAAAAAUACUAAAGCACACCAUGCUCAAAAAGAUAUAAGUGGAGCACUAGAGCAAGUCCAUAGCUCAUAAAAAAUUAAGUGAAGCAUAGAGAGCAAUUCUAACAAGUCAUGACAUAAUUUUGGCUCUCUAAAAUGAGUGUGUCCAGAAAGGAUUGAUGACUUAAAACACAAAAUAAAACAAGCAAAGACUCAUAUCAUACAAGACGCUCCAAGCAAAACACAUAUCAUGUGACGAAUAAAAAUAUAGCUUCGAGUAAAAUACCGAUAGCCGUUGGAAGAAAGAGGGGAUGCCACUCGGGGGCAUCCCCAAGCUUAGUUGAUUGCUCAUUAUUGGAUAAUAGCUUGGGAUUCCGGGGCAUCCCCAAGGUUAGGCUCUUCUAUCCUUCCUUCAUCCAUCGUAAGAUAACCCAAAACUUGAAAACUUCAAUCACACAAAACUCAACAAAACCUUCGUGAGAUCCGUUAGUGUAAGAAAAAUAAAUCACUACUAUAAGUGCUGUAUCAAACCAAUUCAUAUUUUGUUUUUGUAUUAUAUCUACUGUAUUCCAACUUUUCUAUGGCAAAAACCCAUCAAAGAAAACCAUAUAGCCAUCAAAAUAAGCACACAACACAAAGAAAACAGAAUCUGUCAAAACAGAACAGUCUGUAGCAAUCUGAUUUGUUCGAAUACUUAUGGAACUCCACAAAUUCUGAAAAACUAGGACGACCUGGGUAAUUUGUAUAUUAAUCUUCUGCAAAAAGAAUCAGGGCAAAAGCUCUUUCUGAUAAAAAAUGAGAAUUGUUUUCGUGAGCGCAAAGUUUGUGUCUUUUUCAGCAAGAUCAAACAACUAUCACCCAAGAAGAUCCUAUUGGUUCUACUUGGCACAAACACUAACUAAAACACAAAAAACACAAUCAUAACUGUCGCAUAAUUGUGCUAACACUAAAGAACAGAAAGCAAAAUGCAAAAAUAAAAUUUAUUCAUUGGGUUGCCUCCCAACAAGCGCUAUAGUUUUACGCCCUUAGCUAGGCAUAAAGCAAGGAUCUAAGUUUUGUCAUCUUUGGUUCAAGAUCCAUAAGAUGCCCUCAUGAUUGAUUCAUAAGGUGGCUUAAUUCUUGUUCUAGGAAAGUGUUCCAUACCCUUCCUCAAAGGAAAUUGGAACAUAAUAUUCCCUUCUUUCAUAUCAAUCACGGCACCGAUAGUGCGUAAAAACGGUCUACCAAGAAUAAUUGGACAAGGCGGAUUGCAAUCAAUAUCAAGAACAAUAAAAUCCAUGGGCACAUAAUUCCUAUUUGCAAGAAUAAGAACAUCAUUAAAUCUACGGAGAAGUGCUUAGCUUUGGGUUCAAUCUUGCGGUGCUCGAUCCCAGUGACAGAAAGGGAAACAUCACGUAUUGUAUUGUUGCCAUCGAGGAUAAAAAGAUGGGGUUUAUAUCAUAUUGCAUGAGUUUAUCCCACUACAUCAUGUCAUCUUACUUAAAGCAUUACUAUGUUCUUAUGAACUUAAUACUCUAGAUGCAUGCUGGAUAGCGGUCGAUGUGUGGAAUAAUAGUAGUAGAUGCAGAAUCGUUUCGGUCUACUUGUCACGGACGUGAUGCCUAUAUACAUGAUCAUACCUAGAUAUUCUCAUAACUAUGCUCAAUUAUAUCAAUUACUCGACAGUAAUUUGUUCACCCAUCGUAAUACUUAUGCUCUUGAGAGAAGCCACUAGUGAAACCUAUGGCCCCCGGGUCUAUUUUCCAUCAUAUUAAUCUUCCCACACUUAGCUAUUUCUAUUGCUGUUUAUUUUACUUUGGAUCUUUAUUUCUCUUUAUUAUAAAAAUACCAAAAAUAUUAUCUUAUCAUAUCUAUCAGAUCUCACUCUCGUAAGUGACCGUGAAGGGAUUGACAACCCCUUUAUCGCGUUGGUUGCGAGGUUCUUAUUUGUUUGUGUAGGUGCGUGGGACUCGAGCGUGGUCUCCUACUAGAUUGAUACCUUGGUUCUCAAAAACUGAGGGAAAUACUUACGCUACUUUACUACAUCACCCUUUCCUCUUCAAGGGAAAACCAACGCAGUGCUCAAGAGGUAGCAGAGCCCAUGGAGAGGGUUGGUUGAACAGUACCCGGUCGAGUAGCGCGCGGCGGAGGCUGGAUGAACAGGAGCCCGUGGAUGAACAGUUGCAGGUGGAGGCUGGAGGAGGUCGACGCUGGAUGAACAGUAGCCCGUGGAGGCUGGAGGGGGUCGACGGUGGAGAUGAACAGUAUCCCGUGGAGUCCCGUUUUGCGGUAGCCACACCCCUCCCGAUGUACAGGACCCCCGUUUCGACCGUAGCGCUCCAACACAAGUCCGUUUCCUCCGUUUUGCGAUACGCCACACCCCUCCCGAUCAAUAGGACCCCCGUUUUGACCGUAGGAGGUCCGUUUCCUCCGUUUUGCAGUACGCCAGACCCCUCCCGAUGAACAUGAUCCCGUUUCGACCGUGGCCGGUCGAACACAAGGCCGUUUCCUCCGUUCUAUGGUACGCCAGGCCUCGUUUCCAUCGGUUGUUCCGUCCAAGCCCUCCCGAUGAACACGACGACGCAUUCCGUUCCGACCCAGCCGGUUGGCUCCCCAUGAACACGACGACGACGCUGUUUCUCCAUUCCAACCCAGCCAUGUACACGAGCCCUGGCCGUACGUACGCGCGAGUAGGCGCUUGAGACCCCGCCCGUAUGUACGUACGUGGCCGUAUUUACUUUCUUGCACCCUGGCCGAUGUACGUACGUGUACAUGCUACGUGCGCGCCUCUACUACGACACGUGCACGCCUCUACAUCGACCAGUAUGUACGUACAUGUUCGCGACCAGAAUGACAACGCUACGUACGCUUCGACCAGGUGGGUCCCGACUGUCAGGCACUUGCGUGCGAAGAUGUAGCUGGUGGGUCCCAACAGUCAGGGGGCGAAUUGGUUUUUUUGCCCGGACGCACUUCCUUGCGUGUGAAGAUGUAGCUGGUGGGUCCCAGCAGUAAGGGGAAACGUUUUUUUCGCGAAAUAUGGUGGCCCAUCCGGUGGGUCCCCGCUAUCAGGUGGAGGAAUAAUUAUUUUGCGCGUAAUAAGGAGGCACUUCCUUGCUGCGGCCGUGGACCCAGUUAUCAGCCUCUCCACGUACAGUACUCUUCCGACGGAAGUCGGUCGUUAACCACAUUGACCACGCCGCGCCGAGAGCACCACGGCGGUGGACGACGGUGAGGCCUAGGAAGGGGACGACGCGGAGCCGGGGAAGACGCGACAGGGGAUACCCACGUGGAGAGGAGUACGAGGGUUCACUAGUUCGGCUGCGGUGUGAGGCUGCCGUCGCCGCAGAAUAACAGGGGGUGUGGGUGAGUGGAAGGAUGGCCUGGCCAGCGGUGGGAGUAGUAGGGGGCGAUGAGGCCUCCGCGACAGCACAGCCGGCCACGGGAGGCAGGAGCAGGCGGCAUGACCGGCACUACUUUGGGCGGCUGGAGCAAGAAGACCAGAGGUUGAAGAAGCAUGACGGCCGUUGGAUGGACAUCGUACGGUCACUGCAGCUAGAAUCGUUUAUAUUGACUAAGUUGACAAAGCCCUUGGUACGCGUCAACUUAGUAGGCCCACAGGUCAUCUUCCGAAACGGUGCGCCCCAGAUGUCAGGGGGAGGAAUCAUUUUUUGGGCGGGUGAAGCUAGAAUAUCCGAGAUUGAAGAAGAAGCACGGCAUCCGUUGGAUGGACAUCCAACGGCCACCGCUGCUAGAACCGUGUGUUGACUAUAAGUUGACAAAGCCUUGCAUACGCGUCAACUCUCUUUUUUAGGGGACGCGUCAACUUAGUAAGGCCACAAGUGUGUGGCAGAGAACUUAUAGCCCAUUUGAGAUUUGUAAGAAUGUGCAACCAAUUUUUGAAUUCUAAUAGAAUUUACUACAGCCCAUUUACAGUUUGUUAAAAGUACAUCCCAUUUCAACCGACCGUUCAAAACAGAAUUCAAUAAAAUUUCCCACAUUUUGAUGGGAUCCAAAAUAUUUUUUUCUCGAAAUUUCUAGUCAGAUUAAAUACAAUUUCAAUAUAAAUUUAUAUUACGUAAAAAUCCAAUGAAACAUUGCGCUCGCAACAAUUAAUGAAAUUAAAAUUUUCAAUAUCCAAAAAUAAUAUUUUAUAAAGUAAUUACGUGUUUGGUGCAUUUUUAUAGUUACUGCCCAGUUUUUAUAAUUACAUCCCAUUUAUUAUUUCUUAAAUCCCAUUUUCUUGUUAAGCCUAAUGCAUCCCUCCUAGGAAAGAUUUGCAGCCCAGCGGGGCGGAGAAUAACAACUUGACCUGGCCUGGAUAUUCCUAAAAAAAUAUAGCUGGGCUAGCCAUUUUCAGCUUGAAAAAAAUUAAUAUCUGGGCUGGAUAUCUGGCCUGGGCUAGACGGGCCAUAGCCCGCCCAGUUAAUAGCUGCAGCGAUGUUUUCGUUGUUGUUCAGAGGAGAAAAAUUAAUAUCUGGGCUAAACAUCGCUCAAGAAAAACUCUGCAGUGCUCACACCUCAAAAACACAAAUACUGCUCGAGCUGCUUGGUCCCAGCUGUCGGCCGCUUCUUGUGCAAUUCUCUCGUUUAUUGACUACAUAGGUUGACAAUGGUGUGGGACCGUGAUGUCAGGAAACCAGGAGGAAGCAAAAAAAAUAGUUUUAUAUACUAAUAAGGAGGCACUUGCGUACGUGCGGCUAUGGCCCUGGUGGGUCCCCACUGUCAUCCUCUCCAAGUAAAGUCAUCUCCUCAUCCUCAUGUCCGUUGACCAUGUUGACAACGCGAGACAGCGGCGCCACGGCGAGCGCAACAACUCGAAGGACGACGGAGAGGGCCUCGCGGGCCCUACGGAUGGUCUGAUACAGCGCCCGCUGCUCAUUCGGGAAGCCAGGAUCAUAGGGCCACAUGUCCGUGACGACAUUGUCGUUCGCUUGUUCACCGGUGCUCGUUGAGGAGACGGAGGUUGCAGCACAGGUCCUCCUGCGCUGGUAGCUCUUCCACCAUUAGGGCGUCGAAGUGCGGCCGCACCUGCUCUAUGGUGAACACGGCAUGAACCGGCUUGGACAGUGGCGCCGGCUCCUGGUCGGAAGCUACGUCCAUCGUCUGAUUGUCGUCGCUCAGCUCGGCGAGGUAGCUGGUGAGCUAGCAUGUCCGACUACUGGACCGACCCACUGCCAAGCACGAGUCUGACUGCCCUGGCCCACCCAGACCGCCUCCCUCGCCCGCGCGCGCUUUCUGCCUGAAACGGUCAGCGCCGCCCGCCCCGCUUCCCGGUGCCUGCGAUUGCUCCGCCUUCAAAUGACACAAGUGUCGUCCGUCCGUCCUUCUGUCGCCCACAUUAAUGAUACGCGGUUGCCGAGGCGGCUACUCUGGCGCCACACGUCCGUCCCUCCGCCGCCCAUCGUUGCUAUAUAAACUGCUGCGCCGGCUAUAGCCGCAGUCAUCUGCAUCCGUUCCUAUUCUGUCCACACCACUACUGCCCAGCAUGGCUUCCUCGCGCUCCAGCGCUCUUCGGGACGGGCGUACGAUGGACCACAAGGAGAUGGCUGCCAUUUUUGCCGACUGGCUGGCCGGCAGGCAGCCGGAGGACGAUGACGUCCCAAUAAAGAACAUGGUAGUCGACGAUCCGGCGCCAACCCCCUCCUCCGCGCCAUCCUCGCUGGUGCAUUGCACCAUGACCAUCAGCGAGGCCCGUGCCCAAUAUAUGGACAUGGUGAGGCAGAAGCGUGAGGAGCAGUUCCGGGAGGCGUAGGCCAACGCCGCCUACAACCACCAUCUCCUCCAGGAGCACCUGCAGGCGGAGGAGCAGAUCGCCGCGGAGCGGGCGGAGCAGGAGGUGUUGCUCGACUCAUACCGCUCCACCUGCGAGGGCCGCCUCGAGCGCUGGCGGUACCACAUGCAGGUGGCGGAGGCUGAGGCCGCCUACAAAGAGGGCGAUGAAGCGGGCGAGGCGCUGUUUGGCGAGACCGAGGACGAGGCAGAGGACAAUGCCGGCUCCGACGAGUCCCCGCUCCGCUGGCGUCGAUGAGGCCCUGCGACGCCGAGGCCCCGCGGCGCCAACAACGAGGCAGAGGACACCGCCGGCUCCGCCGAGGCCCCACCCUGCCGGCAACGAGGGGGAGGAUUUCCCCCGCUCCGCCGAGGCACCGCCCGCCGACAACGAGACAGAGGACAUCGCCGGCUCCACCGAGGCCCCGCCCCGCUGCCAACGAGGUCGCGCCACACAGAAAACGAGGAAGAGUAGAACACGGUAGGUCGCCGCCGCUCGGGUCCAAGUAAGGCCACCGCUGCUACCCUCCGGUUGCUGGCACUAAGCUGUACAUCAUGGAGCAAUUCUAUGAUUACAGGAUGAUUGAAGAGCACUCCGUGGUUGAGCAAGCUCAUGAGAUACAGUCAUUUGCUAGAGAACUUGAGCACUUCAGUUGUAUGCUACCGGACAAGUUUGUUGCCAGAGGUAUCAUCACUAAGCUUCCUUGGCACUCUUGAUGUGGAAGAAAAGGCGAGAGCAAAGGACACACAUGCUCGAGGAAUUGAGGGAGGAUCUAGUGCCAAUCUGGUAUAGAAGAAGAACUUCCAGCCCCACAAGUUCAAGAACAAGGGCAAGUUUGAUGGUAAAGCAAAGUUUGAUGGGAAGAACAAGGCUGUGCAACACACGAACCUCAAGAAGAAGAAUGACAAGAAGAAAGGUGUUUGUAAUGUGGGGAUCCUGAUCAUUGGGCUCCAAGUUGCCCUAAUCGUUAUGACAAGCUAGGCGGGUUGACCACUGACGGCCGGUUAGCUUCUUGGCGGCGACGUGCAGUCGGAGAGCUAUGUUGGAGAAGGACGCUGCUUCUACUUAACUGGUGGUGCAGUUGGCUGACUGACACGUGGGCCCAAUAGGCGUCUGGGCCACAUGUCAGUUACGCAACUGCACCAGCAGUUAAGUCACUGAAGCUUCUGUUCGGCUCAGCCGGACAUAGGUGGGUAGCUUCAGUUAAUUAGUUAUACCUCCAGCGCACCCCUUUUUAGUUGAAGAAUGUAUGAAAUGUAAUGAAAUCCGGCAUGUUUAUAUGAAAUCCGACCGCGUAUGAAUGAAUUUAUUUCGAUUAGUUCGAAUUCUUGUAUCACUGGCAUUGGAUGAACAUGCAAAACAAUACGUACUAGCAUUAUUCCCAGGGUGAUCACCUCGUUUGCAGCAGUUUCACAUGUACUCCCUCCGGUCCUUUCUAGUCUGCAUACAAGUUUUGUUCGCAGUCAAAGUAUCUCUACUUUGACCAAUCUUAUAGAAAAAAAAAUGCACUUUCACAAUGUGCAAAGUAAAAAGGAACAGAAGGAGUACAAAGAGUUUGAGCAGCUUUUUAGCGUUCCUGUACAUUGCAAUCAAACACACAGGCCUGGCAAUUCAUAGAGAACAUUCAAAAAAAUUGAUGAUUAUGCAUCUCAGUGAUUCACAUGUUAGAGCAAAUAUUUACUUCACAACUAAAGAAUAAAGAAAAAUGGAUCGACGCUGCUGACAGCAAAGGGCGUCCCAUUCGAAAAUAUCAAACGCAUGUCUUCUUGCUAAAAUCAAUGAGCAAAAUUUGACAAGGUUUUCCCAUUCCAAAAUAUCAAAUGCCUACGAUUGUGGAAUGGGCUGGGUUUGCCAUCAGUUCGGGCAUUGACAUGGCACCUCGUGCUAAAUAAACCAGCUGUUUCUUUUUGUGCAGUUCCACCAAAAUCAACCAAAUUCGCGCGUAGCUUGUAUGAUUUCGCCCUUAUAUGUUGCAACACAUUGAACUUAUCGGCACCUCCUUCCUUGUGGUGGAAAUGAAAUUCAAUGUAUUCAUGAACAUUUUGUGCAGUUCCCAUUGAAAUCAAGCUGAGCACCCCUGUUUGCACAAAUACAAAAAAAGUGAUUAGUAUAAAGCAAAUUGUACUAUGAAUUGACAGUUUAAACAGGCACCUACAUGGUCCAUGUAGAGCACACUUUUAGAAAAAUGGAACUCACCGGAAAGAAUCCUAGAACAACAUUGUACUCGCGCAUCACAGCAAGAAAAUGGAGAUUUGUCAGUCCUUCUGAGCUGAAGUUAGUUUGGUCUUGUGGGGGGUAAUGUAACCAUCCUUCAACUGCUCCUUCUUAUGAGAAGAUAGACAGGGCUUCUUCAUCCUGGCAUAAUCGGAACUAGUCACUUCACAUACUCCAUAUUCUUCUUCAAAGGAGGAUGAUCCUGUUGUGCAAAGACAAGAGGAUAACUAAAUGCUAGCAUCCCUGUUUGCUCGAAAAAAAGGAAAGGAAAUAUUUAAAACAGCACAGAUGAAGCACUUCUCAAGGACAAUACCACUUUUUGAUGACAAUAUCUAAACAGUAGCACAACACCAAUAGAGAUGACAAAGCUCAAUCAUUUGGAUGAAAUCAGUGGGCGAGUACCAACCUUUGUCAGGAGGCUUAUUGUGUAGAGCAUACAGAUGAAGCACUUCUCCAGAACCAUCUGUUGCUAUCUACUGUGGUGGCCAUGCUUACUAUAUACUCCUUGAUUAGAUUAAUGUUUCCAACAUCUUCUUAUGCAGUUCCACUAAAAUAUAUGGUAUCUUCAAAGAAGAUCCCUGUUUGCACAAGUAGAGAUAAUUAUGUAUUACAUUAAGAGUGGCAUCAAAUCAGUGGCAAAACAAUAUCUCGUUCCAGCCAUAGCAAUAAAUUAAGAUGCAAAACUAUAUCAUUACUUGUGUCAUCACAGUUCCAGUGCUUCAUUACAGCACCAGGAGUUGAUUUUUGUUUUUCUUCCGCUUGUUCUUCCCCUUCAUCACUUGGUUCAAUUACAGACAAGCUUCGCCUUCAAUGUAAGAUUUGGCAUGUCAAUUAGGUUGCACAAGUAUAGCACUAAACAAUGACAUUAAUUUUCUGAUGAGAGUGGCAAAAUAUAGGCCAACAGUUGUGAAAUAUCCUUAUCUUACCUCAAUGGGAUAUUGCGGUGCACAUACAGAUUGGAAGUCUUGUCUCCAUUUGUGUAGUUCACUAAAAUCAAGCAACAUUACCGUACAAGUAGCACAACAUAUGAAAGCACACUGCAGAAUCAUGUGAAAGAAGGCUAGUACUGACCUCUCAUGAUGCGGAAUUCAAACAACUCACAAGAAGAAGAUCUGAACCAAAUUUGCCAACACGGAUAGGAAGUAAGAUCUCCUCUUGUGCAGUUCCACUAAGAUCAAGCAAUCAAGCAAUGUUGUCGGUGUGACAUUUUGGUUGAACUGCACAAAACACUCUUAAAACAAAAGUGUUUUGUGCAAUGCAACAAAAGGUCACAAUGGCAACGAGGUGAAGUAGAUAACCCUGUUUACACAGAGGUGCAAAGGAAACAACUAGUGGUCAAUAACGGUGGAUGACACAGAAGCCAACAAAAAGAAGCAUCUACCUUAUCUAAAUGGGAAAGAAAGCAAGACAGUAGCAUUUCUCAAACGGUGGCAUUGAUUAAUAUUAACAGAGAGAUUAUAUUAACAAUAAAAUUCGUUAAACAUGUAAUUUGCUUUUAACUGUGGCAUUGCAUCAAUUUUCCAGCGGCAUUAUUAGAGGGUGUUUCUUUACAGGGACAUUUUGGUGGAGGGACUAAAAAAACUCCGUGUCAGUCCCAUCUAAACCAAACAGGAGGGACUUUUAGGGACUAAAAGUGGGCAUUUGGGACUAAAGAAAGAAGACCCCGAGGGAGAGUCUUUUUGGGACUUUUUCCAACAGUUGCCCCUGCCACGCAUCGCACCUUGUCUCUAUUAGUUCAUUACUAGGGGUAACAUGGUCUUUUAGCAUGUCAUUUAAUAACCUCUAGUCCAUGUUUAGUCCCUGGAACCAAGCAGGUGGGGACUAGGGAGUUUUUAACCAAACAGGGCCUUAGAUUAACAACAGCUAAAGAGUUGCACGGGACAGUGGACGCACCAGCACCAUGUGCAUCUACUGAUGUACUGGGGUGAUGCACAGUCUGUUGCAACAAAGAACAAACAACCAAGGAGCAUAUUUGUGUUGGUCCCAGUUUUGUUAUCUUUAGACACCUUUCCCUAUGUGAGCGCAGCAAAUCUAGUCCUGCUCAAACUCUACAGCCUUGUCCCCCAAAACAAAAGAUCAGUUUGUUACAGGUGUGCGUACUGCGUUUGUCAUUCUUUUCCCUUUUCGACCAACGUAGGUGCUGGAUAGCCAGUCUGUACUAGUACUUUCCCCACUUCCUUUCCUCUAUGAACCACGUCCUAGAUUUAUGCUAUACAACUUUCCCCACUACUUUCCCCCAUUCCUGUCCUCUUUGAACCACGUCUUAGAUUCAUGCAAUACAACUUUCCCCCUUCCUUUCCUUUUUGAACCACGUCCUAGAUUCAUGCUAUACAACUUUUCCCACUACUUUCCCCCAUUCCGUUCCUCUUUGAACCACGUCCUAGAUUCAUGGUAUACAACUUUCCCCACUACUUUCCUGUUUGAUCCAACACCUAGAUUCAAGUGCAGAAGCGGAAAAAGGACACAUGCAGCUAGAGCAAUGCAUGUGGAAUAAGUAAAUUAUCCUUAAGGUUCUUGGGGUGUGGUUCGGUGGGGGAACGGAGGCCGUUCGACCCACACUAUGUACGGCGGCGAAGAAGGGGUCGGAGGCCCUCCCGCGCCGCCGCUGGGUGAAAGUGAACAGCCGCGCCGGUAGUGGAUUCCCUCCCUCGCCGACGGCGACAGCGUUAAGCCUCCUUCCCUUCCCGGCGGACGGAUCCUGCCGGCUCUCUGACCAGCAGUGAGGGGAGAGAGAGGCCAACGAAGUCUUGUUUAGAUCUGGAGAGGGUGAGAGAGUGUGAAGAGAGCAACUACAAGCAGACUAGCAGUGAGGGGAGAGAGAGAGGCAACAAAGUCUUGUUUAGAUCUGGAGAGGGUGAGAGUGUGUGAAGAGAGCAACUACAAGCGUUGAGGCUCCAGCGUGUAUAUAUAUACGGGAGAGAGUGUGAAGAGUGCAAACCCUAGAAAAAAAGCGCCGAGGCUGCAGCUUAUACGUGAUGAGGUGAUUAUAAGGUCACUACGAGAUCGUAUAGCUCCGUAUCCAUCCAUUUUGACCAGUCAAAGAAUCCUCCUGGCACGAAUUAUGCUCAGGUGUAGUUAUCGAACCCGAGACCUCAAGUUUGAUGAGCGAACAGGCUAACCAGCCACACAACCCUCCUGUUAUGUUCAACGAGAGGAAAAUAACCUUUUAUACAUUCCUGCAUUUGUGUGACAAGCAUACCGUGUUUUGUGUGUGUGUGGGAGUCAUUGGGAUUUAAAUCAUAAUCGUGUCAUGUGGCUUUGGUGGUAAGACUAUCCACAGUGGUGCAGAAAUAAUGCAGCCUUAGUCACCUUACCUCUCUCCACGUAGUACGUUGGGUCCCACCAGUCAGAGGGUGAAACAAACAAAUUAAUAAGGAAAAUUAAAAGCGCCAGCGGUGUAUCUUACCUCACACAUCUCGCUACUGCUCGGGAACAUUGUCCAAUUGAUCCCUCUGUUCGCUCACGUACUAUUUUAAGUGAAUCCUUAUUAUAACAUGCACACAAUUUUGGGCACUUGUAUUCGACCUAAGUCAGUGUGCCACCAUAUCUCGUACGACUCCCUCCGUCUAGGUGUAAUAAGUCACGUUAGAAGGUGUAGCGGGACCAAGGUGCAAGCAGAUUGGAGAAGGAGAAACUUGACCGGUCAUUCCUCCAAUCAAAGCCCUGAUUUCUGUCUCUAAACGCAACAAUUAAUCCAAACAACUAAGAGAUGCCGUUUUAGCUACCAUGCAGGGCCACGUAUUAACUCGCAUGCAAGCCGACUUUGAUUUCUUGACUCAUCAACGCGUAGUUGCGCUCCAUGCAUUGGGUUUCCGGGGGAGAUAACAAGGCAGAGUAAGGAGCGUUUGGUUACAUUGCUUAGGCUGGUCAUAGUGGUGAGUAACUUGGACUAGUAACAUGCAUAUGUUACUAGUCUAUGUUACUACUACGCGAAGUUUGCCGUCGGAAGCGAGCCGAUCUGGCUCUCCUGAGCUAGCAAGGUUUUUCUAGCCCACCCAAGCUAGCUGGCCCACAAAAGCUAACAUAUUUUAACAGUUCCAAACGCCUAACCUUGCCCGGCUAUGCUAAAAGAUGUUCUUGCUAAGGAUCCAAACGCUCCGUAAGUAACAACGCUCGCUAGCAACAAGGCCAGGAGGGGAUUGAGAUGCGAAGUUAAUGGACGACACCUAAACAUUUUGGGAAUAUCUGAUUUCCGUAGGAUGACUUAACACCUAGACGGAGGGAGUACUACUCCUCAGUCCAGGUUUGAUGGAAUAUUCGUCACCUCUUCUCUUCUUGUACGUACUCCAUUUGUAUCUCACUUCCUGUGGCUUUGCACUCGCACGAUUUUCCUAUUCUACGAACCUAUGUGUGCAUGUGCGUGUGUGUGUUUAACAACAUGUGUGUGUUAGAGAGAGCGACAGAUCGACCUACUCCUACAGAGAGAUGGUGUGUAGUGUAUGAUUUUGGCCGUGCAUCCUCUCGUUUCCGGGCGUCCGAUAGGGACAGGCGGACAGCUGCCACGCACGCUCCUGACCACCCUGGACGACCCAAAGCCCCUCCAUCGCCCGCGCGCGCUUCCUGCCCAAAACGGUCAGCUCCACUCCAAAGAAUCGGUGCCGCAUUCAUGCCCGGGCAGAGCGGACGCGACCUCUCACUGGCGCCUGCGUUGAAGGGAGAAGCGGAUUCAAGAGUGAUGGUUGCUUCGUCCGUCCAACUUACUGCUGGGUCUAUGUGAUUUGACGGCUCAUUGGUCAUUAUUACUGAGGUGAUAGGACUGCUGGAUGUCCCACGCUUUCGGCGAAAGGAGGUACUACUAGAUUACAAUUUUCUCCAUUCUUACGGCGGAGGAGUGCAAGAGCAGUGAAAACACGCAGGCUCAGUGAUUACAUGGCCCACCUCACACUAUCACCAUAUUUUCUGGACACCGUGCGACACCUAACUCUUUACAUAGUACUCCCUCCGUUCCUAAAUAUAAGUCUUCAUAGAGAUUCCACUAGGUGGACUACAUACGGAACAAAAUGAAUGAAUCUACACUUAAAAUGCAUCUUAUACAUCCGUAUAUGGUUCAUGGUGAAAUCUCUACAAAGACUUAUAUUUAGGAACGGAGGAAGUACUUGUAUAGUACGUACUGUAAUUUAUCAGCGAGAUAGUACAAUGCUAUGAAGCUUCCAGCUUCUGUUACAUGUAUCUUGCGUCCAAGGUUGCCCGUUGCAACAUUUCAUCAAAAACAAAGGAGACUAACAUGCAUGGUAUUGCAUCUCAAUGAUUGACAGAUCAUAGCAAAUAUGUACUCCCUUCGUUCCAAAAUAAGUGUCUCAACUUUAUGGUACAUACGGAGCAAAAUGAGUGAAUCUACACUCUAAAAUACGUCUAUAUACAUCAGUGUUUGGAGUAUGUACUAGUAUUUCAUAUUGAAAUCUACUAAAGGACAUAUAUAUUCCAAACAAUAUGAUAAUCUCUCUAACUAGUAGGGACGAGGAGUAAACGGAGGGAGUAGUAAAAUUUUCUCCUCGUCCUGCGAGCCACCGCGCGCGUGGGCGAGGGAGCGGGCGUAAGGCGUACAGUACUACUACUAGUACGCAAGCUUCACCUCAUCCUGCGAGCCACCGCGCCCGUGGGCGGGGGAGACGGCGUACUAAGCAAGCUUCUCCUCGUUCUACGAGUUGACGGGACACAUCAAAAGUACUCCAGUGUAUAGAGCCUUGCCUCUAAGGUAGGCCCCACAUGGUUUGCCUCUUUUUUAACAUAACGCGCCAAGUCGCAAUUUGUUUGUUCACCCGUGGUAGACGAUCCUCCUCCAUCUAGUGAACAACCAGUACACGUGUCAAAUUACCACGUGGGCUGCCUUUUCGUACAGAAAUGAGCUCCACUGUGUACCCGCGCGGGUGUGGUUGAGAAAGAGACGGGAGUACGUGCGCCGUGCGUGCACCUCUUCUCUUUGUGCAUGUCCCCCACCUACGUGGGUGUGUGUGAGAGAUACAAACCUAGACAAAUGGCUUGUGCGUUCGUGAGUGUUUUUUGUUUGGGGGGGUUGAUUUCGUGAAUGUAUUUGUGGGAAUAUGUGUCGAUGACAUCUCAAAUAAAUUUUUGCAUGCAAUGUGUGUGAAAUGGAGGCCUAUCCAUAUCAUAUAUAGAGGGUCGGGCGAUCCACGAGAAGAGAGGGAGGGGUCAUAGAUAUCGAUAGAGUCGAAGAGAGGAUCAAGUGGGUAGGUGCGAGAUCGAUGAAGAGAGCCAUCGAAAUUGUGUGUGUGUGUGUGCAAGUCAAAGAUAUAGGGCGACUGACCUAGAUACCGGAACGUCAGAGGGCACAGGUCAAGUUUGUGUGUGGCAGGGAGACAUGACUAGAGCGCUCGAUGUAUCGGUGUGUGUGUGUGUGUGGGGGGGGGGGGGGGAGGGGUAGGCAGAGGCCUAACUAUAUAGGUAGAACGACUCGUAUAUGUGUUGAGAAGGAGAGACCCUUCUAUGUCUUGAGGGAGAUCGGUCGACAUCCAUACAUAACUAAAGGACGGGAAAUAGGAUGGGACAGAGAGAGAGAGGANNNNNNNNNNNNNNNNNNNNNNNNNNNNNNNNNNNNNNNNNNNNNNNNNNNNNNNNNNNNNNNNNNNNNNNNNNNNNNNNNNNNNNNNNNNNNNNNNNNNNNNNNNNNNNNNNNNNNNNNNNNNNNNNNNNNNNNNNNNNNNNNNNNNNNNNNNNNNNNNNNNNNNNNNNNNNNNNNNNNNNNNNNNNNNNNNNNNNNNNNNNNNNNNNNNNNNNNNNNNNNNNNNNNNNNNNNNNNNNNNNNNNNNNNNNNNNNNNNNNNNNNNNNNNNNNNNNNNNNNNNNNNNNNNNNNNNNNNNNNNNNNNNNNNNNNNNNNNNNNNNNNNNNNNNNNNNNNNNNNNNNNNNNNNNNNNNNNNNNNNNNNNNNNNNNNNNNNNNNNNNNNNNNNNNNNNNNNNNNNNNNNNNNNNNNNNNNNNNNNNNNNNNNNNNNNNNNNNNNNNNNNNNNNNNNNNNNNNNNNNNNNUGUGUGUGCAAGUCAAAGAUAUAGGGCGACUGACCUAGAUACCGGAACGUCAGAGGGCACAGGUCAAGUUUGUGUGUGGCAGGGAGACAUGACUAGAGCGCUCGAUGUAUCGGUGUGUGUGUGUGUGUGGGAGGGGGUGGGGGAGGGGUAGGCAGAGGCCUAACUAUAUAGGUAGAACGACUCGUAUAUGUGUUGAGAAGGAGAGACCCUUCUAUGUCUUGAGGGAGAUCGGUCGACAUCCAUACAUAACUAAAGGACGGGAAAUAGGAUGGGACAGAGAGAGAGAGGAGAGAGAGAGAGAGGGAGGGAGAGGGGUAGAGUGCUGGAUGGGUGAUGGAGUUGCUUCUCGAAGAUGGUGGGAGAGGCCUACUAGACAAACUGGGGUGGAACUGCAAUAUUAUGGAUAAGAGUGGGGAUGUGUUUCUGUGUGUGCCUGUGCGUGAUAGAUCUGUUGGGACACAUCCAUGGAUGAUGAAGGGGAACCACGUGUUUGGUAAGCAAAUCUAACUAGAUCGGUAGAUCGGUAGAUCGGUGGAACCAUCUUGUCGGAGGAAGGGAGAGACAUAACUAAUGAGGUAGAUCGAUCGACGCGCGGGGAAAAACGAGUUAUCAGGACCUAGCUAGCAAUAUGUAUAGCGGGAGAUCGGUCGGUGUACGUCCAUUUGUUAGAGGCAAAUAAGGUCCGGCGAGAUGGAUAGACAGAGAGAAUGGAGCUAGGAGGUGGUGCGAGAGGCCCAGCUACUAGCUAGAUAGGGGAGGAGUGUGCGGUUGUGAGAUCGAUGAAAAGAGGGGCGAGAGUUUACACGUGCCUGGGACCGUAUGAGAGACACGAGGCAAGGACACAUAAAGGAGGAGAUUGAAGGUGCGUGUGUAUGUUGUAGGCAGACAUCGCUGGAGAGGUUUAUCGAUUGGUGUGUGUCGGAAAGGAGUUGUGGAGACUGUGGGAGAACGACCUAAAGAAAAAAAAUGAAUGUGUGCGAUGGAUAGAAUGCUGAGGGAGGGGGAGGGCGUGUGCAUGCACGAGACAAAGUUAGUGGUAGCUACAAAGGUUAGAGGAUUGUGUGGGUGUAACAGACUAAUAAAGAUCAUAAUUUGAUAUGAAAGUGGAUUCAUAUAUUUGAAUAGGAGAUCAUAGUGUUUUAAACAUAUGCAUGCAUGAAUAUAGCGGUGAUACGCGUGUUGUGGUUUUGCACAUGUUAUACCAUAAUGUGAUAAUGCAUGGCGUUUGCAACUCACAGCUAAAUGUCGAACAACCUAAACCAUACUAUACAUCGAACAAUCUCACAUUUUAUUUGAAUUUGUGAUAAUGUGUGGCGUUUGCAGCUUAUAACUAAAUAUCGAACAAUCUAAACAAUACUAUAUAUCGAAGAUUCUCACAUUUUAUUUGAAUUUGUGGUAAUGUGUGGUGUUUGCAACUCACAUCUAAAUACUUGUAGGCGUAGGGGGCGGGGCACCAUACAUAAUGUGAUAAACACAUUAUACAUAUGAGACAUGGUUUAGUUUGUGAAGAUCUAGCUAGAGCUUGAAAUGUACUAUGAUUUGAAAUCAACAUAAAGUGGAUUCAAAAAAUCGAGUUCGAGUUCAUAUAGUACACAUAGUUCAUAUGUAACUCGAGACUAAUCAUGUGGUGUGCUCUGAAGAUAAUACACAAACGAUGGUUUAACUUGACAAUAAUGACGAUUGUAGAUCUUAUUAAAAGAGAGAAACGAAUUCAAAUGCUUUGACUUCACAACAAUCAUUAUUGUAGAUCUUAUUCAAAUAGAGAAAAAAAUUUCAUAUUUAGUUCAUAUUGAAGCGGUAGUAUAUACGUUUGGAAUGCAAUAAAAACGUUCAUUUGAGUACCAGGUUGCAUGCAUUAUACACGUAGAGAAAUAUUUUAAUUGAACAUAACAUGAAUUCAAAGUUUUGAAUGACAUUUGUAGUGCGAAUUGAUUUGGCACAGUACACGUUAGGCUUGUCCGAAAAUUUCAACCCGCGCCUUGUUAGCCCAAAAUAUUUAAGAUAUAUCUUUGUCUCGUUGUGCUCCGACAACUCCCUCCAUCUCAACCCGCGCCUUGCUAUUCCAAAAUUACAACGCGUGCGAAAACUCCCACCUCCUGUGGAAUCCCGACACAUGAAAUGCCCGUGAUACCCCUGAACCGAAAGAACCGCCUCAAAUCGGUGGGGGUACUUUUGUAACUUACCCCACAUUUCGGACAAGCGCGUCCCUAAGCCAUGGUUCCCCACUCCCAUCCCAUCCGCCCACCCAUUCGUACACCGAGGCCGGGAAAACCCGCGAAGCCCCACACCCUUCUCCGUCCGCCACCCAGCCGGAGCCUCUUCCCCGACGACGUCGUCCACAGCAACACCUCGACGUCCCUCAUUCACCGUACCGGAUGAGGAUCCGUCGUCGAUCCGGUCGUCCUGCCGGUUCAGCCACCCCCUCCUCCACCUCCAAGGAGCUGCCCUGAUGUUCCCCUCGUCUUUCGCGCCACCUCCAUUCCCACACCUCCGUCUUCACCUGCACCACCGGAAGAGCAUCAUCAUCACCGUUUCCUCGGAUGAAGCUAUAGCCUAAUCGGCGCCACCAAAGAGGUUGUACACUAAUCGCCGCAUUUUCUUCUUGAUUCGAUCUCACGGUGCUGCCGGCGCUCGGUCCCGAGCCGACACGGCGCGGCUCCAUCCACGGCAGCGUCGCCGGCCACUUCCUCCACGGUGUCGCUCCCUCGGCAGCGACGUCCACAUAAGUAGGAGCUACUGCUGCUUUAGCUCUCGCUCGCGCUGUUGCUCUGCUCUUGCUCUCGGUCCCCUGCCUGGUCUGCUCUUGCUCGCAUUGCUGCUCUCGCUCUUGCUCUUGCUUGCGAUGCUGCUCCGAUUUAGCUACACUUCAGUCGACUGAAUCGACUUUUGGGUCAAUCGAUUUUCAGGGGGUGGGGUGGGGGGCUCACCGGAGUUAAGGAAAAACCAGCNNNNNNNNNNNNNNNNNNNNNNNNNNNNNNNNNNNNNNNNNNNNNNNNNNNNNNNNNNNNNNNNNNNNNNNNNNNNNNNNNNNNNNNNNNNNNNNNNNNNNNNNNNNNNNNNNNNNNNNNNNNNNNNNNNNNNNNNNNNNNNNNNNNNNNNNNNNNNNNNNNNNNNNNNNNNNNNNNNNNNNNNNNNNNNNNNNNNNNNNNNNNNNNNNNNNNNNNNNNNNNNNNNNNNNNNNNNNNNNNNNNNNNNNNNNNNNNNNNNNNNNNNNNNNNNNNNNNNNNNNNNNNNNNNNNNGGCGGUGGGGAGUGUUUUCGGGGCGGGCGGGGCGGCGCACCGCCGGCCGCGGGCGGCGGGGGGCGGCUGUUUAGCCGGUGGUGGCUGGCGGCUCAGGGGGGUGGAGGUUGAAGAUGAACUGCAGGCCCUUGAUUUCGUAUCCAACGGCUGCAAAAUCGACUGACCAGAGAUGAAAAAGUCAGUCGACUGACAUGUAGCCUCACCUCUAGUGCGUUCAGUUUCGACAGCAAAAUUCAGUUUCGACAGUUAAGUUCAGUUUCAACAGUUAAAUUCAGUUUCGACAGUUAAGUUCAGAGAUGAGCAGCUGAUGUAUACAUCUAGAACUUCAUGGUUAUGUAUUUUACGUCAUCUAUUGGAGAUGCUAUUAGAAUUCCACUCAGGUUAACAUUGUCUCUCUUGUCCUGCUUCAGGCUCGGCGGCGUACAACUCACCGGAGCUGCUCCAAUGACGAAACCCUCCAUCACAGCGGAGCAGUACCUCGGGCUCCAUCUCCAGACGCCUAAGAUCUUCUUCCCCUCCUCCGACAGCCAAGUCAGCCGGAGCAUCCUCACCGGCCAACCCAAUCACGCUGAGAUCGACAUGGCUUCGCCAAAGAGGUUGUACACUUCUUGUGGUUUGACUUAAUCUCACCAUGCUUCUUUUCAUCCUGUGAUCUUCCAAUUCUUGUGAACCAAACACUCAGAUUGGCAGAAAUCCUGUGUUUUUAAAUUCUCUGUUUUGCACAUGCAUUCCUAUCCUAUUCCUAUCUAUUUCCUAUCCCUGCAUUAUUAGAAUCCUCAAAUUCAAACAAGCCCUUACACAAUUACUUUUGUUACAGAUAUGUGUCAAAGAAAACCUUGUGUGGUUUGUCCUGCUCCUGCGGUGUUGUGUUCCACCCAGCUCAGCUGCUCCAACGACGGAAGGGUUCACCACAGCAGGGAUCCGCUCUCCAGACUGUCUUUCGCCGCCUCAGAUCUUCUUCCCUGCCGCCGGCAGCCACGACAACUGCAUUACCAUCAUCAACUGAGCAGAUGACCUUGAGGACUACAUGGGUCCGCAAGAGAGGUCGCACUCUUCCGUGUCUGCUUAUGUUAUGCAUCGCUUAAUAUGAUGACAUCCUACUUUAUCGUCGUGUUCACCUAUUAGACUCCGACUCAGGUCCAAACUUAUGCUGAAACUUGAGUUUUUAAAUGGUUGUGGGGUACAUAUUAGGGCAGCAAUCAGUACUAUCUGUCUACUAUCUGGUUCAUCUCAGGUGUCUACUAUGAGUUUCAUGUUGGGUGCAAACAAACAUUAAAGGAGCCAUUAUCUGUAUUUUUUAACUAAAGCUAUUAUCUGCCUGCUAUCAUUGGUUUUGGGUCUAUCUACAGUUUGCUACCUUCACUCUGGAUUUGUGCAUGCACUCCUUACAUAAUCUCACUAUGUUUUAUUCCUAUGCAUGUCAGUUAUUGUACACAAUGGAAUUGAACAUGUAGAGUGAAAGAGACGAGCCUUGCGUGGCAAUAAAAUUUCAUGCAAACGUCGCUCCAUGGUGGGCGCAAAGGCAGCCCCCCUCCACCCAUUUCGGAUCGUAAUCAAGAGGAAGAUAACUGUUCUGAGGGGGAUUCAGAAGCAGAAGACCACUCCUAUUUACCCCAUGAGGUCUUCGCUCUAACUUGGCAUGCUGAUGUUGGUAAUAUCAUGCAUAUGGUGCCUUGCAUUGCUUACUGUAUACAUCAAAGAUGUCAUCUGCUUAGUUUAGACAUGCUUUGUGUCAAUGCCAUCUGCUUAGUUUCUCAUCGUAUAUGUGAAUCAUGCAAUGCCAUCUUGUUUAGCCAGACAUCAUAUAUGUGAAUUUUGCAAUGCCACCCUGGUUAGCCAGUCAUCUUAUAUGUGAAUUAUAUCAUGACAUCAUUUUUUAUUACGUGUUAAAUUUGUCAACAAUUUUAGUACAUUCAAUUACUCUUCCUGUGCAUCAGCCAUUCGACACGGUCAUGGAAAAAUCUGGAGUGGAAACAAGGUCUUCAGAGCAGACAAUGCUAUCUGACGAAGCGCAUGUCUUGCUGGUUACAGAUAGCUCCUCAGAGGAGGAUUCAGAGACAGAUGACCAGUCCUACCCCCCCGAGGUACAUGCUCUAACUUGGCAGGGUUAUGUUGCUCAUAUCGUGCGUAUGGUAUCUUGCAUUGCUAUGUCAUUUGCUUAGUUUAGACAUGAUUUGUGUGAAUGCCACCUGUUUAGUGUCUAAUUACCAUAUAUGUGAAUUAUGCAAUGCCAUCUUGUUGCAAGACAUUAUAUAUGUGAAUUAUGCAAUGCUAUCUUGUUGCAAGGCAUUAUAUAUGUGAAUUAUGCAAUGCCAUGCUGUUUAGCCAAGCGUCAUAUAUGUGAAUUAUAUCAUGCCGUCCUUUUUUUGUAUUUCUCAUUGCUUUUGUCGACAAUGUUUGUAUAUUCAACUGCUCUUCCUGUGCAUCAGCCAUUUGAAUUGGUGAUGGAGAAAUCUGGAGUGAAAACAAGGUCUUUAGAGCAGACAAUGCUACCUGCUGAAGCAGAUAUGUUGCUGGUUACAGAUAGCUCUUCAGAGGAGGAUUCAGAGGCAGAUGACCAGUCCUAUUAUCCCCCUGAGGUGUAUGCUCAAACUUGGCAGGGUUAUAUUACUCAUAUCAUGCAUAUGUUGUAUUGCAAUGCUUAGUUUUUACAUCAUAUACACGAUAUUGAAUGCCAUCUCCUUAGUUGACACAUCAUAUAUGCGAUUGCCCUCUGCUCACUUCCUUAGUAUAUAAAUCAUAUAUUUGAAUUAUAUCAUGCCAUGAUGUUUACAUAGACAGCAUGUAUCUGAAUUAUGGCAUGCCAACCCAUUUUCUAAAGACAUAAUAUAGUUAUAUCAUCUCAUCCUGUUUACAUAGUCAUCAUAUUUUGAAUUAUGUCAUUCUAUCCGUGAAUUAUAUCAUGCCAUCAUGUUUCCAUCGAUGGCAUAUUUGUGAUUUAUGGCAUGCCAACCACUUUAAUAGACACAUCGUAUAGUUAUAUCAUGUCAUCCUGUUUACAUAGUCAUCAUAUUUUGAAGUAUGUCAUUCUAUCCUGUUUAGUUAGCCAUCAUACAUGUGAAAUUGUGUCAUGCUAUCCUGUUUAAUUAGCCAUCAUAUAUUUGAAAUUAUGUCCUGCUAUUCUGUUUGGUUAGACAACAUAAAUGUGAAUUAUGUCAUGCCCUGUUUUCUUCCCUACUAUCCAUUGCACCUGUGUAUCUUACAAUGUCUGUACAUUCAAUUACUUUUCUUGUUUAUCAGCCAUUUCAAUUGGAGGGGGUGAUGGCAGUAUCUGUGGAAGUAAAAACAUGGUCUUCAGAAAAGAUCGUGCUACCUGUCGAUGGAGAUAGAACCACGGUUGUACUUUCCCAAGAACCAGCCCCACCACACAUAACCCAGACUCACGCAGAUUGUACCCCUACACAGUUGGACAGAGAACCAGCUACACCCCUUCUAACCCCAACCCCAGCAGAUAGUAACCCAGUUCCCGUUGACACAGCACCGUCUCCACCACAGAGCACCCAAACAUGAUCAGUUAGUAAGGCAACUGCAGUGCCCAAAGCACGAGGACCACCACUCCGAACCCCAAGUCAACGCUUAAAGCAGAAGAAGAGUUGUUCUCAGGUCAGGUUCCGUAGCUAUGGUUCAUACUACUUUGCUCUUUCAUCACUGUAUUUACUCAUACCAACUAAUUUCAAAUUUGAAGGAUGCAAUUGAAACUCCAAUGGCGCAACAGGUAUGUUUUAAACCUGUUUCUUUAACGUGUUUGCUGUUGUAACUUGCUCUAUGUUGAUUUCUGUUUCAAUUGAAUAAACAAUUAUGUUCUCAUGCCAUGCACAUUACAAGUGUUGUUAUUGCUGUGUAGUUUCCCACACUUAUAUUCUGUCUAUGCUGCUUUUUCUUAAAUAGAUAUGAUUCGAACUGUAUCUAUCUUGAUUUGGCAACAUAAACUAGAAUGAUAUAGACCAUACAGUGGCCAUACUACAUAAUUAUAUGUUUGUUUCAUGCUGUUAUCCUGUCCACCUUACUACUGAACUGGUUUACCAAAAUGAGUUUCAUAUACUACAUUGUAAACCUGUGAUGUGUUUGUUUGUUUCUCUUUUAGAACAUAGAUAAAAUAUUGGAGAAGAGUACCCCGUUAUGCAAUGGUAAAGGAAGUAAUGCAGAUAAGGUUCAAUAUAGUGAGACAUCCCUAUUGUUCUCCAAGAAAGCUGAUAAAAACAAUAUUGAAGACACUGAGACAACCCCAAAGUCCUGUCUUGAUGUAGUGUUCGAGUUACUGGCUACUACUACUGGCGCCAGCUCUUCGAACUCGCUGCCUGAAUCAGUUCGGCUUCUUGAGUCUCAACUUCAAGUUGAAAGACAUCGAUCAGAUGUUAUGCGACAGGAAGCUGAAGGACUGAGGAAGUCCCUGCAGAAUUCAGAUGCAUACUUUCUGGUGCAACAGCAAAUGCUGGAGGAUCUAAGCGCCAAACAAGAGAAAGUUAAUAAGCUUGCUAAGCAUCUUGCUAGCAUUAUGGGUACCCAGGAUAUUGUUCCUUGAGCUCUUCUGAAGUGGUUUCAGUUCUGGACUUGUUUUGUUGCGGCGUUUAUAUGCUGCUUUGUUCCCUAUAUUUGCACUUGUGGCGAACUUUGAUGCCCAGUGGAUGUAAUAUGUGUAAUAGCCGUGAUAGCCUAGCGUAAGUUGCUUGCUUAUUUAUUUCCUUAUUGUCUUGUUUAUUUGUUUUCUUGUAGUCAGUGCAGUUCUUUUUCCGCGGUUUGCUAGUGGCCGCAAUAACCUAUUUUUUAAAACUAGGCCACAUUAACAAUGGGCUACAUAUUUACUGUAGUUAACAUGGGCCUCCUACGGGCCAUAGAAACAAUGGGCCUUCUAAGGGCCAUAGAAACAAUGGGCCUUCUACGGGGCGUAGACAUAAUGGGCCUUCUACGGGUCGUAUCAUCAAUGGGCCUUCUACGGGCCGUAUGAUCGGUUGGCCAACCAUGGUCCAAUAACAGACCACAUUAUGGCCGUAAAUGGGCUAGAGUUGAAAUUGUCCGUUCAUGGGCCGACCAUAAUGGGCCGUCAUUAAUCGGCCGUAUUUGAUGACGCUAUGAAAAUGGCCCAACGUAUUAACGGGCCACAAACGGGCCGACUGUAACCACGGGCUGUAUUUGGCCCACAAGCAGAAAAUGACAGUAACGGGCCGAAAGUAAACGAAUGCUGGAAAUGAGCCCAAGAAUAAAUGGGCCCUGAGAAGGCCGAAAGAUAACAUGGGCUGGAAACGACCCAACGGAAUAAUGGGCCGUUAAUGGCUAUAAAGUGAUACACUGUUCAUUAUGGGCCAGUUUUACCACGGGCCGUUAAUGGGCCGAGGGUUACUAAGGGCCUCAUAUGGGCCAAAAGACGUCAUGGGCCAUACAUGGGCCGGAAGUUAAAACGGGCUGGAAUUAUAUUGGACGGCCCAGAUGACGCUACUAGGCCUAAUUUGGAUAGGCCGUAAACGGGCCCUGGAUUAGCGGGCUGUAAAUGGGCUAUAUGCGAACAUGCCGUUAACAGGCUUGCCGUGGGCCGGCCCGCCACCUUUUGACCAAGUCAAACGGGCCGGCCUUUUCACAGGAGUGGGCCUCUGUUGGGCCGUGCCAUGUGUUGACGUAUCAUAGGCGCUUUGUGUCCAAUGAGUGGAUGACAUCUGUCCCAACGGUGAGCCGACACGUGUUUCCUCCAACCAAUGAUGAUUUUACACGUGGAAAAUCCCCAUUGGUCGGGGCCUAUCCAAGGGAAUCACAAACCUUAGCACCAAUAUUCUUACUAAAGCAUAAUUACUCAUCAACAUGACUCACAUAUCACAUCAUCAUAUCUCAAAACUAUUGCAAGGAAUCAAGUUUAUUUUGUCCAAUGAUCUUCAUGAAAGUUUUUAUUAUAUCCUUCUUGGAUAUCUAUCACUUUGGAACUAAUUUUCAUGUGUUGCUUUUGAUAAGGUCAAACAAAUAUAAGUGAAGAUCAUGAGCAUAAUAUUUCUUUCUCUCAAAUUGAUUUAAGUGAAGCAAGAGAGAAUUUCUUCAAAAAUACUAAAGCACACCGUGCUCAAAAAUAUAUAAGUGAAGCACUAGAGCAAUUCCAUAGAAAAUAGCUUCGUUGACAGGAUGUGUGUGCCACUUACCUAGCCUCCCUGGCAACUAUUCGAGGACUCUAUUUUAUUUAAAAACUUUCAGAUCUAAGUACUUUAUUAAAACAGCAAGCAAAACAAAAUAAAAUGACAUUCCAAGGAUAGCACACAUCAUGUGAAGAAGCAAAAACUUAGGAUCAACCGAUACUAACCGGUAAUUGUUGGUGAAGAAAGGUGGGAUGCCUACCUGGGCAUCCCCAAGCUUAGAUGCUUGAUACUUCUUGAAAUAUUAUCUUGGGAUGCCUUGGGCAUCCCCAAGCUUGAGAUUUUGUGUCUCCUUAAUUCCUUUUAUAUCACGGUUUCCCUAAAUCUUAAAAGCUUCAUCCACACAAAACUCAACAAGAACUCGUGAGAUAAGUUAGUAUAAACCAAUGCAAAAACUUUAUCAUUCUCUACUGUAGCAAAUCACUAAAAUUAUUAUUAUACAUUGCAUAAUAAAUGCCUCUGCAUAUUUAAUACUCAUAUCCUCAAAUAGAAUCAUUAAACAAGCAAACAUAUGCAAACAAUGCAAACAUAACAGCAAUCUGCCAAAACAAUACAGUCUGUGAACAAUGCAAGAGUAUCAAUACUUAUUCAACUCCAAACAUUAGGAAAUUCUACCGCACUAUUGAAAAUUUAUCAGAGCUUAUUAUGCAAAAAGUUUCAACAUUUUACCACAUUCUGACUUUUCUAGGGAAUGUUUGCAACAUCGAUAAACUUUCUGUUUUCAAACAGCAACAUGUAGACUUGUAAAAUAAGCAUAGUAAAGGCUAUCAAUGCCACUUUUAUUGAAAUAAAAUAUGCAAAACAUUAUUCUAAAUAACAGAAAGCAAAUCCUAACAAAAUAAAUUGACGCUCCAAGCAAAACACGUAUUAUGUGACGAAUGAAAACAUAGCUCCAAGUGAGGUUACCGAUAAUGUUGGAGACGAAAGAGGGGAUGCUUUCCGGGGCAUCCCCAAGCUUAGUUGCUUGGAUCUUUCUUGAAUAUCACCUUGGGGUGCCUUGGGCAUCCCCAAGCUUAGGGUCUUGUCACUCCUUAUUCUCCUCAUAUCGACAUCUCACCCAAAACUUGAAAACUUCAAUCACACAAAACUUAACGGAACUUCGUGAGAUAGGUUAGUAUGAUAAAGAGCAAACCAUUUCACUUUUGGUACUGUGAAAGACAAGAUUCAUAAUUGUUCUCACACAAUGCCUACUAUAGCAUAUCAUUUCCACAAUUUAUAUUGAGCAAUAUAAGCCAUAGAAACUAGAAAACAAGCAAACUAUGCAUUAAAAACAGAAUCUGUCAAAAACAGAACAGUACGUAAAGAUCUGAAUAUUAGUCAUACUUCUGCAACUCCAAAAAUUCUGAAAACUUAGGACCACGUAGAAAAUUUGUAUAAACUUAUGCAAAAAUAAUCAACUCAAAAGCAUUCUUAUGUUAAAAAUAAGAAUUAUUUUCGUGAGCACAAAAAUUUCAGUUUUUCAGCAAGAUCAAAUCAACUAUCACCCAACAUGAUCCCAAAGGCUUUACUUGGCACUUUAUUGAAACAAAAGCAAUAAAACAUGAUUACUACACUAGCAUAAUCAUGGGAACACACAAAAACAGUAGGUAAAAGUGUUGGGUUGUCUCCCAACAAGCGCUUUUCUUUAAUGUCUUUUAGCUAGGCAUGAUGAUUUCAAUGAUGCUCGCAUAAAAGAUAAGAAUUGAAACAUAACAAGAGCAUCAUUAAACACAUGGCAAGCACAUUUAGGUCUAACCCACUUCCUAUGCACAUCAUCAACUAGCAUAGGAAGGCAAAACAAGUGCAACUUCAAAACAAUGAACACAUAGUGAAGAAACUUGAUAUUAUUGAGAUAUGUAAGAGCAUAAGUUCCUUCCUCAUAAAUAAUUUCCAGAAACAUCAUGAAUGGAUUCAACAAUAUAACCAUCACAUAAAGCAUUCUUUUCAUGACCCACAAGCAUAGAAAUUUUAUUACUCUCCACAUAAGAAAAUUUAUUCUCAUGAAUAGUAGUGGGAGCAAACUCAACAAAAUAACUAUCAUGGGAUUGAAAAUUAAAAUCAUGAUGACAAGUUUCAUGGUUAUCAUUAUUAAUAUAGCAUACAUGUCAUUACCAUAAUCAUCAUAAAUAGCAACUUUGUUGUCAUAGUCAAUUGCAACCUCUUCCAAAAUAGUGGAUUCAUCACUAAAUAAAGUCAUGACCUCUCCAAAUCCACUUUCAUUAUUUUAAUCAUCAUAAAUAGGAGGCAUGCUUUCAUCAUAAUAAAUUUUCUCAUCAAAACUUGGGGGAAUAAAAUAUCAUCUUCAUCAAACAAAGCAUCCCCAAGCUUAUGGCUUUGCAUACUAUUAGCAUCAUGGAUAUUCAAAGAAUUCAUACUAACAACAUUGCAAUCAUGCUCAUCAUUCAAAUAUUUUGUGCUAAACAUUUUAUUGACUUCUUCUAACACUUGAGCACAAGUUUCUGAUCCAUCAUUUUCAAGAAAGAUAUUAUAAAGAUGAUCAAUAAUAUGAUGCAACCUCAAUUCCAUUUUGAUGUAGUUUUCUUUUAUAAACCAAACUAGUGAUAAAACAAGAAACUAAAAGAUUCAAUUGCAAGAUCUAAAGAUAUACCUUCAAGCACUCACCUCCCCAGCAACGGCCCAAGAAAAGAGCUUGAUGUCUACUAUGCAACUUUAUUCUUGUAGACUCGUGUUGGGCCUCCAAGCGCAGAGUUUUCUAGGAUAGUAGCAAUUUUCCCUCAAGUGGAUGACCUAAGGUUUAUCAAUCCGUGGGAGGUGUAGGAUGAAGAUGGUCUCUCUCAAACAACCUUGCAAUCAAAUACAAGAAAUCUCUUGUGUCCCCAACACACCCAAUACAAUGGCAAAUUGUAUAGGUGCACUAGUUCGGCGAAAAGAUGGUGAUAAAAGUGUAAUAUGGAUGGUAGAAAUAUAUUUUUAUAAUCUGCAUAAAUAAAAACAGCAAGAUAGCAAAUAGUAAAUGGGCAAAAAAACAGUAUUGCAAUGCUUGAAAAUGAGGCCUAGGGUUCGUACUUUCACUAGUGCAAUCUCUCAACAAUCGUAAUAUAAUUGGAUCACAUAACCACCCCUCAAAGUGCGAUGAAGAAUCACUCCAAAGUUCCUAUCUAGCGGAGAACAUAAGAAGAAUUGUUUGUAGCUAUUCUUUCUGAUCUAUCUAUCCAAGAGUUCGUACUAAAAUAACACCAAGUUAUUCUUUUCGAUCGAUCUAUCUAGAGUUCGUACUAAAAUAACACCAAGUUAUUCUUUCCGAUCGAUCUAUCAAGAGUUCGUACUAAUAUAACACCAAAGCAAAUUCAGAUCAUAAUACUCAAUCCAACACAAAGAACCUCAAAGAGUGCCCCAAGAUUUCUACCGGAGAAACAAAGACAAGAACAUGCAUCAACCCCUAUGCAUAGAUUACCCCAAUGUCACCUCGGGAAUCCGCGAGUUGAGUGCCAAAACAUAUAUCAAGUGAAUCAAUAUGAUACCCCAUUGUCACCACGAGUAUUCAAUUGCAAGAAAUAUAUCAAGUGUUCUCAAAUCCAUAGAAGUAUUCAAUCCGAUAACAACGAAAUCUCAAAGGGAAAAACCUAAUUCAUCACAACAAGACAGAGAGGGGAAAACACCAUAUGAUCCAACUAUAUUAACAAAGCUUGCGAUACAUCAAGAUCGUGACAUCUCAAGAACACGAGAGAGAGAGAGAGAUUAAACACAUAGCUACUGGUACAAACCCUCAACUCCGAGGGUGGAUGAUACAUCUCCAACGUAUCUAUAAUUUUUGAUUGUUCCGUGCUAUAUUAUAUUCUGUUUUGGACAUUAAUGGGCUUUAUUAUACACUUUUAUAUUAUUUUUGGGACUAACCUAUUAACCGGAGGCCCAGCCCAGAAUUGCUGAUUUUUGCCUAUUUCAGAAUUUCGCAGAAAAAGAAUAUCAAACGGAGUCCAAACGGAAUGAAACCUUCGGGAACGUGAUUCGGAACGAACGUGAUCCAGAGGACUUGGACCCUACGUCAAGACAUCAACCAGGAAGGCACGAGGUAGGUUGGCACGCCUACCCCCCAGGGCGCGCCCUCCACCCUCGUGGGCCCCACGUUGCUCCACCGACGUACUUCUUCCUCCUAUAUAUACCUACGUACCCCCAAACUACCAGAUACGGAGCCAUCUUGGGGCCUUUUUCGGAGCUCCGCCGGAGGGGGCAUCGAUCACGGAGGGCUUCUACAUCAACACCAUAGCCUCUCCGACGAUGUGUGAGUAGUUUACCUCAGACCUUCGGGUCCAUAGUUAUUAGCUAGAUGGCUUCUUCUCUCUUUUUGGAUCUCAAUACAAUGUUCUCCCCCUCUCUUGUGGAGAUCUAUUCGAUGUAAUCUUCUUUUGCGGUGUGUUUGUUGAGACCGAUGAAUUAUGGGUUUAUGAUCAAGUUUAUCUAUGAACAAUAUUUGAAUCUUCUCUGAAUUCUUUUAUGUAUGAUUGGUUAUCUUUGCAAGUCUCUUCAAAUUAUCAGUUUGGUUUGGCCUACUAGAUUGAUCUUUCUUGCGAUGGGAGAAGUGCUUAGCUUUGGGUUCAAUCUUGCGGUGUCCUUUCCCAGUGACAGUAGGGGCAGCAAGGCACGUAUUGUAUUGUUGCCAUCGAGGAUAACAAGAUGGGGUUUAUAUUAUGUUGCAUGAGUUUAUCCCUCUACAUCAUGUCAUCUUACUUAAAGUGUUACUCUGUUCUUUUGAACUUAAUACUCUAGAUGCAUGCUGGAUAGCGGUCGAUGUGUGGAGUAAUACGUAGAUGCAGGCAGGAGUCGGUCUACUUUUCUCGGACGUGAUGCCUAUAUACAUGAUCAUACCUAGAUAUUCUCAUAACUAUGCUCAAUUCUGUCAAUUGCUCAACAGUAAUUUGUUCACCCACCGUAAUACUUAUGCUCUCGAGAGAAGCCACUAGUGAAACCUAUGGCCCCCGGGUCUAUUUUCCAUCAUAUUAAUCUUCCAACAACAAGCUAUUUCCAUUGCCUUUUAUUUUGCUUUUAUUUUACUUUGCACCUUUAUCAUAAAAAUACCAAAAAUAUUAUCUUAUCAUAUCUAUCAGAUCUCACUCUCGUAAGUGACCGUGAAGGGAUUGACAACCCCUUUAUUGCGUUGGCUGCAUGGAUUUAUUUGUUUGUGUAGGUGCGAGGGACUUGUGCAUGGCCUCCUACUGGAUUGAUACCUUGGUUCUCAAAAACUGAGGGAAAUACUUUCACUACUUUGCUGCAUCACCCUUUCCUCUUCAAGGGAAAACCAAGGCAGUGCUCAAGAGGCAGCAAGAAGGAUUUCUGGCGCCGUUACCGGGGAGGCUUACGCAAGGUCAAGUCAAGAUUUGGACUCCCGACAACGAGCCAUUCUGGCGCCGUUGCCGGGGAGUCUACGCAAAAGUCUACAUACCAAGUACCCAUCACAAACCCUUAUCUCCCGCAUUACAUUAUUUGUCAUUUGCCUCUCAUUUUCCUCUCCCCCACUUCACCAUUUGCCGUUUUAUUCUCCCUCUCUUUUCCGUUCGCCUCUUUAUCGCUUGCUUGGUCGUUAUGGCUAGUCCUCUAUCUUCUCCGUUGUCUCCCGAGAAUGAAGUUCUUAAUUUUAAGCAAAGGGAGGGAGAAAAUCUAAAAGACGCUUGGUAUAGAAUUUGCAAUGCUCAAAAUAGAUCUACCAGGAAGCAAUCUACUUCCGUUCUUCUCCGCAAUUUUUAUGUAGGCGCUACUCCUUGGUACAGAUAUAUCCUUGAUACCAUUACCGGACGGAAUUUCUUGGGUAGCCAUACUUUUGAUUCUUAUAAUGCUAUGAUAGAUUUGUUUGGCUCACCACCUCUUUUGGUUAAUGGAACUAUGUUAACUUUGGAGCAUGUAAUGCAAAGACUUGAAAUUAUUAAAAAGAAAGUUGCUACCGUAGAGUUAAUUGAAAAUUUGGAUAAAAAGAUCCAUAACCAAAUUACCCAAUAUGGAUCUAAGGUAGGAGUCACUUUGAAAAAUAUUAAGGAGAAGGAAGCCAUAGUUAAUGAAAGAAUAAAUCAGGAUUCCACUAGAAUUGAUAAACGAGAGGGUAUCAUUACCAACUUGGGAACCGCUUUUUCUUCCAUAAAGAAUACUCCAAGUCCUCCAACUAAAAUUGCCAAGCUUAUGUAUGUUCCUAAAAAUAAGGGUGAAUCCUCUAGUAAGGAAACUGCGGAUCUCAAAUCUAUAAGUAUUCAUCCCAAUCUUUUUGCUAUCAUUAAGGAACCAUUUGCUACAAACGAUUUUUUCGGUUAUGUGCCUAGAAGUUUGAUAAUUAAUAAAAAGAAAGAAACUCCUAAGGAUGAGAGAUGUCUCAUAGAAGGAUUUCCUACCAAAGAUGGCGAUACCUGGAACUAUCCUUGCUUUUAUGCCUAGCUAGGGGCGUUAAACGAUAGCGCUUGUUGGGAGGCAACCCAAUUUUAUUUUUAGUUUUUUUUUUGCUUUUUGCUUCUGUUUAGGAAUAAAUCUUUGAUCUAGCCUCUGUUUAGAUGUGUUUUGUGUUUUAAUUAGUGUUUGUGCCAAGUUAAACCUAUAGGAUCUUCUUGGAUGAUAGUUAUUUGAUCUUGCAGAAAAUUGCAGAAACUUUCUGUUCACGAAAAUAAUUGUUAAAAAUCACCAGAACGUGAUAAAAUAUUGAUUCCAAUUUCUGCUGAUCAAUAAACAAACUUUCUAGGUCUUCCUAUUUUUUCUGAAUUUUUGGAGUUCCAGAAUUUUGCGUUAGUUACAGAUUUCUACAGACUGUUCUGUUUUUGACAGAUUCUGUUUUUCGUGUGUUGUUUGCUUAUUUUGAUGAAUGUAUGGCUAAUAAAAUAAUUUAUAAACCAUAGAGAAGUUGGAAUACAGUAGUUUUAACACCAAUAUAAAUAAAUAAUGAGUUCAUUACAGUACCUUGAAGUGGUGUUUUGUUUUCUUUCGCUGACGGAGCUCACGAUAUUUUCUGUUAAGUUUUGUGUUGUGAAGUUUUCAAGUUUGGGGUAAAAGAUUUGAUGGAUUAUGGAACAAGGAGUGGCAAGAGUCUAAGCUUGGGGCUGCCCAUGGCACCCCAAGAUAAUCUAAGGACACCAAAAAGCCAAAUCUUGGGGAUGCCCCGGAAGGCAUCCCCUCUUUCGUCUACUUCCAUCGGUAACUUACUUGGAGCUAUAUUUUUAUUCACCACAUGAUAUGUGUUUUGCUUGGAGCGUCUUGUAUUAUUUGAGUCUUUGCUUUUUAGUUUACCCCAAUCAUCUUUGCUGUACACACCUUUUGAUGAGAGACACACAUGAUUCGGAAUUGAUUAGAAUACUCUAUGUGCUUCACUUAUAUCUUUUGAGCUAUAUAGUUUUUGCUCUAGUGCUUCACUUAUAUCUUUUAGAGCACGGUGGUGGAUUUGUUUUAUAGAAACUAUUGUUCUCUCAUGCUUCACUUAUAUUAUUUUGAGAGUCUUAAACAACAUGGUAAUUUGCUUAAUCCUAAUAUGCUAGGUAUUCAAGACUAGUAAAAACUUUCUUAUGGGUGUGUUGAAUACUAACAGAAGUUUGAUGCUUGAUGAUUGUUUUGAGAUAUGGAGGUAGUGAAAUUAAAGUUGUGCUAGUUGAGUAGUUGUGAAUUUGAGAAAUACUUGUGUUGAAGUUUGCAAGUCCCGUAGCAUGCACGUAUGGUAAACGUUAUGUAACAAAUUUGAAACAUGAGGUGUUCUUUGAUUGUCCUCCUUAUGAGUGGCGGUCGGGGACGAGCGAUGGUAUUUUCCUACCAAUCUACCCCCUAGGAGCAUGCGCGUAGUGCUUGGUUUUUGAUGACAUGUAGAUUUUUGCAAUAGGUAUGUGAGUUCUUUAUGACUAAUGUUGAGUCCAUGGAUUAUACGCACUCUUACCCUUCCAUCAUUGCUAGCCUUUUCGGUACCGUGCAUUGCCCUUUCUCACAUUGAGAGUUGGUGCAAACUUCUCCGGUGCAUCCAAACCCCGUGAUAUGAUACGUUCUUUCACACAUAAACCUCCUUAUAUCUUCCUCAAAACAGCCACCAUACCUACCUAUUAUGGCAUUUCCAUAGCCAUUCCGAGAUAUAUUGCCAUGCAACAUUCCACCGUUCUGUUUAUCAUGACACGUUCAUCAUUGUCAUAUUGCUUUGCAUGAUCAUGUAGUUGACAUAGUAUUUGUGGCAAAGCCACCAUUCAUAAUUCUUGCAUACAUGUCACUCUUGAUUCAUUGCAUAUCCCGGUACACCGCCGGAGGCAUUCAUAUAGAGUCAUACUUUGUUCUAGUAUCGAGUUGUAAUCAUUGAGUUGUAAAUAGAUAGAAGUGUGAUGAUCAUCAUUUUUAGAGCAUUGUCCCAAGUGAGGAAAAAAUAAAAAAAGAAGAGAAAGGCCAUAAAAAAAGAGAGAAGAAGGCCCAAAAAAUGAGAGAGAAAAGAGAAAAGGGACAAUGUUACUAUCCUUUUACCACACUUGUGCUUCAAAGUAGCACCAUAAUCUUCAUGAUAGAGAGUCUCUUGUUUUGUCACUUUCAUAUACUAGUGGGAAUUUUUCAUUAUAGAACUUGGCUUGUAUAUUCCAACAAUGGGCUUCCUCAAAUGCCCUAGGUCUUCGUGAGCAAGCAAGUUGGAUGCACACCCACUUAGUUUCUUUUGAGCUUUCAUACAUUUAUAGCUCUAGUGCAUCCGUUGCAUGGCAAUCCCUACUCCUUGCAUUAACAUCAAUCGAUGGGCAUCUCCAUAGCUCAUUGAUGUGAGACUUUCUCCUUUUUUGUCUUCUCCACAUAACCCCCAUCAUUAUAUUCUAUUCCACCCAUAGUGCUAUAUCCAUGGCUCACGCUCAUGUAUUGCGUGAAGGUUGAAAAAGUUUGAGAUUACUAAAGUAUGAAACAAUUUCUUGGCUUGUCAUCGGGGUUGUGCAUGAUGAUAGCAUUUUUGUGUGACGAAAAUGGAGCAUGACCAAACUAUAUGAUUUUGUAGGGAUGAACUUUCUUUGGCCAUGUUAUUUUGAGAGGACAUAAUUGCUUAGUUAGUAUGCUUGAAGUAUUAUUACUUUUAUGUCAAUAUGAACUUUUAUCUUGAAUCUUUCGGAUCUGAAUAUUCAUACCACAAUUAAGAAGAAUUACACUGAAAUUAUGCCAAGUAGCAUUCCACAUCAAAAAUUCUGUUUUUAUCAUUUACCUACUCGAGGACGAGCAGGAAUUAAGCUUGGGGAUGCUUGAUACGUCUCCAACGUAUCUAUUUUUGAUUGUUCCAUGCUAUAUUAUAUUCUGUUUUUGACAUUAAUGGGCUUUAUUAUACACUUUUAUAUUAUUUUUGGGACUAACCUAUUAACCGGAGGCCCAGCCCAGAAUUGCUGUUUUUUUCCUAUUUCAAAGUUUCGCAGAAAAAGAAUAUCAAACGGAGUCCAAACGGAAUGAAACCUUCGGGAACGUGAUUUUCGGAACGAACGUGAUCCAGAGGACUUGCACCCUACGUCAAGACAUCAACCAGGAAGGCACGAGGUAGGGGGCACGCCUACCCCCCCAGGGCGCGCCCUCCACCCUCGUGGGCCCCAUGUUGCUCCACCGACAUACUUCUUCCUCCUAUAUAUACCUACGUACCCCCAAACUACCAGAUACGGAGCCAAAAACCUAAUUCCACCGCCGCAACCUUCUGUACCCGUGAGAUCCCAUCUUGGGGCCUUUUCCGGAGCUCCGCCGGAGGGGGCAUCCAUCACGGAGGGCUUCUACAUCAACACCAUAGCCUCUCCGAUGAUGUGUGAGUAGUUUACCUUAGACCUUCGGGUCCAUAGUUAUUAGCUAGAUGGCUUCUUCUCUCUUUUUGGAUCUCAAUACAAUGUUCUCCCCCUCUCUUGUGGAGAUCUAUCCGAUGUAAUCUUCUUUUGCAGUGUGUUUGUUGAGACCGAUGAAUUGUGGGUUUAUGAUCAAGUUUAUCUAUGAACAAUAUUUGAAUCUUCUCUGAAUUCUUUUAUGUAUGAUUGGUUAUCUUUGCAAGUCUCUUCGAAUUAUCAGUUUGGUUUGGCCUACUAGAUUGAUCUUUUUGCAAUGGGAGAAGUGCUUAGCUUUGGGUUCAAUCUUGCGGUGUCCUUUCCCAGUGACAGUAGGGGCAGCAAGGCACAUAUUGUAUUGUUGCCAUCGAGGAUAACAAGAUGGGGUUUAUAUCAUAUUGCAUGAGUUUAUCCCUCUACAUCAUGUCAUCUUACUUAAAGCGUUACUCUGUUCUUUUGAACUUAAUACUCUAGAAGCACGCUGGAUAGCGGUCGAUGUGUGGAGUAAUAGUAGUAGAUGCAGGCAGGAGUCGGUCUACUUGUCUCGGACGUGAUGCCUAUAUACAUGAUCAUACCUAGAUAUUCUCAUAACUAUGCUCAAUUCUGUCAAUUGCUCAACAGUAAUUUGUUCACCCACCGUAAUACUUAUGCUCUCGAGAGAAGCCACUAGUGAAACCUAUGGCCCCCGGGUCUAUUUUCCAUCAUAUUAAUCUUCCAGCAACAAGCUAUUUCCAUUGCCUUUUAUUUUGCUUUUAUUUUACUUUGCACCUUUAUCAUAAAAAUACCAAAAAUAUUAUCUUAUCAUAUCUAUCAGAUCUCACUCUCGUAAGUGACCGUGAAGGGAUUGACAACCCCUUUAUUGCGUUGGCUGUGUGGAUUUAUUUGUUUGUGUAGGUGCGAGGGACUUGUGCAUGGCCUCCUACUGGAUUGAUACCUUGGUUCUCAAAAACUGAGGGAAAUACUUAUGCUACUUUGCUGCAUCACCCUUUCGUCUUCAAGGGAAAACCAACGCAGUGCUCAAGAGGUAGCAGUGGACUACUCCCUCCUCAUCGUGGUGGCCGCCGGGAUGAUGAAGAUGGCCACCGGAGAUGAUUCCCCCCUCUGGCAGGGUGUCGAAACGGGGUCUAGAUUGGUUUUCGGUGGCUACAGAGCCUUGCGGCAGCGGAACUUCUGAUCUAGGUUAACCCCCGAUGGUUUCUCUAUUUAUAGUAUUUUUUUUGGCGUUGGUUUCACGCUAAGAUGAGCCUCGAAGUGAGCACAACCCACCGGGGCAAGCUAGGCCCACCAGUCGCGCCCUAGUUGGUUGUGCCCUCCUCGUGGCUCUUCUAGCCCUCCCACGAAGCUUCAGGGGUCUCUUUUGUUCCAAAAAAAAUCGUCAAAAAUUUUCAGCUCAUUUGGAGAACUUUCAUUUCUGCACAAAAAACAACACCACGGUAGUUCUGCUGAAAAUAGCGUCAGUCUGGGUUAGUUCCAUGCAAAUCAUACCAAAACCAUAUAUAAUUGUUGUAAACAUGGCAUGAACACUUCAUAAAUUAUAGAUACGUUGGAGACGUAUCGGCAUCCCCAAGCUUAAUUCCUACUCGUCCUCGAGUAGGUAAAUGAUAAAAGAAAUAAUUUAUGAAGUGUGAAUGCUAGCAAAGUGCAUAAGUUUGAAUAAUGACAAUAUCAAUCACUUUUCCUAGCAUCAUAAUAGCAACUCUUUCUCAUAAAACUUAUCAUAAUAAAGUAGCAAUUGAAAAUGGAAUAUUUGUUGUGGAAAGCUACCUAUCAUAUUCAUCACAUAUUCUUUUCUUUUGUAGCAUGGACAUUUGGACUUUUAUCUGGUUCAAAGCAAUAGUCUAGUUUUGACAUGAAGAUUUCAAUACUCAAGCAUAUCAAUAAGCAACCAUGUCUUUCAAAAUAUCAACACUAAAGAAAGUCAUCCCUAGCCCAUCAUGCUCAAUCAUUGAUCCAUUCAUGAAACACACUCGCAUAUUAGCCAUCCAAUGCUCAAGUACGCUCAUAGUGCCCCUUAGUUGGUGCUUAUAAGAGAAGAUGGAGACUCAAAAAAAAUAAAAACUGCAUAAAUUAAAUAGAUAGGCCCUUCGCAGAGGGAAGUAGGGAUUUGUAGAGGUGCCAGAGCUCAAAGCGAAAAAGAGAGAUAAAAUAUUGUGGGAGGCAUACUUUUCCCACCAACGAAAACGACUUAGAGCUCCCAACACUUUCCAUGCUAGAUAUAUCAUAGGCGGUUCCCAAAAAAUACAGUUUAUUCCUUUUUCCACCAUACUUUCACUUUCCAUGGCUAACCGUAUCCACGGGUGCCCUCCAUACCAACACUUUCCAAGGAAUUUAUUAUUUGACAACAUAAAGUAAAUUCAUUUUUCAUUUCGGGACUGGGCAUCCCUAAUACCUUUGCCUUACUCUCGUGCAAUGACAAGUGAAUAAACACUCAUCGUGAGAAUAACACAUCUAGCAUGGAAAAUAUUGGCCACCCCUCACCGCCUCGCGAGCAGUACGAGCACACAAAAGAGAAAUUUAUUUUGAGAAUUAGAGAUGACACAUACAAAUUUUCUUAGAACGGCAAAAGAAUACAACGUAUAGGUAGGUAUAGUGGACUCAUGUGGCAAAACUGGUUUAAAGGAUUUUGGAUGCACAAGUAGUGAUCAUACUUAGUGCAAAAUGAAGGCUAGCAAAAGAUUGAGAAUCGACCAACCAAGAAACGAAUAAUCUCAUAAGCAAGCACUAAGCAUAAUUAACACCGAAUAAUGCACCACAAGUAGGAUGUAAUUUCCUUGCAUAACUAUUGACUUUCGUGCUUGCAUAGGGAAUCACAAACCUUAACACCAAUAUUCUUACUAAAGCAUAAUUACUCAUCAACAUGACUCACAUAUCACAUCAUCAUAUCUCAAAACUAUUACAAGGAAUCAAGUUUAUUUUGUCCAAUGAUCUUCAUGAAAGUUUUUAUUAUAUCCUUCUUGGAUAUCUAUCACUUUGGAACUAAUUUUCAUGUGUUGCUUUUGAUAAGCUCAAACAAAUAUAAGUGAAGAACAUGAGCAUAAUAUUUCUUUCUCUCAAAUUGAUUUAAGUGAAGCAAGAGAGAAUGUCUUCAAAAAUACUAAAGCACACCAUGCUCAAAAAGAUAUAAGUGAAGCACUAGAGCAAUUCCAUAGAAAAGAGCUUCGUUGACAGGAUGUGCGUGCCGCUUACCUAGCCCCCCUGGCAACUAUUUGAGGACUCUACUUUAUUUAAAAACUUUCAGAUCUAAGUACUUUAUUAAAACAGCAAGCAAAACAAAAUAAAACGACAUUCCAAGGUUAGCACACAUCAUGAGAAGAAGCAAAAACUUAGGAUCAACCGAUACUAACCGAUAGUUGUUGGUGAAGAAAGGUGGGAUGCCUACCUGGGCAUCCCCAAGCUUAGAUGCUUGAUACUUCUUGAAAUAUUAUCUUGGGAUGCCUUGGGAAUCCCCAAGCUUGAGAUUUUGUGUCUCCUUAAUUCCUUUUAUAUCACGGUUUCUCUAAAUCUUAAAAGCUUCAUCCACACAAAACUCAACAAGAACUCGUGAGAUAAGUUAGUAUAAACCAAUGCAAAAACUUUAUCAUUCUCUACUGUAGAAAAUCACUAAAAUUAUUAUUAAACAUUGCAUACUAAAUUCCUCUGCAUAUUUAAUACUCAUAUCCUCAAAUAGAAUCAUUAAACAAGCAAACAUAACAGCAAUCUGCCAAAACAGUACAGUCUGUAAAGAACGCAAGAGUAUCAAUACUUAUCCAACUCCAAACAUUAUAAAAUUCUACGACAUUGUAGAAAAUUUAUCAGAGCUUAUAUGCAAAAAGUUUCAACAUUUUAUCACAUUCUGACUUUUCUAGGGAAUUUUUGCAACAUCGAUAAGCUUUCUGUUUUCAAACAGCAACAUGUAGACUUGUAAAAUAAGCAUAGUAAAGGCUAUCAAUGCCACUUUUAUUGAAAUAAAAUAUGCAAAACAUUAUUCUAAAUAACAGCAAGCAAAUCCUAACAAAAUAAAUUGACGAUCCAAGCAAACCACAUAUCAUGUGACGAAUGAAAACAUAGCUCCAAGUGAGGUUACCGAUAAUGUUGGAGACGGAAGAGGGGAUGCUUUCCGGGGCAUCCCAAAGCUUAGUUGCUUGGAUAUUUCUUGAAUAUCGCAUUGGGGUGCCUUGGACAUCCCCAAGCUUAGGGUCUUGUCACUCGUUAUUCUCCUCAUAUUGACAUCUCACCCAAAACUUGAAAACUUCAAUCACACAAAACUUAACGAAACUUCGUGAGAUAGGUUAGUAUGAUAAAGAGCAAACCAUUUCACUUUUGUUACUGUCAAAGACAAGAUUCAUAAUUGUUCUCACACAAUGCCUAAAUGAGCUUAUCAUUUCCACAAUUUAUAUUGAGCAAUAUAAGCCAUAGAAACUAGAAAACAAGCAAACUAUGCAUUAAAAACAGAAUCUAUCAAAAACAGAACAAUACGUAAAGAUCUGAAUAUUAGUCAUACUUCUGCAACUCCAAAAAUUCUGAAUACUUAGGACCACGUAGAAAAUUUGUAUAUUAAACUUAUGCAAAAAUAAUCAAAUCAAAAGCAUUCUUCUGUUAAAAAUAAGAAUUAUUUUCGUGAGCACAAAAAUUUCUGUUUUUCAGCAAGAUCAAAUCAACUAUCACCCAACAUGAUCCCAAAGGCUUUACUUAGCACUUUAUUGAAACAAAAGCAAUAAAACAUGAUUACUACAGUAGCAUAAUCAUGUGAACACGCAAAAACAGUAGGUAAAAGUGUUGGGUUGUCUCCCAACAAGCGCUUUUCUUUAAUGCCUUUUAGCUAGGCAUGAUGAUUUCAAUGAUGCUCGCAUAAAAGAUAAGAAUUGAAACAUAACAAGAGCAUCAUGAAACACAUGGCAAGAACAUUUAGGUCUAACCCACUUCCUAUGCAUAGGGAUUUUGUGAGCAAACAACUUAUGGGAACAGGAAUCAACUAGCAUAGGAAGGCAAAACAAGUGCAACUUCAAAACAAUCAACACAUAGUGAAGAAACUUGAUAUUAUUGAGAUAUGUAAGAGCAUAAGUUCCUUCCUCAUAAUAAUUUUCAGAAACAUCAUGAAUGGAUUCAACAAUAUAACCAUCACAUAAAGCAUUCUUUUCAUGACCCACAAGCAUAGAAAUUUUAUUACUCUCCACAUAAGAAAAUUUAUUCUCAUGAAUAGUAGUGGGAGCAAACUCAACAAAAUAACUAUCAUGGGAUUGAAAAUUAAAAUAUGAUGACAAGUUUCAUGGUUAUCAUUAUUAAUAUAGCAUACAUGUCAUAGCAUACAUGUCAUUACCAUAAUCAUCAUAAAUAGCAACUUUGUGGUCAUAGUCAAUUGCAACCUCUUCCAAAAUAGUGGAUUCAUCACUAAAUAAAGUCAUGACCUCUCCAAAUCCACUUUCAUUAUUGUAAUCAUCAUAAAUAGGAGGCAUGUUUUCAUCAUAAUAAAUUUUCUCAUCAAAACUUGGGGGGAUAAAAAUAUCAUCUUCAUCAAACAUAGCAUUCCCAGGCUUAUGGCUUUGCAUAUUAUUAGCAUCAUGGAUGUUCAAAGAAUUCAUACUAACAACAUUGCAAUCAUGAUCAUCAUUCAAAUAUUUUGUGCUAAACAUUUUAUUGACUUCUUAUAACACUUGAGCAUAAUUUUCUGAUCCAUCACUUUCAAGAAAGAUAUUAUAAAGAUGAUCAAUAAUAUGAUGCAACCUCAAUUCCAUUUUUAUGUAGUUUUCUUUUAUAAACCAAACUAGUGAUAAAACAAGAAACUAAAAGAUUCAAUUGCAAGAUCUAAAGAUAUACCUUCAAGCACUCACCUCCCCAGCAACGGCGCCAGAAAAGAGCUUGAUGUCUACUAUGCAACUUUAUUCUUGUAGACUCGUGUUGGGCCUCCAAGCGCAGAGUUUUGUAGGAUAGUAGCAAUUUUCCCUCAAGUGGAUGACCUAAGGUUUAUCAAUCUGUGGGAGGCGUAGGAUGAAGAUGGUAUCCCUCAAACAACCUUGCAAUCAAAUACAAGAAAUCUCUUGUGUCCCCAACACACCAAAUACAAUGGAAAAUUGUAUAGGUGCACUAGUUCGGCGAAAAGAUGGUGAUAAAAGUGUAAUAUGGAUGGUAGAAAUAUAUUUAUAUAAUCUGAAUAAAUAAAAACAGCAAGGUAGCAAAUAGUAAACGAGCACAAAAACGGUAUUGCAAUGCUUGAAAAGGAGGCCUAGGGUUCGUACUUUCACUAGUGCAAUCUCUCAACAAUGCUAAUAUAAUUGGAUCACAUAACCACCCCUCAAAGUGCGAUGAAGAAUCACUCCAAAGUUCCUAUCUAGCGGAGAACAUAAGAAGAAUUGUUUGUAGCUAUUCUUUCCAAUCGAUCUAUCAAAGAGUUCGUACUAAAAUAACACCAAGUUAUUCUUUUCGAUCGAUCCUUCUAGAGUUCGUACUAAAAUAACACCAAGUUAUUCUUUCCGAUCGAUCUAUCAAGAGUUCGUACUAAAAUAACACCAAAGCAAAUUCAGAUUCAUAAUACUCAAUCCAACACAAAGAACCUCAAAGAGUGCCCCAAGAUUUCUACCAGAGAAACAAAGACAAGAACGUGCAUCAACCCCUAUGCAUAGAUUACCCCAAUGUCACCUCGGGAAUCCGCGAGUUGAGUGCCAAAACAUAUAUCAAGUGAAUCAAUAUGAUACCCCAUUGUCACCACGAGUAUUCAAUUGCAAGACAUAUAUCAAGUGUUCUCAAAUCCAUAGAAGUAUUCAAUCCAAUAACAACGAAAUCUCAAAGGGAAAAACUGAAUUCAUCACAACAAUAUAGAGAGGGGAAAACACCAUAUGAUCCAACUAUAUUAACAAAGCCUGCAAUACAUCAAGAUCGUGACAUCUCAAGAACAUGAGAGAGAGCGAGAUAGACUAAACACAUAGCUACUGGUACAAACCCUCAGCCCCGAGGGUGGACUACUCCCUCCUCAUCAUGGUGGCCGCCGGGAUGAUGAAGAUGGCCACCGGAGAUGAUGACCCCCUCUAGCAGGGUGCCGAAACGGGGUCUAGAUUGGUUUUCGGUGGCUACAGAGCCUUGCAGCAGUGGAACUUCUGAUCUAUGUUAACCCUUGAUGGUUUCUCUAUUUAUAGGAUUUUUUGGUGUUGGUUUCACGCUAAGAUGGGCCUCGAGGUGAGCACAACCCACCGGGGCAAGCCAGGCCCACCAGGCGCGCCCUGGUGGGUUGUGCCCUUUUCGUGGCUCUUCCGGCCCUCCCACGAAGCUUCGGGGGUCUCUUUUGUUCCUAAAAAAAUCAUCAAAAAGUUUCAGCUCAUUUGGAGAACUUUCAUUUCUGCACAAAAAACAACACCACGGUAGUUCUGCUGAAAGCAGCGUCAGUCCGGGUUAGUUCCAUGCAAAUCAUACCAAAACCAUAUAAAAUUGUUUUAAACAUGGCAUGAACACUUCAUAAAUUAUAGAUACGUUGGAGACGUAUCAGGGCUUCGCCUAAGCACUACGUGAAUAUGACCGGAGGCGUAAACUGUGGAGGGGGGCGCCGCACACGGCUAACAAUUGUUGGUCUAUAUUCUAGUGGUGCCCCCUUCAUAUAUAUAGGUUGGAGGGGAGGAGAGGCAACCAAGGGGGCGCCCCAAGUAGGAGGAAUCCUACUUGGGCGCCUCCCAAUUCGGCCUCCCCCCUUCCAUAUUCAUCCGGAGGGGGAAGGAAGGAGGAGGGAGGAGAGCAGUGAAGGAAAUAUGCCCUAGAGGCAAUAAUAAAGUUGUUAUUUAUAUUUCCUUAUAUCAUGAUAAAUGUUUAUUAUUCAUGGUAGAAUUGUAUUAACCGGAAACUUAGUACAUGUGUGAAUACAUAGACAAACAGAGUGUCCCUAGUAUGCCUCUACUAGACUAGCUCGUUAAUCAAAGAUGGUUAAGUUUCCUAGCCAUAGACAUAUGUUGUCAUUUGAUGAACGGGAUCACAUCACUAGAGAAUGAUGUGAUGGACAAGACCCAUCCGUUAGCUUAGCACUAUGAUCAUUUAGUUUAUUGCUAUUGCUUUCUUCAUGACUUAUACAUGUUCCUAUGACUAUGAGAUUAUGCAACUCCCGAAUACCGGAGGAACACUUAGUGUGCUAUCAAACGUAACAACAUAACUGGGUGAUUAUAAAGAUGCUCUACAGGUGUCUCCGAUGGUGUUUGUUGAGUUGGCAUAGAUCGAGAUUAGGAUUUGUCACUCUGAUUGUCGGAGAGGUAUCUCUGGGCCCUCUCGGUAAUGCACAUCACUAUAAGCCUUGCAAGCAAUGUGACUAAUGAGUUAGUUGUGGGAUGAUGCAUUACGAAACGAGUAAAGAGACUUGCCGGUAACGAGAUUGAACUAGGUAUGGUGAUACCGACGAUCGAAUCUCGGGCAAGUAACAUACCGAUGACAAAGGGAACAAUGUAUGUUGUUAUGCGGUUUGACCGAUAAAGAUCUUCGUAGAAUAUGUAGGAACCAAUAUGAGCAUCCAGGUUCCGCUAUUGGUUAUUGACCGGAGAUGUGUCUCCGUCAUGUCUACAUAGUUCUCGAACUCGUAGGGUCCGCACGCUUAACGUUCGAUGAUGGUUCGUAUUAUGAGUUAUGUGAUUUGAUGUACCGUAGGUUGUUCGGAGUCCCGGAUGAGAUCACGGACAUGACGAGGAGUCUCGAAAUGGUCUAGCCAUAAAGAUUGAUAUAUUGGUGAAGGAAAUAUGCCCUAGAGGCAAUAAUAAAGUUGUUAUUUAUAUUUACUUAUAUCAUGAUAAAUGUUUAUUAUUCAUGCUAGAAUUGUAUUAACCAGAAACUUAGUACAUGUGUGAAUACAUAGACAAACAGAGUGUCCCUAGUAUGCCUCUACUAGACUAGCUCGUUAAUCAAAGAUGGUUAAGUUUCCUAGCCAUAAACAUGUGUUGUCAUUUGAUGAACGGGGUCACAUCACUAGAGAAUGAUGUGAUGGACAAGACCCAUCCGUUAGCUUAGCACUAUGAUCGUUUAGUUUAUUGCUAUUGCUUUCUUCAUGACUUAUACAUGUUCCUAUGACUAUGAGAUUAUGCAACUCCCGAAUACCGGAGGAACACUUAGUGUGCUAUCAAGCGUCACAACAUAACCGGGUGAUUAUAAAGAUGCUCUACAGGUGUCUCCGAUGGUGUUUGUUGAGUUGGCAUAGAUCGAGAUUAGGAUUUGUCACUCCGAUUGUCGGGGAGGUAUCUCUGGGCCCUCUCGGUAAUGCACAUCACUAUAAGCCUUGCAAGCAAUGUGACUAAUGAGUUAGUUGUGGUAUGAUGCAUUACGGAACGAGUAAAGAGACUUGCCGGUAACAAGAUUAAACUAGGUAUGGUGAUACCGACGAUCGAAUCUCGGGCAAGUAACAUUCCGAUGACAAAGGGAACAACGUAUGUUGUUAUGCGGUUUGACCGAUAAAGAUCUUCGUAGAAUAUGUAGGAGCCAAUAUGAGCAUCCAGGUUCCGCUAUUGGUUAUUGACCGGAGAUGUGUCUCGGUCAUGUCUACAUAGUUCUCGAACUCGUAGGGUCGGCACGCUUAAGGCUCGAUGAUGAUUCAUAUUAUGAGUUAUGUGAUUUGAUGUACCGAAGGUUGUUCGGAGUCCCGAAUGAGAUCACGGACAUGACGAGGAGUCUCGAAAUGGUCGAGACAUAAAGAUUGAUAUAUUGGUGAAGGAAAUAUGCCCUAGAGGCAAUAAUAAAGUUGUUAUUUAUAUUUCCUUAUAUCAUGAUAAAUGUUUAUUAUUCAUGCUAGAAUUGUAUUAACCGGAAACUUGAUACAUGUGUGAAUACAUAGACAAAACAGAGUGUCCCUGGUAUGCCUCUACUUGACUAGCUCGUUAAUCAAAGAUGGUUAAGUUUCCUAGCCAUAGACAUGUGUUGUCAUUUGAUGAACGGGAUCACAUCAGUAGAGAAUGAUGUGAUGGACAAGACCCAUCCGUUAGCUUAGCACUUUGAUCGUUUAGUUUAUUGCUAUUGCUUUCUUCAUGACUUAUACAUGUUCAUAUGACUAUGAGAUUAUGCAACUCCCGAAUACCAGAGGAACACUUAGUGUGCUAUCAAACGUCACAAUGUAAAUGGGUGAUUAUAAAGAUGCUCUACACGUGUCUCCGAUGGUGUUUGUUGAGUUGGCAUAGAUCGAGAUUAGGAUUUGUCACUCCGAUUGUCGGAGAGGUAUCUCUGGGCCCUCUCGGUAAUGCACAUCACUAUAAGCCUUGCAAGUAAUGUGACUGAUGAGUUAGUUGCGGGAUAAUGCAUUACGGAACGAGUAAAGAGACUUGCCAGUAACGAGAUUUAACUAGGUAUUGAUAUACCGACGAUCGAAUCUCGGGCAAGUAACAUACCGAUGACAAAGGCAACAACGUAUGUUGUUAUGCGGUUUGACCGAUAAAGAUCUUCGUAGAAUAUGUAGGAGCCAAUAUGAGCAUCCAGGUUCCGCUAUUGUUUAUUGACCGGAGAUGUGUCUCGGUCAUGUGUACAUAGUUCUCGAACCCGUAGGGUCUGCAGGCUUAACGUUCGAUGACGAUUUGUAUUAUGAGUUAUGUGAUUUGAUGUACCGAAGGUUGUUCGGAGUCCCGGAUGAGAUCACGGACAUGAUGAGGAGUCUCGAAAUGGUCGAGGCGUAAAGAUCGAUAUAUUGGAAGGCUAUAUUCGGACAUCGGAAAGGUUCCGUGAUUCGGGUAUUUUUCGGAGUACCGGAGAGUUACGGGAAUUUGCCGGGGAGUUAAUGGGCCUUAAUGGGCCAUGGUGGAAGAGAGGAGGAGGCGGCCAAGUGGGAGGCGCGCGCCCCCCAAGCCCAAUCCGAAUUGGGGAGGGGGCCGGUCCCCCCUUUCCUUCUCUCCCUCUCCCUCUUCCUUCUUCUCCUACUCCAACUAGGGAAGGGGGAAACCUACUCCUACUAGGAGUAGGAAUCCCCCCCUUGGGCGCGCCCCAUGAGGCCGGCCCUCCCCUCCUCCACUCCUUUAUAUACGGGGGAGGGGGCACCCCAUAGACACACAAGUUGAUUGUUUAGCCGUGUGCGGUGCCCCCCUCCACAGAUUUCCACCUCGGUCAUAUUGUUGUAGUGCUUAGGCGAAGCCCUGCGUCGGUAACUUCAUCAUCACCGUCAUCACGCCGUCGUGCUGACAAAACACUCCCUCGGCCUUAGCUGGAUCAAGAGUACGAGGGAUGUCACCGAGCUGAACGUGUGCAGAUCGCGGAGGUGUCGUGCGUUUGGUACUUGAUCGGUUGGAUCGCGAAGACGUUCGACUACAUCAACCGCGUUACUUAACGCUUCCUCUUUCAGUCUACGAGGGUACGUGGACACACUCUCCUGCUCGUUGCUAUGCAUCACAUAGAUAGAUCUUGUGUGAUCGUAGGUAAUUUUUUUGAAUGCGUUCCCCAACAAUGGCAUCCGAGCCAGGUCUAUGCGUAGAUGUUAUAUGCACGAGUAGAACACAAAGAGUUGUGGGCGAUAAUAGUCAUACUGCUUACCAGCAUGUCAUACUUUGAUUCGGCGAUAUUGUUGGAUGAAGCGUCCCAAACCGACAUUACAUGACCGCGUUCAUGAGACUGGUUCUACCGCCGUGCUUCGCACACACACUACAAAAGAAAGACACAUCCGUGACAUUUUGGGCCGAACGAAAUUUUUUUCUGUCAUACAUAUGACACUUCUAUGACGAUAAUUGUGACAAAACCUGGUAUCAUCAUAGAUGUGGUGGGUUCCUACUUCUAUGACAAAAAAUCAUGACAAAAAAUGGGCUUUUCGUCCUGCGCGGGCCGGAGACGCAGCUGCAUGACAUUCUUUGGGCCAUCCAUGACGAAAAAAACCGUGGUAGAAGCGAGGGGGAGGAAGAUUUCGGGGAGUUCCCGGUUACGGUGGGAGGUCGGGGGCUGAGCGAUGCGCAUUUCUCUCGUACACGUACGCGCGUGUGUGCGAGGCGUUGGCUCUAACUGAACCCAAGCGAGGCGUUGGGCUCUAACUGAACCCGAGCGAUUGCACUGCAGGCUACGCGUUACUGAACCCGAGCGAUCGAUCGAUGGCUGUUAACUAAACCCGAUCGAGUGAUUCCUUCGCUACUGCUGCUAACUGAAGCCGAUCGAUUGGAUGAACAGUGAGCGUUGCGGGGGAGGGGGGGUUGGAUGAACAGUGAGCGGUGGCGUUGCCUCUGGAUGAACAGGACCCCGUGGUGUGGAGGGCUAGAUGAACAGUAGACGGUGGAGGGGUGCCCGUGGAGGGGUGGUUGAACAGGACCCCGUGGUGUGGAGGGCUGGAUGAACAGUAGACGGUGGAGGGGUGCCCGUGGAGGGGUGGUUGAACAGUAGCCGGUGGAGUAGCGCGCGGUGGAGGCUGGAUGAACAGGAGCCCGUGGAGGCUGGAGGAGGUCGACGGUAGCCCGUGGAGGCUGGAGGAGGUCGACGGUGGAGAUGAACAGUAUCCCGUGGAGUCCCGUUUUGCGGUACGCCACACCCCUCCCGAUGAACAGGACCCCCGUUUCGACCGUAGGAGGUCCGUUUCGUCCGUUUUGCGGUACGCCACACCCCUCCCGAUCAACAGGACCCCCGUUUCGACCGUAGGAGGUCCGUUUCCUCCGUUUUGCGGUACACCACACCCCUCCUGAACAACAGGACCCCGUUCCGAACGUAGGAGGUCCGUUUCCUCCGUUUUGCGGUACGCCAUGCCUCGUUUCCAUUGCCUGUUUCGCCCAAGCGCUCCCGAUGAACACGACCACGCAUUCCGUUCCGACCCAACCGGUUGGCUCCCACGCGUUUCGUUGCCUCCCGAUGAACACGACGCAUUCCGUUGCCUCCCCAUGAACACGACGCAUUCCGUUGCCUCCCCAUGAACACGACGCAUUUCGUUGCCUCCCCAUGAACACGACGACGACGCUGUUUCUCCGUUCCGACCCAGCCAUGUACACGAGCCCUGGCCGUACGUAUGCGCGAGUAGGCGUACGAGACCCCGCCGGUAUGUACACAUACGUGGCCGUAUUUUCUUUCUUGCACCCUGGCCACUAUACGUACAUGUACAUGCUACGUGCACGCCUCUACUACGACACGUGCGCGUCUCUACUACGACACGUGCGCGCCUCUACAUCGACCAAUAUGUACGUACACGUUCGUGACCAGAAUGACAACGCUACGUACGCUUCGACCAGGUGGGUCCUGACUGUCAGGCACUUCCUUGCCUGCGAAGAUGUAGCUGGUGGGUCCCAGCAGUCAGGGGGGCAAAUCAUUUUUUUUGCCGGACGCACUUCCUUGCGUGCGAAGAUGUAGCCGGUGGGUCCCAGCAGUCAGGGGGCGAAUCGUUUUUUUUCGGGCGCACUUCCUUGCGUGCGAAGGUGUAGCUGGUGGGUCCCAGCAGUCAGGGGGCGAAUCUUUUUUUUUGCCCGGACGCACUUCCUUGCGUGCGAAGAUGAAGCUGGUGGGUCCCAGCUGUUAGGGGGAACGUUUUUUCGCGAAAUACAGUGGCCCGUCCGGUGGGUCCCAGCUGUCAGGUGGAGGAAUCAUUAUUUUCCGUGUAAUAAGGAGGCACUUCCUUGCUGCGGCCGUGGACCCAGCUGUCAGCCUCUCCACGUACAGUCCACGUCCGAUGGAAGUCGUUCCUUGACCAUGUUCACCAGGCCGCGCCGAGAGCACCACGGUGGUGGACGACGGCGAGGCCUAGGAAGGGGAUGACGCGGAGCCGGGGAAGACGCGGCAGUGGAAGCCCGCGCGGAGAGGAGUACGAUGGUUCACUGGUUCGGCUGCGGUGUGAGGCUGCCGUCGCCGCAGGGCCUGGCCAGCGGUGGGAAUAGUAGGGGGCAGUGAGGCCUCCGCGGCAGCACAGCUGGCCACGGGAGGCAGGAGCAUGCGGCAUGACCGGCGCUGCUUUGGGCGGCUGGAGCAAGAAGACCAGAGGUUGAAGAAGCACUACGGCCGUUGGUUGGACAUCGUACGGUCACUGGAGCUAGAAUCGUUCAUAUUGACUAAGUUGACAAAGCCCUCCGUCCCCGUCAACUUAGUUGGCCCACAAGUCAUCCUCCCACUAUGGUGGGUCCCAGCUAGCAGGGGGUAUUCAUUUUUUUGUGCGUAAUAAGGAGGCACUUCCUUGCGUGCGAAGAUAUAGCUGGUGGGUCCGACAUGUCAGCGGGGGGAACGUUUUUUCGCGAAAUACAGAGGCCCUUCCGGUGGGUCCCAGCUGUUAGGUGGAGGAAUCAUUAUUUUGCGUGUACAGUCCACGGCCGAUGGAUGUCGUUCGUUGACCAUGUUGACCAGGCCGCGCCAAGAGCACCAUGGCGGUGGACGACGGCGAGGCCUAGGAAGGGAACGACACGGAGCCGGGGAAGACUCGGCAAUGGUUGCCCACGCGGUGGGGAGUACGAGGGUUUACUGGUCCGGCUGCCGUCGCCGGAAAAUAACAGGAGGUGUGGGUGAGUAGAGGAAUGGCCUGGCCAGCAAUGAAGUAGGGUGGGGCGGUGCGGCCUGUGCGGCAGCACAGCCGGCCAUGGGAGGCGGGAGCAGGCAGUCCCACCGGAGCUGGUUUGGGCGGCUGGAGCAAGAAGAUCAUAUAUUGAAGAAGCAGCACGGCCGUUCGAUUAACAUCCAACGGUCACUGCUGCUAGAAUCGUUUGUGGACUAAGUUGACAAAGCCAAAGUACACGUCAACCUAGUAGACCCACAAGUCAACCUCCAAAUCUGUCCCAAACAGCAUACAGCCCAAAAUUUCUAGCCAGAUUCAAAUUAAUUUUAAAUCUAAAUAUACCUUAAUUUAAAUGCAAUGAAAUUUUACCCGCACAAAAACAAUGAAAUUUAAAAUAUCAAAAUCCGAAAGAAAAUAGUAUUUUGGAACUAAUUGCCUGUUUGCUGUAUUUUUUCAUUUUACAGCCCAUUUAUUAUUACUUAUAGCCCAUUUCUUAUUACUUAUAGCCCAUUUUCUGGGCAAAAUGCAUCCCUCCUCGUCUUGAAAGAUUUCCGGCCCAGCAGGGCGUAGAAAAGCAAGUAGGCCUACGUUGGUUAUUCUGCAAAAAAACAAAAUAGCUGGCUAGCCAUUUUCAGAAAGGAAAAAAACAAACUGGGCUGGUCAUGUGCUAAACAUAUGAAAUAAAAGCCUGGGCUAGACGGUCCACGGGUCUCGCACAACCCAGUUUAUACCCUUCUCCGUCGCGAAAAAACAAAAUUACUGCGCGCGCUGCUGGGUCCCUACUGUCAUCCUCACAAUGUCCAGUCAUCUCCUUAUUCCUCUCGGUUGUUGACCAUGUUGACAACACCGGAGGGUGGCGCCGCGGCGAGCGAACCAAGGCGGAGGACGAUGGUGAGGCCUCGGACGGGAAUGAACAGGAGCCGGGGAAGAUCACAGCCAGCCGUGGGAGGCGGGAGCAGGCGGUCCCGCCGGCGCUGGUUUGGCUUUGGCGGCUCGAGGAAGAAGAGACUGAAGAAAUGCGACAUACGUUGAAUGUCAAUCCAACGGUCAAGGUUGGCACAAUCGUUUGUUGACUAAGCGGACACCAAGUAGCAUACUUUUUUAUAUAUAGGAAGAAAACUGCGAGGAAAAUGCGUUCGUCUGCCGUCCUCCUCACAGGGAACAUUCGCCACAUAAGUGACUAGCACCCUUGGUUUUCAACCGAGAGGUCUUGGGUUCGAGUCCCAGGAACUCUCAAUUUUGUCCUCCUUCCUUCCUCACAAAAAAAAGGGAAAGAAAAUCAAAGACUUGGGAAGGCGUACAGAACAAGCUAGUGUACCAGUAAAGAGACGUUACCGAGUUUUAGAAAAAAGAAAGACGUGCUCCUGUAGCUGGUUCGAAUCCAAACCUAGACUAUGACUAUAUAUGGUGCUAUGCUACUCUGCAAGUAAUGAAACUGACAUAUCCAACGUUCGCUUCUCCUCUUCUCUACUUACUCUGCCUGGCAUCAGAAGCUCUGGCCGCAGCAACCAUGUCCGCUAGCUGCUCGUCCACCUGCUCUUCAGCAGGCAACAACCAGAUAUGCGCCAAGUCGCCACCCGUACCAUCGCGUGUGGGUCUCAUCACACCCCCACCGGCACGCGCACCGCAGCCGAUUGCUCAUCGCAACCCGCUGCCGUUGGUGUGGUGCCACUGUUGCAAAUCACGCAGAGUCAUCCGUCGCGUCUCAACCACAAUCCGCAACCCUGGCCGAGUCUUCUACAAAUGCCCGAAUCAUGGGGUAAUAAUAUGGUUAAGUGUUGUUCUGCUGCUUUCAGUUGCUGAUUUUUUAAUAGUUUGGUUGAUGAUCUUCCAAUUUGAUUAGUGCAGAAAAGGGAAGAUUCAUGUGAUUUGUAUUUCUGGGAAGUUGCUGAUGUGGGGGAAUGCAACUACGCUGAUUAUUUGGUUAGCCGAGGAAUCCCAAUACCAGAAGGUUGGGGUGUUGGACAAGUAACUGAAGGAACGGCAGAAGAGGAAGAUGUAGAGCAGAAGGUUAAAGAUGCAGUUCCUCUGAUCAUGGCCAAGCAACAGCUGCUGAACGGCCUUGACAGCAAUGAGGCGAUGAAAGAGCUUGUGAAGAUAAUGGGCAAAAUCGAUGUGCUAUGUAGGAUGAUUGUCUCUUUAUUUGCAGUGUAUGUAGCACUCGUGAUGUAUUCAGUGGCUAUGACAUGAGCACUUUGCUGAAACUAGUAACGAAUGAAACCUAUGUAGCAGACUGGGCGUAGUGUUGUGAACAUCUAAUGAUUUCUAUUAACGGAAAUCAGGGGGUAUCCCCUUUUGCUCAUAUAAAUAAAUAAAUAGCAGAGGUCCUAUCAGGUCAGCUUUGUUCUCAUUCGAAGACGUCGAGCAAAUUGCAGUCCAACAGCAAACUAUGUCAUCAAAUACAAGUUUCACAGCCAAAUAUGAGUACAACUAAACAACAAUGUCAUCAUGUUUUAGUUGUCAUACAAUCACCAAACACAAAUCAGCAUACAUAACAAGUGAUGUUCUCACAGCAAAAUACUAAACAACAUGUUCAUCAGGUUUCAGUUGUCAUAGCAAACACAAUUUCACAUAGUAGAUAAAAAACGUCUUCUGACAGGCAAAUACGACAAAAGCAAUGUAAUCAUCAUCCGCAGCAGCAGCGUCAACAUCUUCGCCAUGUGUAUCAGUCUGAAUUGUAAUUACCCAUGGUGUCAUCUUCUUCUUCGUCCUCAACGUCCUCGAACGUUGGCUUCUUCUUGAUCAACUCUUGUAUGUCCACAGCACGACAGGCAAUCUUUUCGCCGGCAUCAUUGACGUGAUAUGUUCUCAAAGAUAUUAGGAUCAUCUGUGUUAUCUUGUACAUCAGGAGCAGUGUAAGCAUCAUCUUAUUGUGCAACUUCAUUAAACGAAUUCCUCUGCUCAAACCUUUGCAAUACUCUCCAGUCAUCGCUACGUGCAAAUGUGUCUUCCAAGAAAAAUAUCUGUGUUGCUUGAUUUGCCAAAAUAAAAGGCUCGUUGGUCUGGUACGCCGCCUUGACAUUGAUGGAUUUGAAAUAAUCAUCAGCUCUGGGUUUUGCGAUCCUGGAAAACAGGUUAUACCAACGACAGCACAACAGAACCACACACCUAUGAUCCUCGAAACUGGAGAUAUACUGCAACUGAACAAUGUCUGUUAUGUUAGCAUACAUUUUAGUUGUCUCUUUGUCAUACGUAUCCGUGCUCAUGAUGGCACUGUUUUGUGUCUUCCUGCCUUCGUCUCGUGCAAGGGUGUUGUAGCGCACAUCUCCAACAACGCAAGAUUCAUAAUGUCUUACUCGAGUAUCAGGACCCAUUGCUAGUGAGUAAAGGGCAUCAUCAACUGCCUGCCCAUCCUCCCGCAUCUUCUUAACCUAUGGUUAGAAAAUAGACAAGUUGAUCAUCUUAUGUACUCAAUAUAUUAAAAAAACUGACAGUGCACUUCAAAAGCUUACAUGGUUCUUGAACCAUUUCGCAAAUCCUGCCAUAACCAGUUUGUCAAUGUUUCUUGGAUUUUGCGGCAGUAACUCCUCUUUGUAGAUGCUGCACAACAUAGUGAUCGCGUCAAACAUCUAAAUAUAUAAGAAUGUGCUGCAAGUUUAGUAGAUUACGAUGUAUAAGCUGCGGUAUUGCACUUACUUGAUAUAAGGUAGUAUCUCAGGACAGUUAUUCAACACAUACCAAACCAUUUUGUCCAAAUCUUUAGGUUUGUCCUCUUGUCGACUCUUCCCUGUAACUCGAACAGAAUAAUCGAAAACAUUGAGCCCGGGAUUGUCUUCACCCACCUCUUUGCUAAGCUGAUCAGCUGUUUCAAUGUAUUUUGAGCAGGAUGUCAAUGCUUCUGUAGCAAUGUAGGCCUCUGCAAUGGAACCCUCGGGUCUAGCUCUGUUCCUAACAUAGCCCUUGAAAGUGCCUAGCCGCCUUUCAGUAGGGUACAUCCAGCCAUACUGUACUGGACCUCUAAGUAGUGCCUCAUCAGGUAGAUGAAUAGCCAAAUGCACCAUCACAUCAAAGAAGGCUAGAGGAUAUAUCUUCUCAAGGUCGCAUAGGAUAGUUGGUAUCUUGUCUCUAAGACGCUCCAAAGUAUCUAUCCUGAUAUUCCUACUGCAGAGUUCCCUGAAGAAUUGUCCCAACUAUGCAACUGCUCUGUAUAAGUCAGGGCGGCCCAAUCCUCUAAGGAUAACAGGUAAAACCCUUUGAAGUAGGACGUGGCAGUCAUGAGUUUUCAACCCUUGUACCUUGUUUCCAUCCGCACUGACUCUCCUUUCAGGGUUGGAAGCAAAUCCAUGUGGGAAUCUCAUACGUGACAGGACCUCACGUAAUUCUUUUCUUUUUACCUUGUCCAAGACGUACACAGCUGGUGCCAUAUCCCGUGGUUUACCUUCAUCUUGCACCUGCAAAUCCUUUCUGACACCCAGGUGUGUCAAAUCAAUCCUAGAUUUUAAGGUAUCUUUCGUCUUGCCUUCAAUAUUAAGAAGUGUGCCGAUAAUGCUGUCACAUAUAUUUUUCUCGAUGUGCAUCACAUCAAGAUUAUGCCGCAGAUCCAAAUCUUUCCAAUACUCCAAGUCCCACAAAGUGGACCUGCGGGUAAACAAUAAUCUCUCUUCUGCCCUGCCACGCUUCCUUUUCCCGCUACCAUUACCAGGAUGGUUUCCUGGUGUAAUAUGCCUGACCUUCUCUAAUUCCACUUGCAACUCAUCGGCGGUGAGCCUCUUUGGCGCAUCACGGUUUUCAUGCUUUGCAUUGAACACAUGUCUUCGGUAUUUUCUAGGAUGCGGCUUGUCCUUGGCAAGGAAACGGCGGUGUCCAAUGUAACAGAUCUUGCUAAGUAUUGCGUAUGACAGCGGAUUCCUGUCACAGCGAACACAUGCAUUGUAACCAUGUGUCGUUCGCCCUGACAUAGUGCCCAAAGCCGGAUAAUCAUGGAUGCACCAAAUUAUAACAGCACGCAGAAAGAAAUCAGCUAGUGGGCUGCUAUAUAGGUCUCGAGUGAGAACACCCUUCCAUAGUUGUUGAAGUUCCUCCACAAGAGGCUCCAUGAACAAAUCAAAAUCCUUUCCAGGACUUUUUGGACCUGGGAUGAGCAAGGCCAUCAUGUAGUUUGAUUCUUUGGUGCAGACAUUUGGAGGCAUGUUGUAAGGGAUAACAAGCACUGGCCACAUGCUAUAUGUGGCGCUCUGGUGGCCAAAUGGGUUAAAUCCAUCUGAAGCUAAGCCAAGUCUAAUGUUUCUCGGGUCAGCAGCAAACUCUUUGUGUUUAUCAUUGAAGCUUUUCCACUCACUACCAUGAGAUGGAUGGCUCAUUACAUUCUGAUCUCUGUACUCCUGGUUCCUAGAAUGCCACAAUACAUCCUCUCUUGUUUCAGCAUCAUGAAACAACCUCUGCAAUUUGGGUGUAAUUGGAAAAUGUCUCGGAACAAAAAAUACCUAGGUCGAUGUCUAGAGCUAUGGCAAGAUAUUUGGACGAGCAGAUCUAAGUAACGGAAUAUAUGUAAAGCUAAUUCAGCAAACAUAUUUGAGUGCCAAAUUAUGGCAGGCUGUUUCAGCAGUCAAUGAGGCCGAGCACAUAGCCAUCAAACUAUCGAAGGCCAUCGCAGCAACAAAGAUCGAGUAUAAAAUGGUGUAGAGCUAUUUCACCUAACAGAUGGGCUACUAGACCAUGGCAAUCUACGUCACAAUAAAUAUAUGGUAGGCUAUUUUAGCAACUAAUCGGCCUUGGCAUGCCAUCUCAGCUAAGCAGAUUGAGUGCAGAACAGGGCAAGGAAGCUUCUUAAGAAGAGCAUAUUGACAGUAAACUACUUCGGCAAACAGUGAGAUUAACAGCGUCUAUCAGCUAACAUUCAGCGCUACACCGACAUGAACGGGGCCCCAGUCUAGAAUGCGCGUACCGUGGGAGAAGCUGACCGCCGUGCGUCUCCACACGAACGUCGCCAGCGGUGGCGGAGCUGACCGCCGUGCGCCUCCACAAGAACGUAGCCAGAGGUGGCGGCGCGGCUAGAGGACGGCAGUCUACGAGAGCGUACUGUGGGAGCGAGAGGAUUGCCGAACCACGGCGCCAACGUAUCGGCGCGGCGGGGAGGGCGGCUUUGGUGGAGCGAAUGGAGUGGAGGGGGACAUGGGGGAGGGGGGUUUGGGGAAUAUUAUUGGCUAGUUGGCCGAAGGGCGGUUGAAUCGGAUUUGGGGGGAACUUUUGGAUGUGGGGGUGGGAGGAGGAUUUUCGCGCGGUGGGCGGGGGGAGUUUGGCGCAUGGUCGGUUUCUCCAAGUGCAGUCCCACAUGUCAGUGAAGAGGCAAGCCGAAGCGCGUUCCGUUUGCGUGAGCCGUGUGCAGGACCGAACGUGUGUGGGGUGCAAUGCGACCGCGACAGGAGUGUUGUGAGUGUACCGCCUUUUUUCCUUUUAAACUAGGUGCUUCACCCCCUCAAAAAAAAUUUGUUGCUUCGCGCGAUCCAUCGAUACUACUACUAGUAAUCCAGUAAUCCCGACUAAAACGGCGCGGCCGGGUCUUUUCCCGCGCGAUAUGCUGGGAGGUUGGCUUAGUUGGGUUUUUUUAGGACGAGUAAUGCUACACCUACGUAAUCCCAGUUAUGUAAUUAACGUAAUGUGAAACAUGUGAGCUGUUGAUUGUAGAUUGGGGGGAGGGAGGGGCCCACCACCAUGAAAAUCACGGGAGGAGAGAGAGAGGCAAUUUACGUUAACCCUUUCGUAGGUUCCCGUAGAUGUAGAAAGAUGUGAAAUGCGUGAAUGUGUAGUGGACGUACUAUUGGAGUGCCUAAGAUAAUUUGUGUAUGUAUAGACCCUAUGUGUUUAUUUUACUUCGCAUGUUAGAUUUGUCUCGGUUCAAUAAAAAUCAGAGUUGGUGAUGAUGGUGUGCCUGUCAUCCUGCAAUAUAGGUCGUCCGAUCUAUAUCUAACGGAUAGGAAGGAAACUAUGACAAUUUACCCGCACUCCUCUCCACAUUUGCAGAUAAGGCUUUCCCUCGUUCAUCCUUUUCUCCCACAAGAUCUUGAUCUUCCGUGCAACGCACGGGAAUGUUGCUAGUACUCCUACAAUAUGUAUAUUAUUGUGAAAGUUCAUAUACACCGGCCGAGAUUAAUGCAAACACGGCAGAUUUUCAUUACAUUUCGAACUUUUAUAGGACAGAAAAAUAAAAGAAACCCGACCCUAAACCUAUUCUACAGCGGCGACCGACGUCCUCCAUCUGCGAUCUCUAUGUACGGGGGCGGGGUUCAAGACCCGUGAAGUGAAGGUGCGGUCUCCGGCGAGGAAGAGUAGAACACAGGAUACAGACCGGCCAGUUGGCACACCAUGCCCUGCCGCCUCCCAUGCCCUACUCAUCCUCGGAGGAGUCCCCGACAUCGGCGGUGCCGGACGUUGGAAGGCGGCAAGUAGGACGCGUGGCUGACGGUGCUCCCGUCGUCGGCCGCCAGCGUGGCCACCGCUUGUGCGGUCGCGUCCGCGUCCGGCUACGCCGCUAUUACGUCGCGAGAGGCGACUUGAGCGAGGGCGGCGACCUCGAGCUUCAUCCCCGAAGACAAGCUAUCCCGCAGAGCGUUCGCACUUGCGGUCAUGGCGGAUGUGGUGCCAGGUAGGAGGACGAUGCGCUAUGGUGUGGAGGUUAGCUGGGCGUUGCCGCUUUAAGUAGCGCAUUCCGGUGAGGCCAAGCGUCCGGGUGCGUCAUUAAGUCACCGGAGUUGGUUCCUCGGGCACCGAGCCUCUUAACGACGACAUACGAACGGGCGGCAUGAAUGCGGGCAGCUGGCGCCGGCUGGGAACGCACCGCGCGACGGUGCGAGGGACGAGGGUUUUGGUGUGCCAGGGUAGUCAGCUGCGGUCGUGGCAACGUUGGAGAUGCCCUUUGCUCACAUGUCAUUGAAAAAGCAAGACGACCCGGCAUGGUCUCAGGUCCAGAGGAUGCAGUUGGCCGCGCUACACCACUCUGCAGACGCGUCGCGGUGCCCCGUGCAUCCUCGACGAGCCGGGUGUUGGGGUGUGUUUGGAUUGUGGCCAAAGUGCACCUUACCAAAAUUUUGGUCAUGACCCAAAGAUUGGUCUUUGUUUGGAUGGUUGCCAUUUUUUGGCAUGCCAAUGAACUCUAGCCAACUCUAGUUCAUUUUUCUUGCCAAUGUCGGCCAAAUCAUGGGCAACCAAUACCUCAACCAAAAUUUUGGUCAUGACCCAAAGAUUGGUCUUUGUUUGGAUGGUUGCCAUUUCUUUGGCAUGCCAAUGAACUCUAGCCAACUCUAGUUCAUUUUUCUUGCCAAUGUCGGCCAAAUCAUGGGCAACCAAUACCUCAACCAAAAUUUUGGCUACCCAAUGCUUUGAUGGGGCAACCUUGGGCACAAACCAAACAUACCGUUGGUCGUGCCACAGCACAAACGCCACCCUCGGCACACUGAAACCGACCGUCUCUAGCGACGAUAUGAGUGUGUCGCUCACCGCCCCGUUGUUGGCACCAACGACCCACAUGAACGGUUGUCGGUGGCGAGGAGGUCGUGGGCCAGCUCCUCCAUUGGACUAGUCUGCGCUACGUCGUCCCAACGGGUGUGCCCUACAUGUCGGUUUCCCUGUUUUCCCGGCCAUAUUCAAGCGUCAGUGCUCCGCGUUGCGCAUUAGGCCUUUCACUAUGUAGGCCAAGCGAGAUAACUUAUUGUUUAUUUGAGCCGUUCAAGUAUAAUCAUGUGGCGUUUGCUUAUUUCUCAUUCCUCUCCAACCCUCUUCUCCAUCGAUCAUGUCGCCCUCCAAUCAAGUCCAUCCUCCCGCAUGCCUCAUUUGAACAUUCCGCCGAGUAUCAUUCGCAUGUACCCACCCUAGUCCUCUUUCAAUAGAUCUCCGGACCCCGAGAUGAAGUCAAGAGAGAAUGAGUGGGGGCACGUGAUACCUAAGGCGGAUUCAAAAUUUUGAACCGGUGAUCAUAGCAUCCGCAAAUCAUAUAUAAAGGGUAUUCAAUAUUCGUUUCGUUUUUGAAGUAUACUCCCCCUAUCCUUUCUAGUUUACAUAUAAGUUUUAUGUGUAGUCAAAGUAUCUCUACUUUGAUCAAAAAGGUAUCAACAUUCAACAACGCCCAAUCAAUAUUCUUAGAUUCGUAUGUACUCCUAGAUUUCUACUCGAGAUGGUUUCCAAUUUGACUAUUGACAAGAUUAAUAGUACAUGAGAUGUAUAAUGUGAAAAUUAUAUCAUUGGAAACUCCUUUCACAUACGAAUUUGACCGUAUGCUUUGUGUAAGUUGCAUGUCAGAUAUUAUUACUCUAACAUUUGGUCAAAGUUAGCCUCGAAAAACGCAUUAGACCCUGUAUGCUUUGUGUAAGUUGCAUGUCAUAUAUUAUUACUCUAACAUUUGUGUAAGUUGCAUGUCAUAUAUUAUUACUCUAACAUUCUGUCAACGUAGUAUAGUGGAAGUGGAUCCUCUGACGUAGGUAUACCUACCUUACCCUCCCUUUCGGUCACUUACUGGCGGACCCCAUGCUUGCUAGGCCCCGCAUGUCAGUUACUCAAUGGGUUCGGCCACGUCAGGGGAUCCUCAUCCGUAGUAUACUCCCUCUGUUUUUAUUUACUCCGCAUAAAACGGAGGGAGUGGUGGUAUAAUAAAUGACGCGGGCGGGGGAGGGGGAGGGAUGUCGGUUUGCUCUCAACUGCGGUCCCACAAGCGACCGAAAAUGCAAGACGAAGCACAUUCCAUUCGGUGAGCGAUGUGGAGGGUCCAGCGUGCCGGGCUGCAACACGAACGCGACAAGAGCGAUGUACAGUCAAAAGCGAUUGACCGGUCGUCACCGGAACCACUAUUCAGACCAGAACCUUCGUUGCUCGGCCUACGCCAGCCACUACCCUAAAACCACACCAAAUCUCCAGCCCAUUCCCCCACCUUUUGAUCCCCUAGCCCGCAUCAAGCAUCCCCUAGUUCGCCGGAAAGCCAUGGUGCGCCGCAAGAUCACUUACUACAAGAUGCUGACGCCAGAGCGCCGCGCAGAAAUCGCGGCGGCGGUCGGCGCCACAGACCUCCGUUCCCAAGCUCGCUUUGCGGCGGGCCAAUCCCCGAGUACUCUAGAGCCAAGCUAUGAGGAGGAGGAAGCCGAUCCAAUGUUCAUGGCAGAGGUCGCGGCGCAGAAGGCCCCCGAUGGGUAUGAGACGAUGGACGUCGACUUCGUGCCGGCGUCCGAGUCCCCCAUGGUGCAGGCGGACCAGCGGUUCAACAUGGCGAUACUAAAGGAGGACCGGGAGGCAGAGGCUCAACUCGACGCGGAGCGCGCGCAUGCCGCUGCCAUCGAGGCUCUCCUGCAGGCGGAACCGGAUGUCAUGGAUGUGAACCGGGCGGCGGAGGCUCAACUUGAGGCGGAGCGCGCGGAUGCCGCUGCCAUCGAGGCCCUCCUGCAGGCGGAACCGGACGUCCUGGACUUGAACCGGGCGGCAGAGGCUCGAAUGGACGCAGAGCGCGCAGAUGCCGCUCUCAUCGACGCCCUCCUGCAGGCGGAACCGGACGUCCUGGACUUGAACCGGGCGGCGGAGGCUCGACUCGACGCGGAGCGCGCGGAUGCCGUUGCCAUCGAGGCCCUCCUGCAGGCGGAACCGGACGUCCUCGACUUUAAUCGGGCUGUGCUCUCGUCCGUGCAGAGCGCCCGCACGCUCCGCUUGAACAAGUAGCUGGAGGCCGAGGACAACCACGGUGCGGAGACACAUGUCGGCAGCGAUGGCUGGUUCGCGCCGGCAGCCAAAGACGAUGAGGCCAUCUCUUUCCGCGAGCAGUGAUAGUUUUUCUUUAUGUUGUUGUUUUUAUGGAUCUUUUGCUGUGUAAAAACAUAUAUUUGUUAUGCAAGUCAUCUGACUUGGGUCAGUCUACCAUUUCAGGCGGUUGGAUGAAUAUCCUACGUCUCCUAACCCUUCUUUCCUUCUUCCUCACCUCUUCUUCUUCCCCAACAGACCACCGCACGGGUCGUACGGAUAGUCCCCAACAUGCGGUUGGAUAAACAUACUCUAUGAACGAAAAUUAUGUGUCAGCGAUAGGAUGGCUGAGUUUAGUUUGUUCACAUGCGAUAGCACGUGUCAGUGAGGGUGCGUUCCCUUGGUUGGGUUUGCGGCGUGCAGGAGCGACUGUGUGAGGGUGCGGCGCGACCGCGGCGUGCAGGAGCGACCAUGUGAGGGUGCGGUGCAACCGCGACAGCCGUGCGCAAGUGUACCUCCUUCUCAUUUUGAAAACUUUAGGCAAGCUUGGCAAAAAUGUGUGGCGAAGUUUGGCAAUGCAAGGCCUAGACCCAAACAGGAUAAGUACGUACGUACUAGGAGUACUAGUGUUAAAAAAGAAAGGCGGGGUUUUCCUUCGCGGGAUUUAAUCGAUACAAAUCCUCGUUUCACGUGUCAACUAAUGCGUAUUUUUUUUCUCCAAAGACCAAAGAGCUAACCAUCUCACUCCUCAUCGCUUGAUUAAUGCAGCGCCAUGCAAACCAACCUUCUCACUUCCGCAUGCAUGCAGGGGAUAUUAAUGUCCUUGGUUGCUAACCCCAUCAAUUUUGCCUCGAUUAGUGUUAGUGUCCCUUUGCAAAUUGUAAUUUUGAUAUACUGGCCUUGUGUACAAAAAAAUGGAGGUAGUAACUAUAUUUGACUUCCCUCCCCAUUGCGGUGACGUCGACGAUAUCUUUUUUUGGUGGUUUGGUGAAGUGCGUUCGACGGAGAACACCAUUGAGGGAGACCACGGUAAGUCAUUCGCAAGUGCCGCCUGCAAGCCAAGACAACCGCCUUAUUUGCAUCCAGGAAGUCCUUUACUAGUACUACUAGGAGUACUAGUGCGGUGAGAUGGUUUCUCGAAGAAGACGAUGGAGAAGCGGAGUCAGCGAAGAGUGAAAUGAUGGUUGCUUCGUCCGUGCUUUUGUGAUUUGACGCCUCACUGCUUUGUGAUUUGUGAUAGAAGGGACAGGGGAGUAGACUCUGUGCUCUAUACUGUACUACAUGCGUCCAAGCAUGGGAGAAAGAGGAGAGACGUUGCAUUUUUCUAUUCCUUCAAUCAAUCAAUCAGGGAGCUUCGGUUCCAUCUUUUUGGCUUUAGCAACACCGUCCACAAUGGUUCCCACAAUGCCAAAAGCUAUUUUCACAUUUGGCUACACAUUGUGGACGCCCUUAACCGUACCACUUGGUUUUGCUCCUGUGUGCUAUGUAUACAAAUCUCAAUUAUAUUGAUCUAAAAAAUUAUAGAAUCAAGAUUAGUAAAAAGGAGGUGAUUUUGCCGCGCGGAUGGCGGGGGAGGUUUCUUAUUUGAGCAAUGCUACAUCCAUGUAAUGGUUUACGUAAAGUUACGAACUGAUGUGAUGUGGGACUAUUUGAUUGGAUUAAAGGAGAGGAUUAGGCCCACCCCACCUGAAAAUCAGGGGGGGCAUAUAUAGAUUAGAUGGAAAGUAUACGUAGCAGCUACGUAGCCCUUUGUAAGUCUAGGGUUAGGCUUCUUAUUUUCGGAGGACGUUGUCCUGGCGUUUUGCUAACAUGCGGUCCCACGUGUCAGUGCUUUACCAAGCCGAUCCGCGUCCCACAUGAGGCAGAACAACGGCAGAAGCAACACGUGGUGAAGUUGAAGAAGAUGAGGGAGAAGCGGAUUCAGCAACGAGUGAAAUGAUGUGAUGGUUGCUUCGUCCUCCAACUUAACUGCGGGAAAGGUGCAACUUUGUGAUUUGACGCCUCAUUGCUCAUUACUACGUCGGCGCCAUGACUGGGGUGCUUCACCCCGGCUGCUCUGCACUGUAUUCCGGUAUGGCACGUGGACCCGGUAGCUUGAUGUCCCACAUGUCGGCGAAAGGGACUAGAAGAUUUAUGAAAGCGAGCGCUCCACUCUUACGACGGAGGAGUAGACGACACGACGGCCCAGUGAACUGUCACUUGUAGUACCGUAUAGUACUAUAGUUUUGCUGUUUCGCACGAUCCAUCGAUACAAACCCGAUUAAACAGGAAAGGGCGGGAUUUUUCCCGCGUGGUAGAUGAUACUGGCCAUACAUUUCAAAGGCAAUUUUAAUGUAUGCAAACUGAAUAAUUAUAAGUAACAAUAUGAUAUCUAGUAAAACUAAAAACACAUAUCAUUUAUUGUGUUAGAGUGUAGUAGUAGUGCUGUAUUGCAUAGUUGUUAGAUGUAACAUGCGAGGACGUGUAGAGAUGUAGUUUUGGAGGGCCUACAGAGAGAAAAGCGUAAUACGGUCACCGAACUUCAGAAUAAGCUGAUUACGGUCACUAUAUACGUUUUGCGGUGAUUAUACGGUCACUUGCUCACAGUUCAACAUCGGAUUGCACUCUGUUGACCGGCCAAAUAGUCUGCGUGGCGCCAUGUUGACUAGUUAAAUUGACCACGUUCCUUGUGGGUCCCACCUGUCAGUUCGCAUAGGCAAAAGGUCAGAUAAACACAAAUUUACGCAGGCGCGACAAGGCUCCAACCCGUGCGCGGGAAUCACCUGGUUGUGUAUGUGUCUGUCAGGGCCUGAUGUGUGCGCAUGCACGUGUAGGUUGAGCACUUGAGCGUGAGAGUGUGUGUUGGUCGUGUGGUGUACUGGUGUGUGCAUGCAUGCGUGCAUGUGUGCGUGUGAGUGUUGCGUGCGUGCGUGUGAGUGUUGCGUGCGUGCAUGGCUGCGUGUGUACGUGUGAGUGUUGCGUGCGUGUGUGGGUGCAUGUGUUUGUGUGAGUGUUGCAUGGAUGCAGUUCGUGUGCAUGCGUGCGUGUGUGUAUAAUCACCACACCAGCUCCUAUGUGUUAAAACAGACGGCUCAGCAUACCAAUACACGACCACCUUGUCCGCUGUGCCCGCGGUCAUGACUUCGAACCACCGUCCAAAUAUUUUUUUGUCGUUUGUUUUCAUUCUUACUAGCAAGAUGCCCGUGCGUUGCACGUAACAUCAAGAUGCAUUUGUAUGACUUGUUUAUCUUGUGAGAGAAAAGGAUGAACGAGGGAAGGCCUUAUUUGCAAAUGUGGAGAGGUGUGUGGGUACCUUUUUGCAAAAUUGCCAUAGUUUCUUUCCUAUCUGUGAGACAUAAAUCAGGCGGCCUAUAUUGCAGGAUGGCAGGCACACCAUCAUCACCAACUCUGUUUUUUAUAAGAGUGUAUUUUAUAAGAGUGUAGAUGUAGAGUAGAAACAAGUCGACAGGUGGGCAUGAUGGUAGUGAGAUAAUGUGAUGCAACACUAGAGGUGCCACGUGGAGUGUUUAACUGGUCAACUAGUCAUGUCAUGAGCAAAUACAGAGUUGUACGGUGAGCCCGUGACUGUAUAAUAACCACUAAACGUAAAUGGUGACCGUAAUGAGUGGAUUCUGAAUUCCAAUGUACGUAUCGUGCUUUCGCUUCAAAUACAAUGAUCGUCAUUGCAUAUAUCGCGAGAGAAAGAUGAAACAUGUGUGCAUUUUCUGGGGGCUUACUUUUAGAGGACCUGCAGAUAGUUUUGUGUGCAUACGUGAAAGGGGCGUACAGGGGGGUAUGCGAUGGAGAGAGAGAUGCUCUUCGUUUCUCUUUAUUAAGACUAACUUUGUAUAUAGUAUAAAAAUAUACAAAUUCACAGUGCGGAAUAAAUAUCAUUGUGGGCACCAUGCAAUGCAAAUUAGCGUUCGUACUCCUCCAUAUAACUUUGUAAUGUUGUAUAUAUGUAGAAACUCUAAAAUAAUUUUUUGGCACACUUUAUUCAAAAGGAAUGUUGUAUGCAAAAUAAAUGUGAAGAGAGGGCUUUUUAGAUCAAUGGGGUAUGUGAUGUAACAUGUGUGAAUGUGUAGUUGAUGCAUUUGGCGGGGCCUAGAGAGGUAUGUGUGUGUAUUACGUAUUCGAGAGAGGCAUGGAUAGAGGGGCUGACGGGGGGCGUGGGAGAGAUAGCAUGAGAAAUGAGAGUGGUCUAGAGAGAGAGAGACGAAUAUGACGUCACGACAAGAGAUUCCAUUCCCUUGAGUGUGUAUAUGCAAGGGGGGAGGGAAUAGACGCACCGGGAGAAAUUUUCUGUGUGUGUGGUGUUUGUGUUGGUAUGUGUGGGUGUGAGAAGAUAAUGAGACGUGGGGGCAGAGGGUGUGUCACCGCGUGAGGUCCGGUGGGUCGAGGUGAGGCCCUUUGUUCGGUUCCGUCCUGCGCCACAUUGGUCGACCCGUGACGCAUUUAGGAAGACCCGUGGAUGACUAGUCGUACAAGACAAAGAUAGCAGAAUUGUGAAGGACUGUGUGUCCACUGACAAAGCCGGCUAGGAUUUGUAACCCUAGGUUCUCGGACUAAGGUAACCCCUUUAUCUCUGAUAUUACUAUUCAUCCAACCUAACUUUAAGGGGCAUCCUAUAGAAUGCUCUGCUAGAAUCGUACUCAUCGAUUAGGAAGAGAGGUGUGAGACAAUGCGUGAGAGACAGGCGUAAAGAUAAUGUGCGUACAUGAGACACGUAGGCAGGUCCAUGUAUAUAGAAAGGGUCGAUGAGGAUUAUGCAUGUGUAUGUUUGCGAGAGGAAGAGUGCUUGUGAUAAAGGUUAGUGAAAACAGUUGUAAAUGGUUACGAGAUUGAGGGAGGGUUAUAUCUAGAGCAUGUGUGCGAGAAAGACACCUCGGGAGAGAGUGUGUGAGCAUGUGUGAGAGACCACCGAUGGAGAGUGAAACUACACGUAAAAGACUGCUCUACACAUUGAUUAAAGAUAUAAAUUGUAUCCAAAUAUUAGGAUGGGAUCAUGAUAUUUGCAAUUCGCGUAAGGAGCGGUCAUUGAUCCAUCAGAGAUCUAGAUUCUAUCGAAUUUGAGCAUGUCUAUGUUAUUAUUCGACACAAUUGAUCCACAUAGUUAGUAUUUUGAACUCCAGACAAUGCAUCGCUUUAGCAAUCGAAUAUAAACGUGAGUAUAGUUCAUGUUGUGUGUAAAGCACAUUAUACAUACGAAAGUUACACAAUGGACAUUAUAAAUAGCUACCUAUGAACUAGCAUACAUUUGAAUUCAACUUAAGGUGGUUUAAAAAAUCGAAUUCAACAUGAAGUCCAUUCAAUUAUUUGAAUUUGAUAUCAUGGCAUUUGUAAACCAUACCUAAAUUAUGGGGGCACCAAUCUUUGCUCUGAUUUUGUACAUAAUAGCAUAUGUAGUCGUGUACAAAAUAGAUUCAAAUUUAGCUCCUCCAUUCCAAAAUAAUCGUAGUUAUAGGAUUUUCAAGUGUCAAAAUUUCAAAAAGAAGCGGAUAAUUUAAUGAGGUUUUCAAACAUACAAGGUCAAAUAUAACAUUGUCUAUUUAGGUCAAUCCUCAUAGUUCAAGAGUACUCUAAACGUGAAUGCUUGUGUUUCAAAAUUUCGAACGAAGCGCCAAAAGAGCCUCUACUCGCCCGAAACCGCGUGAGACCAAUGUUUGGUAGUACAAGGAAAUUACUUUUCUAAUAACUCCGACCCGUGAAACCUACCGGCCCGACGUCCAAAGGUCUAAACUGGGGUAGGUUUGUAGCUUCAUCUAGACGCCACGCAACCGCAUCCGAAAAACAUUCAUACACAAUGGCCGCCUAAGCACACAUGCGCGCGGACGAAAUCGCUCCUGCCCACUAUUUGGGGCACCUGGGAUUACCAUCCUACCCCCGACCCGCAGUAGGUCCGAAAUUUAAGAGGGGGGCAAAGUUUGUACUUUCCCAAAUUUCAAACAAGCGCGUCCCAUCUUCUGUUCAAAAAAGCCAAAACAAGCGCGUCCCAGACCAAAACAUGGUCCCCCCACCCGUCUGAUUCCCCAUUCGUACUCCGUGGGCGCCAAAACUAUCUCUCCACCAGCCGCGAAACCCUGGCGUCCUCCGUCCGCCACCCCAUCCCACCCAUCAACCGCCGCCCUCCUCCAUCACGCCAGAGCCGAUACCCCGACGUCGUCGUCCACCGCAACCUCAACCGCAACGCCCUCCACAGCUAGUAGUUGAAGCCGAGGCCGAGCCGUCCGUACCCGAGCCAGUUCAACCACGCCGUCCUGCGCCUCACCGCUGCCGCUCCAACUUCGCCACCCUCCACCGCACCGGAGUUGUUCCUGCUACGCCGUCCUUCGCCGCCUCGAAUCUGCUCCCCCUCCGCCGGCAUACGGCCACGGCAACACAGUCAACAAUUUGGCCAUGGGUUCGUCCAAGCCUGCACCCUCCAGAACAUCGGUUUCCCCGGUAAAAAGAAGAAGAUCGGCGCGACAUGUGGAGGUGACCACACCAGCAACCGAAAAAUGUACUCCUCUUCCCUUAUUCGUGCAAAUCUUACGUCUCUUCUUGCACGGUAUUCAUCCCACAGAAGACACUAGUUGACCGCUUCUUCUUGAUACUAGAUGUUCCUAGUAACUCGUGAUGCACAAGGUUUCUCCUCAUAUACUAUUUCACCUUAGCUGGAGGUCCGUCGCCCCCCUGAAUUUCAAUUUCUGGCCAGUUGAUUCCCAAUUAACGGAAGCAUUCCCCGGCAUAACAGGUGCUAGUACGCCUAUUAUGUCGGGGAAGCAGUGCCUUGGUGUUUAUCUUAGGGGCGUGUCCAGCCUAGAGCUACUGGCGCCCGAUCUGGAGGUCGGCCGGGAUUAAAGGGAUGGCCUGGGGGCGCUGCCAAGCACGGCGGUGGUGUGAGGUCGACGGGAGGGCGGGGCAGCGGAGGCAGGGGUCUGGGCCGGUGGUCGCUGGCGGUUCGAGAAAGAUCGUCAACAGUGACUGGCGGGAGGUAGACGAAGGCCAUCUGCCCGUUCCUUAUAGAUCGGACGGUUCAUUAAAAAAAUUGACUGACCUAUUUAUUUUCAGUUGAUUGUUAUCUUAGAUAUGACCACAUGUGGUCAUGUGCUGGAGGAGUACCUGCAUUUCCUGUGCUCAUAUAUUACAAAAUCAUACGGAGUAGAAUCUAAUUUUGUUUGCCAUGCAAUGUUGUAGAGCUAUCAUAUGUCUCCUCUCAUUUAUUUUUCAGCCACCUGCUAUCUGCUACUUUUACAGUGCACUAGUUCUGCACACACUUCACCCUUACUCUCACUAUUGUGUUUUUAUGCAAGGGUAUUUCAGACUCUGCUGCCAUGAGAGAAGCCAAAAAGAAAAGAGAGAAGUCGCUCCAGCUUCGUAUGCGGGUAGGCAAGACACGUUACAACGCUAUAAAGGGUGCAGUGUCAGCAGAUGGAGACGGUAAACGUAGCUCUGGAGUUGAUGACCUCGCUCGCAAUGAACCACCAUCCCAGGUGCUUGCUUUAACUUCGCGGUGUCAUAUGUGGUUGCAUGUUCCAUAUGGUGUCUAGCUUGUAUUCGAAAGGCCGAAGUCGGUAAGAUAAGGAAAGAUAUUUUUUUUACAUGAACCACCAUCCCGUGAGCACCAGAAGACAAAUAGCUAGUCAGGGCACUGGCCGAGCCAGUGACAAGCCCAGCAAAGAUAGGCAUCACCUGGAAGCCAACUAAAAAGCUGCGAUGGUGGCGAAGCAGCCCGCCUCCCACCAGGCUCUCAGGUCCUAGAUGAUCAUGCUCACCACUCCAGCCGGAUGUCUAGCUUGUAUUGCUUCCAAUUUGGUUAAAUUGCAUCUGCUUAGCUUACACAUUAUACCUUUGAAUAUGACAUACCUUUCUGUUUUUGGUACAUACUAGUACAUCUGUGUAUUAACCAUGUUCUUACAUCAAACUAAUGUUCUUGUGUAUCCCUCACCAAUCACUUAUGACGAGGCAGGCAGGCAAGGGGACUACUCCUCAUUUAAAGAAUGCAGCGUCAGCCUCCCGACAUGAUUCUCAAGAAACAGAAAUGCUAGAUGAAGAUAGUGAACGUAGCUCUGUAGUUGAUUACAGCAUUUCCCCUACACUUGCAUCGCAGGUGCUUGCUCUAACUUGGCAGCGUGAUAUGUGGUUGCAUGUUGCAUAUGGUGUCUAGAUUGUAAUUCUUCCAAUCUGGUUAAACUGCAUGUGCUAGUCUGCUUAGCUUAUACAUUAUACCUGUUAAUGUGACAUGCCUUCCUGUAUUUAGUACAUAGUACAUCUGUCUAUUAAGCAUGUCCUUACAUAAAACUAUUGUUUUUUUUGGUAUCCCGCAUCAAUCAACAUGACGAGACACCUUUAGUAUAUGCAGUGCGAUAUUAGUUGCAUCUUUCAUAUGAUUUAUAGCAUGCGCUACUUCUAAUUUGUUGAAAUUCCAUUUAUGAUGGGACGCUUUUAACUUGGCAGAGUCAUAUUGGUUGCAUCUUUCAUGUGGUGUCUAGCUUGCAUUGCUUCUUAUUUGCUAGAAUGGUUUCUGCUUAGUUUACACAAACAGUUGUGAACAUGCCAUGCCAUCCUGUUUUUCAUACAUAUUCCAUCCUGGUAUCAUGUGUUUGCCUUACAUCAAAGUAGUGAUUGUCAGUAUCAUGCAUGAAUGAGUUCUGAAGAGAGAAUUUUAUUGCUUUUUCUUGUCGGUUUUACUUGACAAUUCAAAAUCAAUAAAGCGGAAGGAAGUUAGCAAGGCGGCGGAUAAAGGUGCUCCUUCCGAACGGAGGUCCUCUACAGUUUCUACUCCUCCACACCCCCAAGAUGAUUUCCAAGACAACACAUGCAUAGACACUCAACAAAGCUGUGUUUAUGAUGAGCAUGUCUCCCCUAGUGCAGCAUCACCGGUGCUCCCUCUAACUUGGCACUGUUAUAUGUGGUUGCAUGUUAUGUGUGAUGUCUAGCUUGUAUUGCUUCUAAUUUUGUUGAAUUCCAUCUGCUUACUUUACAUAUUAUACUUGAAUAAGACACGUGUUCCUGUUUCUAGAACAUACAAUAUCUGUCUAUCACACCAUGUUCUUACAUCAAAUUACUACUGUUGUGUAACCUGCAACAAUCACUUAUCAUAAGACACGUUUGACUUCGGAGUGUGAUAUAGGUUACAUCUCACAUUCUUUUCUAGCUUGUACUACUAAUUUGUUGAAAUGGCACUUAUGACGAGACAGUUUUAACUUGGUAGAGUGAUAUUCGUUGCAUCUUUCAUAUGGUGUCUAGCUUUCAUUGCUUCUAAUUUGUUGAAAUGCCUUCUCCUUAGUUUACACAUCAUAAGCUGUGAAUAUGCAAUGCUGUGAAUAUGCAAUGGCACUAAUGACGAGAGACCUCUAACAUGGUAGUGUGAUGUUGUUUGCAUCUUGCAUAUGAUUUAUUUCUUAUACUGCUUCACAUUUGUUUAAACGCCAUUUAUGAUGAGACACUGUUAACUUGGCAGAGCGAUAUUUGUAGCAUCUUUCAUAUGGUGUCUACCUUCCAUUGCAUUGCUUCUAAUUUGGUGAAAUGUCUUCUUCUUAGUUUACACAUCAUAGUUCUGGUUAUCUCUUCCGUCCUGUUUUUCAUACAUAUUACAUCCUCCUAUCAUGUGGUUGUCUAACAUCAAAGUUCAGUUCGUCUGCGUCACGCAUCAAUUUGUUCUGAAGAACUAAAUUGUUAUUCGUUUUUCUUGUCGGCUUGACUUAACAUGGCACAGAGAAAGAGGAAGAAACACAAAAUGGCAGGGAAUGAGAAGUGGAUGAAUCCUGCAGAUUCUGCUGGUACUGAUGGUGCAAUAGAAGGUCAAAGUCCAGCGAAAAAUUCUACAAACACGGCAUCCCAUGCUACACGAGUUGCAAAAAAGCCAAACAGAAACAAAUAGCUGCCACCAAACAAGCAGAGACAGCCCUAGUUCUUGCAGCACCUACCACAGUACUACCAGCUGCAUGACUUACUCGUGCGUCAACUGAGCUAGCAGCACAUUCCCAAGCUCCCUUGCCACCUGACACUACUUCCCAAGCACUCUUGACACAAGACGAGUUGGCAAUAUCAGAUGAACCUUGUGAGCUUCAACAGCAAGAAGGUAGUUGCUGGAGUCAAGUUAUAGUUGCAUGCUUCUUUAUAUGUAGUCUCACAAUUUGAUGUACACUAACACUUCCUAUGUUCGUUGUUGGACUAGCACCUAGGCGCAAGAGGAAACAAACAUCAGGGAUAAUGCUCGAUAGGUUAACUAAAUCUAGAGGAGGAAGAAUGGAGAUCCGUUUUGAGGCAGGUUUAAAAAGGCCACGUGAUGCUACAGAGUCAGCCAAGUUAGUAUCAGAGGCAGCGGUUGCCGUUAGGUGUCAUGUACGUAUCCUCCCAACAUGGAUUCAGUACAGAAAUGACAAAGACGGAACCCAGUUCAACACCUUCCUCGACCAUUUAUCUGUAAGUAUGGUUAUGUAUGGAAACUAGUAAUAUCGUCUUGCUCUGUCCCAUACUUUCUAGGUUGCUGAUAAUGAGACUCCCAUAAUUUUCAACAGAUGAGGUUCAAGUUGGAUAGCCAAGAUGAUGCAACCAGACAAGCUUGCACCCAUGUUUUCAAGUCUGCUCUGCGACAGUAUCGGUAUAACUUGAGGAAAACUCACUUUGAAGGCAAGGCUAACAGUGAACUUUCCCAAACAUCUCCAGUGGAAAAUAUAUCGGAUGAAGACUGGAGGGGCCUUGUUAAACACUGGUCUGAUCCGAAGUAUCAGGUACAUUAUAUAUAUGUGAUCAGAUCACAUGUUGAAGUCCUAUUUACGCAUGUGCCACACAAAUCUAUCUUCUUGUAGGUGAACUGUUCAAAGAACAAGGCUAACCGUAUGAAAGUGAAAUUCCAACAGACGACAGGAUCUCGUAGCUAUAUUGCACACUGCGAGGCUCUUGUAAUUAGCUGUUGUUUCACUCUUUUCGCUGUACCAUAUUAUCAGAUCUAUAUUGACUUGUUCGAAAUGCAGAGGAAAGCCCGCAAGGACCAAAAAGUACCUGAACCAAAUGCUGUGGAAAUCUUCAAGGACUGUCACACCAGCAAGAAGAAGGGCAUGACUACACCAGUCAAAGCCGCUGUUGUAAAUCCUUAAUCCUCAUGCCUUUUAACUACUACUUACUCUGACUUGUGCCUUGAACUGCAUGGUUUGCAGCCAAUGUCUAUUACGCUUUUCAAUUUUAUACACAAUUGUCUUAGCGUAUCAUUGCACCUUACAAGGUUCAAAAGAGAGGAGUGAUGUUCCUUUGAUCUUGACCCGUAAUCUAGUUCCGUGCUGGACUUGCCCACACAACGUUACAAUUGCCUGUUUGUCUGUUCUCAGUUGUUUUGUGAUAUGAAUGAUGUCAUACUAUGAUUACCGUAUUAUAAACUUCGUCUCUUUAUCCUUAGCCCUCAAUACAAUGUGAAGAAAUAGACAAUACAUUAGCGAUGGUACAUGGUCAUAUGUUUGGAACCUGGUUUUAUUAUGUACUUUGCAAUAAAAUACAACUAAUAUUUUACAUGGGUUCACCAGAAUAAGUUAUGUAUAUAGACCAAAGCUAUUUUGUUUGGUUUUGCUGCCUCCUUAAUAUCUUCUGUUCUGGUACUACUAAUGUAAAACCUCAACUUUUCAGCGAGCUAUGGAAAAAAUGGUGGAACCGCCACCUUCUGAAUAUAGGACGGGCUGGAAACGGCGCAACGGGUUAACAGGCCAGAAACGGGCCGACUCUUGCCAUGGGCCAAAUUUGGCCCAUUAGGGUAACAGGCCAGUAACGGGCCGACUCUUGCCAUGGGCCGAAUUGGGCCCAUUAGGGGAACAGGCCAGUAACGGGCUGACUCUUGCCAUGGGCCGAAUUUGGCCCAUUAGGGGAACAUGCCAGUAACGGGCCGGAAGUAAUCGAGGGCCGAAAAGGAGCCAAGAAUGUAUGGGCCGUCAAUAGGCCGAAAGCUAACACGGGCUGGAAACGGCCCAUGUAAAUCACGGGCCGUUAACGGGUAUAAAGAAAAUUACUGUUCAUUAUGGGCUAGAGUCACCGUGGGCCUGUAAAGGGCCGAAAGAUACGAAGGCCUCAUAUGGGCCGAAAGACGUCGUGGGCCAUACAUGGGCCGAAAGUGAAAUGGGUUGGUGUUAUAUUCGACGGCCCACAUGACGUUGUUGGGCCGAUUUCCUUUAGGGCCUAACGGGUCGUGAGUUAACGGGCCGUAAAAUGGGCUAUUUGCGAAGUGACCGUUAACAGGCUUUUCAUGGGCCAGCCCGUUAACUUUUGACCAAGUCAAACGGGCCGGCUUUGUAAGCUAAAUGGGCCAGUGGUGGGCCGUGGCACGUGUCGACAUAUCAUAAGCGCCUAUCUGACCCACUGACGAGCUGACACGUGUUUCAUCCGGCCAAUAAGAAUUUUACACGUGGAAAUUUCCCAUUGGUCGGGGCUGUUAACGGGUUAUCGGAUCCAAAACCCAACCCGAUAGCUUAACAGCGUUCCAUUACGGUGGAUGCCACGUGUCGGUCACCCUUGACGAAAGCACUUCUGUGACGCGCGAUUUAUCGUCGUGGAAGUGGACACUUCCGUGAUGAUAAUUUUGGUAAUGUCAUGGAACACUUCUACGACAGCACAGGUAUGACUAUCUUGAUUCUGUCAUAAAAUCGUCAUGGAUGUACAUGCAUGACAAAAACGCGACCUACUAUGACAAACACGUAUCAUCACGGAAGUGUAUUUUUUUGUAGUGACAGGUGGCUAGUGGGUGUCUUUUUCUCCAACUUUAGUUGAAUCGAGUUUGACUACGCCCGGUCCUUGUUGAAGGUUAAAACAGCACACUUGAUGAAAAUCGUCGUGGUUUUGAUGCGUAGGUAAGAACGGUUCUUGCUAGAAGCCCGUAGCAGCCACGUAAAACUUGCAACAAUAAAGUAGAAGACGUCUAACUUGUUUUUGUAGGGCUUGCUGUGAUGUGAUAUGGUCAAGACGUGAUGAUAUAUAAAUUGUUGUAUGAGAUGAUCAUGUUUUGUAACAGUUAUCGGCAACUGGCAGGAGCCAUAUGGUUGUCGCUUUAUUGUAUGAAAUGCAAUCGCCAUGUAAUUGCUUUACUUUAUCACUAAGCGGUAGCGAUAGUCGUAGAAGCAAUAGUUGCGAGACGACAACGAUGCUUCGAUGGAGAUCAAGGUGUCAAGCCGGUAAUGAUGGUGAUCAUGACGGUGCUUUGGAGAUGGAGUCAAAGGCACAAGAUGAUGAUGGACAUAUCAUAUCACUUAUUUUGAUUGCAUGUGAUGUUUAUCCUUUAUGCAUCUUAUUUUGCUUAGUACGGCGGUAGCAUUAUAAGAUGAUCCCUCACUAAAUUUCAAGGUAUAAGUGUUCUCCCUGAGUAUGCACCGUUGCUACAGUUCUUCGUGCCGAGACACCACGUGAUGAUUGGGUGUGAUAAGCUCUACGUACACAUACAACGGGUGCAAGCCAGUUUUGCACACGCAGAAUACUCGGGUUAAACUUGACGAGCCUAGCAUAUGCAGAUAUGGCCUCGGAACACUGAGACCGAAAGGUCGAGCGUGAAUCAUAUAGUAGAUAUGAUCAACAUAGUGAUGUUCACCAUUGAAAGCUACUCCAUCUCACGUGAUGAUCGGACAUGGUUUAGUUGAUAUGGAUCACGUGAUCAUUUAGAUGACUCGAGGGAUGUCUAUCUAAGAGAGAGUUCUAAGUAAUAUGAUUAAUUGAACUUUAAUUUAUCAUGAACUUAGUCCUGAUAGUAUUUGCAUAACUAUGUUGUAGAUCAAUAGCUCGCGAUGUAGCUCCUCGUUUAUUUUUGAUAUGUUCCUAGAGAAAAACUAUGUUGAAAGAUGAUAGUAGCAAUGAUGCGGACUAGGUCCGUGAUCUGAGGAUUAUCCUCAUUGUUGCACAGAAGAAUUAUGUCCUUCAUGCACCACUAGGUGAUGGACCUAUUGCAGGAGCAGAUACAGACAUUAUGAACGUUUGGCAAAGCUCGGUAUGAUGACUACUUGAUAGUUUAGUGCACCAUGCUUUACGGCUUAGAACUGGGACUUCAAAAACAUUUUGAACGCCACAGAGCAUAUAAGAUGUUCUAAGAGUUGAAAUUGUUAUUUCAUACUCAUGCCCGUGUCGAGAGGUAUGAGACCUCUGACAGUACUUUGCCUACAAGAUGGAGGAGAAUAGCUCAACCAGUGAGCAUGUGCUCAUAUUGACUGAGUACUACAAUUGCUUGAAUCAAGUGGGAGUUAAUCUUCUAAAUAAGAUAGUAAUUGACAAAGUUCCCUAGUCACUAUCACCAAGUUACUAGAACUUAGUGAUGAACUAUAAUAUGUAAGGGAUGACGAAAGUAAUUCCCAAGCUCUUCGCGAUGCUGAAAUCGGCGAAGGUAGAAAUCAAGAAAUAACAUCAAGUGUUGAUGGUUAACAAGACCACUAGUUUCAAGAAAAGGGCAAAAGGAAAGAAAGAGGAACUUCAAAGAAGAAUAGCAAGCAAGUUGCUGCUCCCAUGAAGAAGCCCAAAGCUAGACCCAAGCCUGGAACUGAGUGCUUCUACUGCAAAGGAAAUGGUCACUGGAAGUGGAACUUCCCUAGAUACUUGGCGGAUAAGAAGGAUGGCAAAGUGAACAAAAGUAUAUUUGAUAUACAUGUUAUAUAUGUGUACUUUACUAGUGUUUAUAACAACCCCUCAGUAUUUGAUACUGGUUUAGUUGCUAAGAGCAGUAACUAAAAACAGGAGUUACAGAAUAAACACAGACUAGUUAUGGGCAAAGUGACGAUGUGUGUUUGAAAUGAUUCCAAGGUUGAUAAGAUCACCAUCGCACACUACCUAUACGUUUGAAAUUAGUGUUGGACCAAAAUAAAUGUUAUUUGGUGUUUGCGUUGAGCAUGAAUAUGAUUGGAUCAUGUUUAUUGCAAUACGGUUAUUCAUUUAAGUCAAAGAAUAAUUGUUGUUCUGUUUACAUGAAUAAAACCUUCUAUGGUCAUACACUUAAUAUAAAUGUUUUAUUGAAUCUCGAUCGUAAUGAUACACAUAUUCAUAAUAUUGAUUCCAAAAGAUGCAAAGUUGAUAAUGAUAGUGCAACAUAUUUGUGGCACUGCCGUUUAGGUCAUAUUGGUGUAAAGCGCAUGAAGAAACUCCAUGCUGAUGGGCUUUUGGAAUAACUUGAUUAUGAAUCACUUGAUGCUUGCUAACCAUGCCUCAUGGGCAAGAUGACUAAGACUCCAUUCUCCGGAACAAUGGAGCGAGCAACAGACUUGUUGGAAAUAAUAAUUCUGAAGUAUGCGGUCCGAUGAGUGUUGAGGCUCGCGGCGGGUAUCGUUAUUUUCUAACCUUCACAGAUGAUUUGAGCAGAUAUGGGUAUAUCUACUUGAUGAAACAUAAGUCUGAAACAUUUGAAAAGUUCAAAGAAUUUCAGAGUGAAGUGGAAAAUCAUCGUAACAAGAAAAUAAAGUUUCUACGAUCUGAUCGUGAAGGUGAAUAUUUGAGUUACGAGUUUGGUCUUCAUCUGAAACAAUGUGAAAUAGUUUCACAAGUCAUGCCACCUGGAACACCACGGUGUAAUGGUGUGUCAGAACGUCGUAACCGUACUUUAUUAGAUAUGGUGUGAUAUAUGAUGUCUCUUACCGAUUUACCACUAUUGUUUUGGGGUUACGUAUUAGAGACAGCUGCAUUCACAUUAAAUAGGGCACCAUCUAAAUCCGUUGAGACGACACCGUAUGAACUGUGGUUUGGCAUGAAACCUAAGUUGUCGUUUCUUAAAGUUUGGGAUUGUGAUGCUUAUGUGAAAAAGCUUCAACCUGAUAAGCUCGAACCCAAAUCGGAGAAGUGCGUCUUCAUAGGAUACCCAAAAGAAAUUGUUGGGUACACCUUCUAUCACAGAUCCUAAGGCAAGAUCUUUGUUGCUAAGAAUGGAUCCUUUCUAGAGAAGGAGUUUAUCUCGAAAGAAGUGAGUGGGAGGAAAGUAGAACUUGAUGAGGUAAUUGUACCUUCUCCCGAAAUGGAAAGUAGGUCAUCACAGAAAUCAGUUCCACCCUACACCAAUUAGUGAGGAACUUAAUGAUGAUGAUCAUGAAACUUUAGAUCAAGUUACUACAGAACUUUGUAGGUCAACCAGAGCACGAUCUGCACCAGAGUGGUACGGUAAUCCUAUACUAGAAGUCAUGUUACUAGACCAUGAUGAACUUACGAACUAUGAGGAAGCGAUGAUGAGCCCAGAUUCCGCGAAAUGGCUUAAGGCCAUGAAAUCUGAGAUGGGAUCCAUGUAUGAGAACAAAGCAUGGACUUUGGUUGACUUGCCCGAUGAUCGGCAAGCAAUAGAAAAUAAAUGGAUCUCUAAGAGGAAGACGGAUGCUGAUAGUAGUGUUACUAUCUACAAAGCUAGACUUAUCGAAAAAGGUUUUUGACAAGUUCAAGGUGUUGACUACGAUGAGAUUUUCUCACUCGUAGCGAUGCUUAAGUCUGUCCGAAUCAUGUUAGCAAUUGCCACAUUUUAUGAAAUCUGGCAAAUGGAUGUCAAAACUACAUUCCUUAAUGGAUUUCUUAAAGAAGAGUUGUAUAUGAUCCAACCAGAAGGUUUUUGUCGAUCCUAAAGGUGCUAACAAAGUGUACAAAGCUCCAGCGAUCCAUCUAAGGACUGGUGCAAGCAUCUCGGAGUUGGAAUAUACGCUUUGAUGAGUUGAUCAAAGCAUAUAGUUUUAUACAGACUUGCGGUGAAAGCCUGUAGUUCCAUGGGUGUUAGAAUCAUUACAAUGUAAUCUAGAUUAUUGACCCUAGUGCAAGUGGGAGACUGGAGGAAAUAUUCCCUAGAGGCAAUAAUAAAGUUGUUAUUUUAUAUUUCCUUAUAUCAUGACAAAUGUUUAUUAUUCAUGCUAGAAUUGUAUUAACCGGAAACUUGAUACAUGUGUGGAUACAUAGACAAAACACCGUGUCCCUAGUAAGCCUCUACUAGACUAGCUCGUUAGUCAAAGAUGGUUAAGUUUCCUAACCAUAGACAUGUGUUGUCAUUUGAUGAACGGGAUCACAUCAUUAGGAGAAUACCCAUCCGUUAGCUUAGCAUUUUGAUCGUUCAGUUUUAUUGCUAUUGCUUUCUUCAUGCCAUAUACAUAUAUCUUUGACUAUGAGGUUAUGCAACUCCCGGAUACCGGAGGAAUACCUUGUGUGCUGUCAAACGUCACAACGUAACUGGGUGAUUAUAAAGAUGCUCUACAGGUAUCUCCGAAGGUGUUUGUUGGGUUGGCAUAGAUCGAGAUUGGGAUUUGUCACUCCGAGUAUCGGAGAGGUAUCUCUGGGCCCUCUCGGUAAUACACAUCAUAAGAAGCCUUGCAAGCAAAGUGACUAAUGAGUUAGUUGCGGGAAGAUGUAUUACGGAACGAGUAAAGAGACUUGCCGGUAAUGAGAUUGAACUAGGUAUGAAGAUACCGACGAUAGAAUCUCGGACAAGUAACAUACCGAUGACAAAGGGUAUAACGUAUGUUCUCAUUAUGGUUCGACCGAUAAAGAUCUUCGUAGAAUAUGUAGGAACCAAUAUGAGCAUCUAGGUUCUGAUGUUGGUUAUUGACCGGAGAGGUGUCUCGGUCAUGUCUACAUAGUUCUAGAACCCGUAGGGUCCGCACGCUUAACGUUCGAUGAUGAUUUUGUAUUAUAUGAGUUAUGUGAUUUGGUGACUGAAUGUUGUUCGGAGUCCCGGAUGAGAUCAAGGACAUGACGAGGAGUCUCCAAAUGGUCGAGAGGUAAAGAUUGAUAUAUAGGAUGAUAGUAUUCGGACACCAGAAGUGUUCUGAAGUGUAUCGGGUAUUUAUCGGACUAUCGGGGGGGUUACCGGAAACCCCGGAGGGAAUAAUGGGCCUUAUGGGCCAUAGGAGGGGAUCACACCAGCCCACAAGGGGUGGCGCCCCCCUCCCCUAAGGAAGGAGGCCGAGUAGGAGAAGGAAAAGGGGGUUCGCCCCCCCCUUUCCUUCCUCCCUUCCCUCCUCCCUUUUCCCCUUGCAGUAAUAAGGAAAGGGGGGAGCCGAAUUGGCCUAGGCCCCCAAGUAGGAUUCCUCCUACUUGGGGCGCCCCAUGGCAGCUCCCCUCCCCCUCCCACCUAUAUAUACGUGGGGAUGGGGCGCCUAGAAGACACACCAAGAAUUGAUAGCCAUGUGCGGCGCCCCCUCCACAGUUUACGCCUCCGGUCAUAUCUCGUAGUGCUUAGGCGAAGCCCUGCGCGGAUCACUUCACCAUCACCGUCACCACGCCAUCGUGCUGACGGAACUCAUCUUCUUCCUCGACACUUUGCUGGAACAAGAGUUCGAGGGACGUCAUCGAGCUAAACGUGUGCAGAACUCGGAGGUGCCGUACGUUCGGUGCUUGAUCGGUCGGAAUGAGAACAAGUUUGAUACGGGGCUAACCCGGUGUAGGCCGAUCUUUCACGAUUGGAGUGGGUUCCCUCGAAGAACACAAUGAACACGGGGAAGAACGGAGAGAAAUCACAAGGGGGAACACUCAAGAACAAGUCCAAUCACACAUCCACUAGACAAUCAAACACACAAGAUCCACAAGGUACAUGAACAAUAAAGGGAAAGAUACAAGGUAAGGUUCAUCUCCAUGAGGAGGUCUUGAAGGGGGGCCGCCCAAGAGGGGGUCUUGAUGAUAUAUCCCGUGGGAUCUUCUCCUAGAUGGAGGUCUUGGCCUCCAUAAGGAGUAGUAGUCUCUCUCUCUCUCUCAAGAGUAGAGUGGUACAAGGAGCAAAGCUCUCUAUCAAAUGAGCUAUCACUUUGCUAACCCUAGAAUGGAGGAGGGGGUGGUCUAUUUAUAGUCUAAGUCACGAAAGGGUAAGUGGGAAAGGGAUACAUGGGCCUCUGGCCCGUGGCUGCGCGCAGGCAGGCACCGGAUGUCCGGGCUGGGGGCCGGAUGUCCGGGGCUUCGCGAGGCGCUGGAUGUCUGGGGCUCGGGCCGGAUGUCCGGGCUGAAGUGGCCAAACUUCCGGUGCAUUCUGUCGUCGAUGCCGGAUUUCCAAGGGAAGGGCCGGAUGUCCGGGCUUUGGCGAGGCGCCGGAUGUCCGGGGCUGGCGCCGGAUGUCCGGCUGCUGAUGCUGUUCGCCAUCUGUUGGGCGGCUGCACAGGCGCCGGAUGUCCGGCCUCUGGCCCGGAUGUCCGACCGCUGUAGCUUCAGCAGCUCCGUCUUCUUCUGUUGUCGCUUCCAGGCUUCCCUCGCGGAUGGUGUAGUUGUUCCUUGGCGCUUGCACGCCUCCUCAACAUCCGUGAAGCUCCGACAAUACCUAUGCAUGCACACGGGAGAAGUGUCAAGUAGUAUACCAUCCUCGAAGGGGUCAAGUGAACACGUGUAAAGGAGAUGAUUCACCUUCGCAUAUGUGAAGUAGAUGUCGCACGUGUCACUUGCCAAACGAACACUUGACAUGGUGAUGUCCAUAGGAUGCUCCGCAUCAUCUCCCCUCCCUUGGGAAAGAUCCGACCUCAGAUCGAAAACCAAAUCACCAUGGGAAAGAGAUGGCUUCGCCGUGUAGAAGUGGACGUUCACCAAGUACUUGUCAUCUUGAAGCUCGAAAUGGGCACUCUCCAAUGUCGCACCGUCUUGUGAUUCCUUCAAAAGGAGUAAGGACAACAAACACUUGGAAAAACAAAUGUGGUUAGCGUUAGUGCAAAACCAAGCAUUCAAGAGGUGAUUCACCAAACAAGUGUCGUCAUCAUGCAAAGCAUAUGGUGUGACAAAGGAUUGAGACAUGGCAUGUAAGUAUAUCAAUCGAGCACAAGCAAAGAUAUCAUGGGGACAAGCAUAUAAAUUGGAGGUAGAGAUGCAAAUAUGUGUGUCAAGAGAAUAAGCAUCUACCUCAAGUUCAUAGCAAGCAUGGGCAAAGCACUCAAUGAAAGGUCUAUGGUAGGCAUAGGAAUCAUUCACAACACCUAAGAAGAUGAGAUGUCUAAACACAUGGGUUAAGUGCAAGACAAUCCAAGCAAAAUGUGCAUAGGGUGUAGUGAACAUAGUGUGGCACUCAACACAAUAGAAAGAGCAAUUGUUCAUCAUGUGUGAGGCAAUCAAGUCAAUCAUGUGACAAGCAAUGGGACAUGGCAUAUGUGAAGUGAUGACAUUGUUGCAACCAAACAUAUGAGAGGAGCAAGUAAUCCAAGAAUUGGAUGCAACACACAAGGCAUAUAUAUCAUGAUGCAUGGGACGGUGAAAAUGACAAGUCGAAGCAAGAUCUCUAACAAGUGUGCAAUCAAGUGGUCCAAGAUGAACAAUAAGUCUCAUGGUGCAAGCAACACAAGUAGUAUGAUCCGCAAUAUCCAUGCUCAAGAAAGAUAUCACCUUGACGGCGUGUCCUUGUGCAUUCUUCACAAUGCCGAAGUGGUAGGAAAGGUGGUGUAGAAACGAGUCGUGGUCGAAUGUAUGAGGCUCGCUCUCAAGAGCUCGAAUGGUCAACUCACGUGAAGCGGAAGUCGACACAAAGUCCAAGUAUCCUACACAUGCACACAACAAAAGAAAGAACGUAUGCGCAUGGUAGAUAAACACAUCAUCCAUCAUGAUGGUUCUCUUCUUUUGCACAUAACCAUUAGAAGCACAAGUGCAUGAAUAAUAUGAUGCAACAAUGGCUAUAUUCAUGGCAUGAGGUAUAUGGUGCAAAGAGGUAAGACAAGCAUGCUUCACAAGGAAUAUGUCAAAAUCUCCAAUUAUAUGUGAGAAUGCUAUGGGGGCAAACUCAUUAUCAAGACUAAAGGCAUUGUUGCACUCAAUACAUGUCAAAUCAUCUAGCAUGAGGGAGGCAACAUAUGGAGAGAUAUGACAAGAAGCAAUAACAAUCAUGUGCAAAGCAUGUAGAUGGUUGUCAUCAACCGCAUGAAAUGAGCAAGUAUGAAUCAUCGGUGAUGCAACAAGGCAAGCAAUCAUAGUAAUCAAGUCAGGCAAGCUAGUAGUGCGAAGAUGCAACAUACUAGAGGAAACCAUGGCAAUCAUGUCAUGUGAGCAAAUAAUAGGCACAGACAAUGCACAUGACAUUUCGCAAGCACGAUCACAAAGCAAGAUCGUAGUAUAAUCAUGGGGCACAAAGCAAACAUGGCAAUAACAAGUGAUAUCUCCACCAAGCUUGCAAAUACACAUACAAGUACUAGAAUCAAUCAUCAUGUGUAAUGCAAAGCAUGGGUCACAAAUGCAUGGCAAAGGCAUAGAAAUGGGCAUAUCAUGCAAAGUGAACAUGGCAAGAUGGGCAUAGAAUAUGUGUUGGACAACAACCCAUAGCCAAGUGAGGGUCAUGUAGAAUGAAUGCGCGAAGACUUCGCGUGAAGAGAUCGGUGGGAAAGGCAAUCCAUGGGAUCCCAAGUCAUCAUUGCUCUCAAGAGCUCGUUUUGUCAACUCGUGGGAUUGCGAGGUUGACAAGUAUUCAUGGGUACCUACACAAAAGAGACACAAACCAAAGAAAUUGUGCGCGUGGUAAAUGUACACAUCAUCCAUCAUGAUGUGUAUGUACACAUGUGAGUUAGCACAAGAUAAGCAUCGCUCAAAGAAAUUUGAUGCAUGGUAUAAGAACAUGUCAUCCAUCAUGAAAGAAUAGUUGUUAUGUAUAACACGAUAGGGAUGCAAAUUGAGCAUACUAGUAUAUGGCACAUCAAUAGCAUGUUUAUUCAUGGGAAGCAUGUUGUGCACACAAGUAUUGGGAUCAUGCAAUGGAUAGGAUGAAUCAAAAUCUCCUAAAAUGUAUGAGGAAACUAUGGGGGUCUCCUCAUGAGCAAUAUUGGAAACAUCAUAUGGAGAAAAUGGACAACAUCGAAAACAAUGCAUAUCCGAAGCAAGGUGGUCAUGGCAUGGCAUAUGAGAUAAAUGAUGCAAAGGAAGCAUAUCAAUAUCAUCACAAGAAAAACAAAUGCCAAUAACCAUGGGCUUGUCAUCUAUGCCAUAAGUGCAAAUUGGGUUUAUGUUAAUGGCAUAUGCAUAGUCACUACGAAGAGAUUGCAAAUAUGACAUAUGAUUGAUCUCAUGCAUAGCAUAUGACAAGUCAAGCGGAUUGUCAAACAUGAUGUGACCUAAAGAAUUGUCACAAGAAAUCCUAUGUAACAUGGCAUCACAACCAAGAGACUCCACAUGAAAAUCAUCAAACUCAUCAUAAAUGGGUAAAUCAUCACAUGGGGAAAUCAUACUAGAAUGAAGCAUGCUAAUAGGUUGAUCAACAUCAUGCAAGCAAUCAAUGUCAAGAAUGUCCACUAGUGGGACUAGAGCAUCACCUUCACCUAUGUUACCUUGUUCAUUCCACUCAAGUGGUGUGGGUGAGGUGGCAAAGACCAAAUGGUGGUCAUCUUCAUCUUGGUGGAACCAUGUGGGGGGUGCAUCAUAUUCCACCAUGGCCAUCGUCUUGUCCAAAGGGAGGACGUAGUCGUCGCGAAUCGGCGCGUCAUCAUAUAUGGGACCUAGCACCAAAUGAGAAGACACAAUAGAGGUAGAGGUUAAGUCGUUAGAAAUCGAAGUGGCCUCACUCUCUCUAUGUGGUGAUUCACUCACUCCCUCAAGGUAGGUGCACUCAAAGUCACAUAUGGUGGAGUCACUCAUCUCACUCAAGUGGUGGGGGUUGUGGCUCUCCUCACAUGGGAAUUGGGGCAACUCGUCAUAUAUGGAGCUAGUGGUGAAGACACUCUCACUCUCAAUAUGGUGGCACAAGUCACUCAAGUCAUCAUACGUCACCGUGGUCGAAGGGAAAAUCCCAUGCUCAACCAUCUCGUCGUUGUCACCAUGGAUGAAGGCCGAAGAUGGCACAUCAUCACUCUCCUCCAUGACCGAAGGGAAAAUCCCAUGCUCGGUCAUCUCGUCAUCGUUGCCGUGGAUGAAGGCCGAAGAUGGCACAUCAUCACUCUCGCCUCCUAAGAUGGAAGCAUCAUCCUUGCUCGUCACCAUGUCGCUUGCCUCAAAAGCUUGGUCCUUGAAGGUCUCCGUAGUUGUACUCGUCGCCGCACCAUCUUGAAAAAGAGUCGUGGAGGACUCGACAUCAUCAAUGCCACAGAGAGGGAUGGCGGUGAAGUAGAACUUGGGAGCAUCGUCUUGGAGCUCAUCGGGCUUGGACAUCUUGGUGGUACUAGCCUCAUGCUCGUCGUCUUUGAGUUUGGUCUUCGAGAAGUGUGUUUGGGGUGGAGAAGCCUUGGCCUUCAUGAGUUCUUCUUUCGCCUUGAGAGCACCAAUGUAGUUGUCGUUGAGGGACUUGUAGUUCUCGAGGAAGAUAGUCUUGGAGAUGUCGUUGUUCAAUCCCAUCAUGAAGUGGAACUUCAUUGACAUAGGGUCGUCCACGCCGGCUCGUCGCAAGGCAUGCUUCAUCUCCUUAAAGUACUCGUCGAUGGACUUGGAUCCUUGGAUGGUGUUCUCCAAUUGGCGUAGAAGUUGUUCCGUGUAGGUUGGAGGCACGAACUCUCGCCGCAAAGCUUUCUUCGUCUUGGGCCAACUCAUGUCGUAGCUCUCCGAAGGUGUGUGAAACCACCAUGUCGAGGCGUAGUCGUGGAAGUUUCUUGUGGCGCACUUCACUUGAUCUUCGGGAGGAACUUGAUGUAGCUUGAGGUAGUCGUCCAUUAGGUGCUCCCACUCAAGAUACUCCUCGGGUUCUUGAGUCCCAUAGAAAGGAAUCUCAUGGUCGGUGUCGAGGUCGUAGUAGCUCGUGGAGGUCGCGGACUUGAGCUUGGGGAGCUUCUCUUGAGGUGCUUGUGGGCGAAGAUGCCGUAUGUCCAAAGGCGAAGAUGCCUUGAAGUCGCUUGGCGAAGAUUCCAAGGGAGAUGGUGAAGUCAUUGAGCGGUUGUUGGUGUUGAGGUCUUGACCUUCACGUUCGUGGUGGUGAUGGUGUCGAUGCCGAUGUGACCUUGCCGGAGAUGGUAGCUCGGAGGCAUGUGUUCUUGAGCGUCUUCUCGAAGAUGAGGAAGAUCGCUUGUAGGACUUGAUGAGGGCUUUGAUCUCCUCCAUUUGAGCUUGCAUCUUGGCGUCGUUGGAGUUGCUCGUGGCAUCGAACUCGUUGUUGUUGUUGUAGACCGAAGGUGAAAUGCCUUGCCUAUCCAUCACAAGACUCGAGUAGAGGUGAGUAGGAAAUGAGAUAAACAAUACCAAGUUACCUUUUCCCAAAGUUGAGGAUGUAUCCCAUUUCACUCAAUGUGAGAUGAAAGAAUAGUGGAAUUGGUACCAGACUUGUUCACUCACACCUACAAACUAAAGCUUAUGGAGUAGCUCGGUGAGGAUAGUGGCACAAAAAUUUAAUGCAAAAUGUUAGCAAGAGUCGAUAAUGUUGAAAGAGAUUCACAAAUUCGCAAGUGAAACAAGUAGACCAAUAGCAAGAAUGGCACUCGGAAACACACAUACGGGUAGAUAAAUGGGGUCGUGCAACCAAGGAAUGAGCACAAAAUGUGGAAUCCACGGAAAACGCUCGUGUUGCACAACUCAAGAGAGACGCUAGCACGAUUGCUCAAUAGGCGGAUACGACACUUGCACAACCUAUAAGAUACAAAAUGGAUAAACUUUCUAUCCCAAGUAUGCUAUGUAUGUAUGGUUCCCGGUGUUUCUUACACAAUGAUCCAAGAUGAUCAAGUAUGAUACCAUAUGAUAUAUUGUGAUGCUAUGCCUAUUGCUUACAAGCUCUUUGUUCACUCUUUUUCUUUGCUUAAAAGCUUAUUCUUUUUAUCUCUCUCUCUCUCUCUCUUUGGAUAGCCACUAUGCGAAAUGCACAAACCAAGAUAGCAAUUGUGUAUAUGCGGGAACAAUCUUGUGACACAAGAGAUGAUAUGAUGAUACCAAUAUGAUAUGGUAUGUAUUAAAUGGAAGGUGUAGAUCACUAAUGUGCACAAGUAACGUUGCCGGCAAUACUCAAAUGGCUAGUCUCGAUAGGCAAGUGACGCAAAAUGGGCUAGGGGUUAACAAUGUAAUGGUAAGGGAGAAUGUACAAUGAUGUCGUCGAGGUUACCGUCGAGGGUUUCUCGUUUGUAAGACACGGACGGAUGAUGGUGAAGUGGUCGAUGUCGAUGACGAACUCGAGGUGAUGAUGAGUUGUGGUGUUCUUGAUGUAGAUACCAAGAUGAUGGAGACUCGUCCCUAAGUAGCCGAAACACCUUAGGAAACGGAAAAACCACAACUCAAAAUCUCAAGGACAAAAGUCAAAUGGUGGUAGCGGGAAUGCGGUGGUGGUUUUGCGGAAGCUCAAUGGGAUUGCGAAAAUGCAAUGAUGGGUUUUGAGUACACAAUGCGGAAGUCGAGGGUAAGGUGGUGAACUAUACACGGUGUCGGAGUUGGAAGCACGGUCCCUAAGUAGCCGAAACACCUUAGGAGACACAACUCACAACACAAACAAAAUUGGGUUAAGUUGGCGUGGCGGAAGUGUAUGGUGGGCAAGCCUAUACGGAAGUUAUGGUGGUGGUGGUGGUGAUUGAUGAAGAUGCAACUGUCCCUAAGUAGCCGACACACCUUAGGAGACUCAAAUCACAACUCAAACAACCACUAAUGCUAUAAGGAACUAAAUGGGUUAGGUUGCGGAAGUCGGUGGUGGUUAUGCGGAUGUUGUGGUGGAAGCCCUAGGCAAAGAUGCCAAAGUUGUCAAAAUUUGAUGGAGUCAAAUGGUGAUGGAACCUAUCUAGAUGGAUGGGGGAUGUCAAUAGCUACUCAACGAGCUAAAGAACGCGAAAAUCGGACUCCGGAUGUGAAAGUUAUGGACAAAACGGUGAAACACGGGAGGCUAAAAUCUACAGGGGUCGGACAUCCGGGGUUGGGUCCGGAUUUCCGGGGGUCAGUGUCCAGAACCGUGCAGAUUUGGUGCUCCAGGAGCCGGAUGUCCGGCCAGAUGGCCCGGAUGUCCGGCCUGAGGCCCGGAUGUCCGGCCCGACGAUUCCAGAUCUCGUUUGGGGCGGAAAUUUUUGAAUUGGGGCGGAAAUGGAUGAUUCCAAGGGCAAAAUUGGAGAGAUUUUGUGGAUGGAAAGGGGGAAAAGAUGGGGGAAAGCUAGAUCCACUUGAAACCAAGCAAAUCCACGGAUCAAAAUCAACAAAACAUCAUCAAACUAACAAAUCACAAAAAAAAUUGGGGGCUAUUUUUGGUGGGGAUUUUCGACUUUAGGACGAAAUCAAGCAAAAGAAGGCUAGAAAACGGUGGGAGGGACUCCAAAUACGUGAUCAACGUGGCUCAUGAUACCAUAUGAUACGGGGCUAACCCGGUGUAGGCCGAUCUUUCACGAUUGGAGUGGGUUCCCUCGAAGAACACAAUGAACACGGGGAAGAACGGAGAGAAAUCACAAGGGGGAACACUCAAGAACAAGUCCAAUCACACAUCCACUAGACAAUCAAACACACAAAAUCCACAAGGUACAUGAACAACAAAGGGAAAGAUACAAGGUAAGGUUCAUCUCCAUGCGGAGGUCUUGAAGGGGGGCCGCCCAAGAGGGGGUCUUGAUGAUAUAUCCCGCGGGAUCUUCUCCUAGAUGGAGGUCUUGGCCUCCAUAAGGAAUAGUAGUCUCUCUCUCUCUCUCUCAAGAGUAGAGUGGUACAAGGAGCAAAGCUCUCUAUCAAAUGAGCUAUCACUUUGCUAACCCUAGAAUGGAGGAGGGGGUGGUCUAUUUAUAGUCUAAGUCGCGAAAGGGUAAGUGGGAAAGGGAUACAUGGGCCUCUGGCCCGUGGCUGCGCGCAGGCAGGUGCCGGAUGUCCGGGCUGGGGGCCGGAUGUCCGGGGCUUCGCGAGGCGCCGGAUGUCCGGGGCUCGGGCCGGAUGUCCGGGCUGAAGUGGCCAAACUUCGGGUGCGUUCUGUCGUCGAUGCCGGAUUUCCGGGGGAAGGGCAGGAUGUCCGGGCUUUGGCGAGGCGCCGGAUGUCCGACCGCUGAUGCUGUUGGUCGUCUGUCGGUGCAGCUCCUUGGCGGCUGCACAGGCGCCGGAUGUCCGGCCUCUGGCCCGGAUGUCCGGCCGCUGUAGCUUCAGCAGCUCCAUCUUCUUCCGUCGUCGCUUCCAGGCUUCCCUCACGGAUGGUGUAGUUGUUCCUUGGUGCUUGCACUCCUCCUCAACAUCCGUGAAGCUCCGACAAUACCUAUGCAUGCACACGGGAGAAGUUUCAAGUAGUAUACCAUCCUCGAAGGGGUCAAGUGAACACGAGUAAAGGAGAUGAUUCACCUUUGCGUAUUUGAAGUGGAUGCCGCACGUGUCACUUGCCAAACGAACUCUUGACAUGGUGAUGUCCAUAGGAUUCUCCGCAUCAAAGUUCGACUACAUCAACGGCGUUGUCAAACGCUUCCGCUUUCAGUCUACGAGGGUACGUGGGCACACUCUCCCCCUCUCGUUUCUAUGCAUCUCCUAGAUAGAUCUUGCGUGAGCGUAGGAAUUUUUUAAAAUUGCACGCUACGUUUCCCAACACUUACCAAGUUCUCUGUUCCAUAAAUAUGUAACUGGAAUUGAUAUGAGACGACUUCGAGACUUGCAAAAUUCAAGGGGGGGGAUCUCCUAGGAUACAACCUGUCAAGAUCAUGUGAUCUUUAGUAUUGCACUCUUUUCCUUUGUGAGUUUUUUCCAAAUGGUUUCUCAUAUAAGGUAUUUAAUGAGGCAAUAUCAAUGCAAGCAUGGACGAUAUAUGUCAUUUUCUCCUUAUUUUCCCACUGGGUUUUAGAAGGAGUUAUUCACGGCAUAUUAUAAUUUUCUUCUCAUUUUUCCCACAAGGUUUUGGAGGAGAAUAUUUCAAAGAUGAUCAGUCUCAAGGACAAGCGAGGAUUAGGGGAGUGUUAGGAUUUAAACUAAUUCUAUUAAUUAGGGACAAUCCUCCCUUGUAUUUAGCGUACAGUUUGCCUCCAGGCAACCGUCGUGUCGUACAUGCGAGGGCCUCUCGAGGCAACCGUCGCGUCUGCCCCUCCCAUCCCCACGAACAGACGCGUCUUCUCUUGGCGUCGGUUCCCUUUGUAUAAAUGUGUUGAUCAUCAAUGGAAUAGAACACAGUUCGAUCAAUUCGUACUUUCACAGUUUACAUGGUCCUCCUUUUUUGCCGAAAAGGGGUAACAUGUUGAUUUCAAGAUGACACCAAGUACACCAAGUCUUCGCAACAACACAAUUCAAGAGCUACCUACUGUGACGAUGCAUGCACCAAUUUAUUCUUCUAAAUAAUGAUAGAGGCGAGGGUCCCGAUCUUUCGAUGAGAUGAUAACUAUCGAUUUGGUGGAGACGACUUUGACGAUCCGACUACAAACAUGCACGACGUUGCGCCUUAGCAAUCGAUAAACCAACUCCGAGAGGUUAUUGACCACGCCGGAGCACGAUCAACCUGACCACGAAGGUCUAUUCCUGCAAGCAAUCGAAGAACAAGCAAGAAUAUGAUUAAGCAAUCUGAAUAUUGCGAGUAUGGAUGAAGUAUUGAUAAAAAUGGGGUCUCAUAAGCGGUCUCGGUCUGGUCGUUGGACACAAACGAAGUACACGAAGUUGCAGCAAUGUCUAUCUUUUAACUAAAUAAAACCCAAGUCUAAACGAUGCCUUAAGGGCUAUAUUUAUAGGGAAAAGAGAGGGGAUUUUGUCCACCCUUGGCAAGGUGGGACUAAAACACCUCCUAAGUCGUUUCCCCUACAACAUGGACUCUAAAAAUAGAUUACAUGGGCCUGGCCCAAAAUAAGGUGGCGCAACACCAAUAAUAAGCUAUGGACGAAAUUUAUGAAAGGCCAUCUUGUAUAUUUCGUCCAUCUUCUUAUAUGUCAUCAUGGUGGCUUCAAAGUCCGGAAAUCUCCACUUGAACCUCCGUUCUUGUUCUCUUCGCACGCACCUUCACCUCCGUGCUUGACCAUGCUCCAAUGUUCAACCUUCUUGUCCGUGCUAAGCCCUUCAAUUGCAAGCAACACAAAUGUAUCUAAAUUAGGCAGCAUCAUAUUCUCAUGAACACUAGAAACAUUACCAAGAAACGGAAGUACAUGAUAAUUUAAUUGGCGUAUCUGAGCUCUAGCAACUGUUCCAAGAGGUAAAAACAGCAGGGGAUAUGGGUGUAACUAUGACAGCCAUGUCCUCAUCAUCCUCCCCUUCUUGAAAACUAAGCCGUCCUCGGCGUUGAUUAAUCUGAAAUUUGGCUAACAAAAGAGACAAGGUGUACACGUUGUAUAUGUAUAUAUCAUCCAUUUUUACUGAUCUCAGUUGGGGCACAUGUGACACAGUUAUACAAGAGCACCCUUCAAAAGUCGUGAAAUAUAAAGCCAAUAUAUUAUCACAAGAAGUCAAAGGCAUGAAAAUAUUGCAACUCAGUUUGCACAUAUAAGUGAAGCUCUUAUUCAUAUCAAAAGAUUGACAAUGCUUAUCAUUAAACCAUCCCAACAUUGAUGAACUAUCACCAAGAUUAGAGGUCAUAUCAAAAUGAUUAAACAUUGGCACAAUUAUUUUCAAACGUAUUUGAUCCAAAUCUGAUUUAUUCCCUGAUUCACUUGAUUCUUUUGCAUCGAUAGUUAAUUCAAUGGGUUCACUCAAAAUUGUUUGAUCACAUGGCAAAGUCAAAUCAUCAACAUAGUCCUCUAAAAUAGCUGGUGUGAUCAAAGUAGUGGGUAGCUCACCGCAUGGUGCAUUUAAAUUGACAAGACAUUCAUCAUACUCAUGUGGAGGUGGAAGAUUAGUACCUUUGUCAUUACCUCUUAUGAUCAACUCAGAUGAUGUAGGCACUCUCGGUGAUGAUGUGUCACAUGGUGGAGGUGAUGUAGUCCUCACAACGACGCAUGUGGUUUUCAUAGUAUGCCUAGUAGUUGAAGGGACAACCGUAUCAACUCUUGGAAUGUGCAUCUCGCGCUUGUUCUCCUUGUGGGCAACACGUCGUUUUUUUUCCUGUUCAGCUUUGCAAGCAAGAUGAAACAAAUGGUUCAUAGGAUAACACUCUUCAUGAAUUAGUAUCUCCUGAAUGUCACGAUUUAAUCCUCCCCAAAAUCUAUCCAUAAAAUUUUCUUCACUUUCUUCUAAAGAAGAAUGCAGCAAGGUAGUUUGUAAAGUAUCAUAAUAUCUCGUUACGGUGUCAGUACCUUGUUUCAAAUGUUGCAACUUUUUAAUCAUGUCACGAGUAUAAUAAGCGGGAACGAAUGUAUGUCGCAUGGCAAGUUUCAAAUCAUCCCAAGUAGUAGGUAUAUCAUUAGGGUGUAACCGACAAUAUUCACUCCACCAAACUAUAGCAUAACCAGUGAAAGAACCAACCACAACCUUAACUUUUUUACGUUCAUCAAAAUUAUUGAAAGCAAAUAUAUUAUUUAUGUCAAACUCCCAUUCAAUAUAUAAAGCAGGUCUAAAGCGGCCAUUAAAUGGUGGUAUAGAAACAGUAACCUGAUCAUGUGCAUCUAGAUGUUUGUGCACCUCUCGUGACGGAUGUGGUAUUUGCAUAGGUGGUGGAACGUCUCCCGCGAUCGAGAAAGCCCAUGAAUUGACUCUGGAUCCUGUCAUGAUUAUUAGAAACAAGAAACAAAAUCCAAAAAUAAUGUUCCUAUGAACGACCGGGAAGUGGUAGUAAAACGCUCACAGUAUAGCAAAUCAAAGUCUUACAAGUUUUUACCAUGCAGCAGGUGGUGAUCGGCAACCAGCAAUGUCAAAUAACUCCAAAGGUUAGGUAAAACGAUUGCCAGGUGAACGUAUGUAUACACGGUGUAGAAAUAUAUGGAACUGGGUUGGCUUUAUAUAUGUGGAAAAAAAUGCUACAACCACGUUAAUGAAUGCAAGCUGAAAAUUCGUUCAAAGUGGUCGAGUGCUGGUCCUAGGCGAGACUGUAUUAGAGACGCGAACUAAGACACGGAAGGAUUCACGUAAUAACCUGGCGGACGUAUGUGGAUGCAAAAGCAGGAUGCUACCAGAAGAAAUGGACGUACUGGAUAGGUUGACCUGAAAUAGCAGCGAUCAAGACAAACAGUAGGUAAUGUGUAUUCUCUUUUUUUUGCUUUGCUGAAAAUCUAUCUCUCUGUAGUGCUGCACACAACCCACUUCUUUUUCUUUUUCUGCUCUUUCUUUUUUUUUCUAUGAAUGCUGUGUUACUUGCAGCACGAUCUCCAAUGUCAAUGAUUCCCACACCAGCACGUGUGUAUACUCCUCCAACCUGACUUCUCCUGUUUUUUUUAAUUCCUAUGCAAAGUCAACCGUCCAACCGAAUAAAAGAGAGCACGUUUGUUUUUGCUUCGGUCUCCACUUCUCCCAAUUUGCUCUGUAUUUCUUUUUCAAGUCAAACUCUCCAAUGCGUGAGGAUAUUCUGUUUUGUUCUUCCUUUAAUCUCUCUUCCCAAAAAUAACUUCACGUGGAAAAAACCAGCUCUCGUGCCAAACGUGGAAACAGCCACCUCUCCUUGAUUUACGUGCAGACUUCAACAUUUUUUUUUUGCGGGCAAACCGCCCUAGCGAACUCCUCCCAAAACAGCAGCGCACUAUGCCUCUUUUUUUUUUCUUGGCGUGGAUCCGAACAAAAUCUGGUAGGUAUCUUUUCUUGACUUCUUUCCAAACAAACAGAUCUCUUUCCUAUUCCGGGGUUGCCUUCCUUUUUUUUUUGGUAACCGACCUAAUUAUGUUUUUCCUUCUAUUUCUCCAACGAGAUCAUCUAGUCAAGGCAACAAAUAUCCCGUUUCUUUCUUUCCUGUUCUUCAAAACGUCCAAGCAAUCAGCAUGUUAUUUCUUUCCAAACGUGGUCUCUUUUUUUAUGCUCUUUCCAAAAACCAACGUGGCAAAUUAGGAAGGAACCAAAUAGAUAGUAUUCACCUUGGAAACCGAACCCAGAUCUCAACUUCCUUAAAACAAGGACGCUGAUAACUGCCACACGUGUGGUGUAUCGGGUGGUUGUGCCACACGUCCUGUGUGGCACGGAGACGACCCCGCCCGCACGACCGCGUACGGGCGCGCGCAGCCACAGCCCGCACGUCCGGUGCAGCGCGAUCGCCCCCGCACGAGCACGUCCGGACGAGCGAGCACGCGGCCCGCACGACCCGUCUAGGCCGUCGCCCCUCCCCGCCUGCGAGCCACACGCCCCGCGUGUCAGUAACCACGCGUCCUGCCGCGAUUGCCAUGGUCCGGACCUCUUCGGUUGCCAUGUUGCCAUGUUGCUGAACUGCAGUUGCCAUGUUGCCGAACUACAGUUGCCAUGGUUGCUCAACUGCAGUUGCCAUCUUAGGUCAAAAAGUGUAGGAUGCCAUUUUUGGGCAAUUGCAGCUGUUGCCAUGUAUGGUCUGGUCUACUACAGAUACCAUGAUUUGAAAAACUUUAGGAGUUGCCACCUACUAACACGGGACAGUUGCCAUGUAGCACUAAAAAACAUGGCAAAAAACAUGUUUUGAUAAAAAAAGAGUUGCCAUCUGCUCAUGCUCACAAAUAUGGCAGUUGCCAUGUACCCUGAAAAAACAUGGCAACUGAUAGCUUUUGGUGUGUGGGAGAGGAGACGGGCAUGUGGGCGAUGGUGGUACUUUAGGAGUUGCCACCUACUAACACUAGACAGUUGCCAUGUAGCGCUACAAAACAGACGUGGCAACAAUAACAUGUUCGGGGUAAAAAGAGAGUUGCCAUCUGCUCAUGCUCACAAAUAUGGCAGUUGACAUGUACCCUGAAAAAAUAUGGCAAUUGAUAGCUUUUGGUGUGUGGGAGAGGAGACGGGCAUGUGGGCGAUGGUGGUAUCUUUAGGAGUUGCCACCUACUAACACUAGACAGUUGCCAUGUAGCGCUACAAAACAGACGUGGCAACAAUAACAUGUUCGGGGUAAAAAGAGAGUUGCCAUCUGCUCAUGCUCACAAAUAGGGCAGUUGCCAUGUACCCUGCAAAACACAUGGCAACUGAUAGCUUUUGGUGUGUGGGAGAGGAGACGGGCAUGUGGGCGAUGGUGGUAUCUUUAGGAGUUGCCACCUACUAACACUAGACAGUUGCCAUAUAGCCUACAAAACAGACGUGGCAACAAUAACAUGUUUGUGGUAAAAAGAGAGUUGCCAUCUGCUCAUGCUCACAAAAUAGGGCAGUUGCCAUGUACCAUUUCAAAACAUGGCAAAUGACAGCUUGGGUGUCGGAGAGUGGGAGAAUGGGCAGUCGUAGGAGAUGGGGAACAGAAGUGGUGCGCGGCGUGCGGGCGCGACAGCAGUUUCAUCGCACGCCCCGACUGGCGAAAUGUUUACCGCGGAGAGAAACCGGCGUGCGGGCGAAUUCCCUCACACCCACACACACGAGUUGUCCUACGUGGCACACAAAAUCAGCCUUUUCAUGCAGAGAUUCAUGCAAAGGGCGCCGGAUGACGAUGGAGGCGUGUGGGCGAGUUGUCUAACACCCACACGUGUGGGCGUUAGUGUUUUCGUAAAACAAACAAGAGGGGCCACGUGAUUUUCUCCUCUCUUUUUUGCAAACCCAAACGAACUAGUACUCCUUCGUGGGAAACAAGUGUCUUCUGUUCUCAACUUCUUUCUUCCACAAGAUGAAAUAUGCUUCAAGACAACGACGAACUACAACAGCGGAUGGAUGGCGGCAGCGGUGGAAAAAAAUAUGACAAAGGAAGAUGGCGAUGAACAAGAUGAUGGUGUUGGUGAAAGCGGUGUGAACAAAACGUGACUAGAACUCGAAACUCUAACAAUCUAGACACUAAAACCAGCAACUCGAUACACGAUGCAACCGAAAAUUCAACAAUGCAAAAACUAAGUGAUAAUAGCGAAAGGCUCAGACUGUCUGGGACACGGAUGAACUAAUCUACAAUUUUUGUUUUGUUUUUUCUUGGACUCUAGGUAUGAAGAGAUGCAAUGUAGACGACGAAAAACUGGAAAACUCACCGAGCAACCUGAAAACUGAUACCACUUGAUAAAGGCAAGGGUCCCGAUCUUUCGAUGAGAUGAUAACUAUCGAUUUGGUGGAGACGACUUUGACGAUCCGACUACAAACGUGCACGACGUUGCGCCUUAGCAAUCGAUAAACCAACUCCGAGAGAUUAUUGACCACGCCGGAGCACGAUCAACCUGACCACGAAGGUCUAUUCCUGCAAGCAAUCGAAGAACAAGCAAGAAUAUGAUUAAGCAAUCUGAAUAUUGCGAGUAUGGAUGAAGUAUUGAUAAAAAUGGGGUCUCAUAAGCGGUCUCGGUCUGGUCGUUGGACACAAACGAAGUACACGAAGUUGCAGCGAUGGCUAACUUUUAACUAAAUAAAACCCAAGUCUAAACGAUGCCUUAAGGGCUAUAUUUAUAGGGAAAAGAGAGGGGAUUUUGUCCACCCUUGGCAAGGUGGGACUAAAACACCUCCUAAGCCGUUUCCCCUACAACAUGGACUCUAAAAAUAGAUUACAUGGGCCUGGCCCAAAAUAAGGUGGCGCAACACCAAUAAUAAGCUAUGGACGAAAUUUAUGAAAGGCCAUCUUGUAUAUUUCUUCCAUCUUCUUGUAUGUCAUCAUGGUGGCUUCAAAGUCCGGAAAUCUCCACUUGAACCUCCGUUAUUGUUCUCUUCGCACGCACCUUCAUCUCCGUGCUUGACCAUGCUCCAAUGUUCAACCUUCUUGUCCGUGCUAAGCCCUUCAAUUGCAAGCAACACAAAUGUAUCUAAAUUAGGCAGCAUCAUAUUCUCAUGAACACUAGAAACAUUACCAAGAAACGGAAGUACCUGAUAAUUUAAUUGGCGUAUCUGAGCUCUAGCAACUGUUCCAAGAGGUAAAACAGCAGGGGAUAUGGGUGUAACUAUGAUAGCCAUGUCCUCAUCAAAUAAGAUAUAACCUCACCGAAGCAAUCAAUGAACAACAAAACAUCAACAUCAAUCACCACCAUUGGCAACCCGCGAUAAAUAUUCUCCAGCAACGAUGUCUCCAGGAAGGGAAGGACCAGUGUACAAUUACCGUCACAGUACAACCGAUGAAGCUACAUGCUAAGUUUAUUAGUGUUGCAGUACAUGUUUGAGCUUUUUGGUGAACUAUCCAUGAAAAGUACUAUCUCAUUCACCAAAAGCUCCAGCUGAUAGAGAGGGCAAAUCAUUAUACUCUAACAUUCUUCAUCUAUCCAUGAUCCAUUGAAAUUACGGUGUGGGUAUUAGAAGCAAGGUUUUGCGAUUUGAAAGCAAAAUAAUAAUAAUCUAGACCUUAUAGCAAAAUAAGCAGUAAUUGCAAAAUGUUGUUAUUGAGGACUAAAUCCCAGAUAGAGAUGUUUGAAAAUUUCAAGUCCCAGUCCCAAAUUUGUCAAGUAGCAACUAUAACACCUUCUUGCUUUACUUCCUACCUACCACGUCACCAAAAGAAUCAAUUUCUGUCAAUUUAUUUAGAAUCCCAAAACUGUUAAUAUAAUAGGGAGAGCUACACUCAAUUGUCUAGUUAUUCCUUUACUGCAAGUUAUAUGCUUCCAACCAAUUCACGCAUCAGUUCAAUGUUUUUUAUCUCAAGUAAACCAUAACGAUGAAAUAUGCCAUAGUUGAACUAUUAGGUUUUGUGACAAACAACAUAACAGACUUCCUUUGGAAAUCCUUUCUCUCAACUAAGCUAACUUUAUGGUGCUUCUACGCCAGGCACAACUCCCACAAACAAGCUAUGUCACAAUGUGUUCAACCGCCUUUCUAGAAAUCAUUGAAGCAUCAAAUACAAGAUUAUAUGUUCACUGGGGAGAUACUACAUUCAGUUCGUCAGAGUUUGUAUAGCGUUCCUACAUGAAUGCUUUGACUGAUACUAUGUGACAUGCACCGCGUAGUGAAGCCUUGCUACGAAAUGUAGGAAAACACAAACCGAUGGCUAACUAUAUUAGAUGUGAAACAUCAGCCCUCAUUUUUUCUAUCAUAAUAGUGAUUUUACAAACCCCCGACAUGUUGUGUUUGGCGUGUACACUGUAAUAGAUUGAUGGGCCUACCAGAAAAAUAAGACAAUUGCUAGGGAUGUACGCCUUCGUUUUUAUUUACUCCUCAUAUUACCUUUGAUUGAAAUCAAACUUUAUAAAGUUUGACCAAGUUUGUAGGAAACAAUAUGAACAUUUAACAUAAAAAACCUAUAUCACGUGACAAUAUAUUCAAUGAUGAAUCUAAUGGUAUUGAUUUGGUGGUGUAUAUGAAUCUAAUGGGUAUGCAAAAGUACAUACAAGUACAAUGUGAUGUCCAACUGAAUCGUAAAACAUUUGUGAAUUUUGAACCAAAGUUUGUUUGAUUGUACUCCCUCCGUUUCAUAUUAGUUGUCAAGUGGUUUGAGUCAAUGCAAACUUCUUAUAUAAUGCAAGCGCAAUGAAGAAAUUCCAAUAGGACACACCAUUGGGGAUCAAAUAACCACCAUCGCAAACAGUUAUAUGAAAUCCACUGAAUGAAACAGGCCCAACAACUUAGAAAUUCCUUGCAAUAUAUACUCUUACAAGGCUAGCUUUUUUCUCUUAAAAAAGACAAAUGGAGAAAAAUGAGGGAAGAUAACACUUGGCACCCGGUGGGUGAAACACAUCAGAAUACUAUUUCAAAUUAAUCUUUAACCAAAAUCUCAAUACAAAAUACCCCAAGCAUACAACCAAGACCACGCAUGCACCCCAUUGCAUGGCCUCCACACGCCUUGUCGAUAUCCAUGGUGGCAUCUAGCGCCGGCCGGGUGGCACGGAUCCCCCUUCACUCCCUCAGCGUGUGAACGUGGACGCUCCAACCCAACCGUUCCCCGUGUUUAGGAUAAGCUGCCCAGCUCGUCCGCCCUUCUUAUUGCCGCUGCUUCUCAUCUCACACGCUCCAACACCAUCCUCUCCUACACCGAGUAUCCGCCUACGGAGUAGUACUUCCCAAGCUAGCUCGGAACUCCGCCGCAAUGGCCACCGUAUUGAGCAGCCUCCGCUUGCCCUUCUCCGUCUGCCCCGCCGCCCCUUCGGCGCCCAUGGCAUCCCGCGUCGCGCUCCCGCCGUCGUCGACGGCCGCCAGGGGCAUGAGGCUCCGCGCGCAGGCGACGUACAAGGUGAAGCUGAUCACGCCGGAGGGCGAGGUGGACCUCGAGGUCCCCGACGACGUCUACAUCCUCGACCACGCCGAGGAGGAAGGGAUCGACCUGCCCUACUCCUGCCGCGCCGGCUCCUGCUCCUCCUGCGCCGGGAAGGUGGUCUCCGGCCAGCUGGACCAGUCCGACCAGAGCUUCCUCGACGACGACCAGAUCGAGGCGGGGUGGGUGCUCAC
RNAcentral lists this long non-coding RNA (160092 nucleotides) under Triticum aestivum (bread wheat). RNAcentral describes it as "long non-coding RNA (TAES_LNC018093)". Lineage: Eukaryota; Viridiplantae; Streptophyta; Magnoliopsida; Poales; Poaceae. The record is from RNAcentral.